UGUAUCCAGCUGGUAUCAGAAAUGGCAAUGAAACUUGGUUCGAAGUUGGACGAUCCAAGACUUAUACCCCAACUGCUGAUGACAUUGGUCAUGUCCUUAAGUUUGAAUGUUCUGUAGUUGAUGCAGUGACAAAAUCACCUGUGGGACAAGCUAGCACUUUACAAACUAAUAGGGUCAUUCCUGCUCCUUCACCAAUUCCGCGCCGAAUUAUACGUGUUGAUGGGAUGGGGCAUUUAGAUCUAGAUAGGCGAAUGACAUCUUCAGGAACUUUUACUGCUCUGUCAUACAAUGUCUUGUCUGAGACAUGUGCCUCAAAUGAUCUCUAUAGAUACUGCCCUCAGUGGGCACUUUCUUGGCCAUAUCGCAGGCAAAAUUUGUUACGGGAAAUUAUUGAUUAUGCUGCAGACAUAAUUUGCCUUCAGGAGGUACAUUAACGUGUUCUUGGUUAUGGUUUUGGUGGUUGAAAAACUUGAUUUAAUAUAUUGUUUCUUCAAGUUUUUAUGAGUUUGGUGUUGUAUUAAUAUUUGAAUUUAUUUCACAAUUCUUUACGCAUUUUUAAAGUUCAAAUCUUUUUCGUUUUUGACGAACGCUUGAUUAUGCAAUUGGUUGCAUCAAAAUAUCUGCUACGUGCAGCUUAUUCUAUUGUAUUAAAACUUGGAUUGCCACAGUUAUAAAUGAUUAGGAUACUCUUAUGAAUUUCAUAAAUAACAACAAACCAUUUCUAUAAUUUCCAAGCAUGUGAAUCAGUGUUGUAUUUUUUUUUGAUGGGUUGGAUGGGGUGUGGGAGUUUAAUUUAGAAUUUUUAUUUUCUUUUGACUUAUAAGUUCACAAUACAAUUCCUUGCAAACAUAUGAAAACAUUAAGUAGAAAAUAAUUGCUUAUGUAGAAGAUAACACUUCACCUUUUUUCCUCCAGGUUCAAAAUGACCAUUAUGACGAAUUUUUUGCUCCUGAGUUGGACAAACAUGGUUAUCACAGUCUUUUCAAGAGAAAAACAACCGAGGUUAUUGCAAUACUCCGGUCCCUUGUGGUCCUAAAUCUUCAUAUAUUUUGUUUAUAAUGUUAACCUGAUUAUUGUGGGUUUACAGGUAUCCAGUGGCAACACAAUUGAUGGUUGUGCGACAUUUUUUCGCAGAGACAAAUUUUCCCAUGUGAAGAAAUAUGAGGUUGGGAAUUGACUUUUUUUUUUGUUUACAGUCACUUGAGUUCUAUUUCUACAGACAUUAGAAUCAUGUGUGGCUUGCAUGCAGGUUGAGUUCAAUAAGGCUGCACAGUCUUUAACAGAAGCCAUGAUUCCAACCGCUCAGAAGAAAACUGCCUUGAAUCGGCUGGUCAAGGUGGCUUAUUUCCCUAAAGAUUACAUUUUAGUUCUGCUUUACUGGAUAGUCCUCUGAUUGUUGCUUACAAAAUUUCAUUGUAUUCUUAGGAUAAUGUUGCACUAAUAGUGGUUCUAGAAACGAAAGUUAACAAUCAACUAGUUGACAAUCUUGGGAAAAGACAACUUCUUUGUGUGGUAAGCUCUUUUAUGUUACUUUAAUUUACAGUCGUUUUUUUUUUCAUGUCUUAAUUGUCCAUGACGUUUGUUACAUAGAAGGCAUUUUAUUUUCAUUGCUUUUAUUUGUUGUUCCCCAGUACCAGAUUGUAAUUGCAAUAUUUGUUGAGUAUUUGUCCCAUAAGGAUAAUCUAGUGCCACACUUCAUGGAUAUUGACUAUUUAUUAAUCAUCCAUUUGUCAGUAUGAGUCGUCAUUGUCAAAUAUCUGAUAAAGAUGUAUAUGCUGAAAGAUAGAGAGACCAUCUUAGGUUGUAGUGGUGGUUUGGUGUCUUAUUUUACUGAUGGUUGUUAGUCAUGUAUAAAAUCUUUAUAUAGUACUGGUCUUAAGUUGCUUUUCUUUCCCUUUUAUUUGCUCUAAAAUCUCAUAAAAGGAACCAUGUUAGAUAUCUGGUUUCAGAGACUCAUUUUUUAACCACAUUUUAAUAUUCCUUUAAGUAAGAUAUGUCAUUUAUCCCAUCUUUCUGCCCUCCUUUACAGAUUUAGGUUAUUUUUUUCAAGUAAUUCUACUACUAACUUGUAUAUUGCUUUUGUGAACUUAGGCAAAUACACAUGUUCAUGUUCAGCAAGAUUUGAAAGAUGUCAAACUCUGGCAGGUAAGCUAUUUUUUUGGUUUGUUUCAUGCUUCACGGUUAGUUUUGAAAGUAGCAAUUACUAAUUUUCUCCUCUUUCUUUAGGUGCAUACUCUAUUAAAGGGGUUGGAAAAAAUAGCUACAAGUGCGGACAUUCCAAUGUUGGUUUGUGGAGACUUUAAUUCUGUUCCAGGAAGGUAUGGUGAAUUCUUUCUCAAUUUUAUUUUAUUUAAUUGUGCAAGGGUUAUUUAUUUGUUUAUAUAAAGGUUAUUCUGAACUUUGUUGCAGUGCUCCUCAUGCACUUCUUGCAAUGGGGAAGGUAGACCCGUCGCAUCCUGAUUUAACAGUUGACCCACUUAAUAUUUUACGCCCUCAUAGCAAGUUGGUUCACCAAUUGCCACUGGUAAUAUAUUCAUCAAAGUGCAUCUCUUAAAGAUAUGAUUUAUUUAAGAUGCAUUUUUACCCGUUUUAGUUCUAUAUACUCUUUCCAAUCUUUUGCCUUAUUUAAUUUACUAUUGGUCGUAUGUGGCUUCAAAUUUUAGGUCAGUGCAUACUCGUCUUUUGCAAGAACAGCAGGUCUUGCAUUCGAGCAGCAUAAAAGGAGACUGGAUGGCGGAACAAAAGAACCUUUGUUCACAAGCGUUACUAGAGAUUUUGUUGGCACUCUAGACUACAUAUUUUACACAGGUGAAUGUCUUGCCAUGUUGCAUUUUUGUUAUAAAUUUGACUUGUUGGUCAUAUUUUUAUGAAGUUAUACGGGUUUUGGUUUCAGCUGAUUCAUUAGUUGUGGAGUCAUUAUUGGAGUUAUUGGAUGAAGAGAGUUUGAGGAAGGACACUGCACUUCCUUCACCUGGAUGGUCCUCAGAUCAUAUAGCACUCCUAGCCGAGUUCCGCUGCUGCAAAAAUAAGUCUAGGCAUUGAUACUUUAAGGUAGGUACAAUUCUUACCCUUCCCUUCCAUAUUUGUUUUUUUGCUCGAUUUGUAUUGAUGUUGUUAAGGUCACUUGUUUAAGAAUAUUCUUUUGUUAUACACAUAUUGAUGGCUUAAUGCUUAGAUGCUGCUGGAAUUUGUAGUUGGAUAUUCUCUCAUGUUGAAGUUAUCAGUUUCAUAUUCUUUGAACAUUUUGUUUUGUAGUUGCUCGUAUAAUCUCUAAAAGGCUGGGUAACUAAGUGUUUAUUAUAUGACAAAGGGUGAGCUUGAUUAGGUUGUCACUUAGAGUGUGAGACUAGGAUGUAAUGGAUGAAAAUAAUGACAUGGUGGAAUUGGAAGUACUUAAAGCCUGCCUUAUAAUUUUGAUAUACUACUAGCUUUGUAUACGACAUAAAAACUCAGUUCCAGCUAUCUACAUUGUGUAAGGCUGUAAGCUUCAUAAAAUUUUAUAUAACACGAAACUUUAUAAACUAGUGUUAAACUUUAUAAUAAUGACACAAACUUUAUAAAUUUUUUAAAAUUGCGGCCCUUCUACCUGCUAUCUCGCUAGUGUUUUCGGAGUCUAACACAGAUUUAUGGUAAUAAUUUUAAAGCAGUACUUAAAACAAAGUAAAACUGAAGUCCUGUAAAUUUCUGACAAUACUCGUGCCAUUAUAGUAAAAUUACAUGGAUGCAUCUGUUUCACCUGUGUAGAAUAGUGGUGUAUGUGAUUUGUUGGAAUACUGGACUUGCUGUUGUAUUGAUCUGCCUUUAAAAAUUUCCCUUCCUUUUUUAUGAAUCUAAUGAAAUGAAGUAGGGCAUACUAUUUGGUAUAUCCCGUCUUUUCUGACAUUAUUCACUCGUGUGCUGGUUAAAACUUAACUAUGUGAAUCUUAAUAUGUUUAUAAAAGAACGUUCAAGUUUAUAUUUCACCGACCUAUAACUCCAAUCCCACAUCAGUUUCUUGUUCUGUGCCAGGAUAGUUUAAUUCGUUAUUGUUAUUGAUAAUAGUUGGUCAAUCUUUGUUUUGCAGUUCAGAUCCAGAGACACAUAAAGAAAAAGGCUGAAAGAAGCAUUUGGCCGGAAGUUAUUGUAAGAAUGGUGGAUCGUGCAUGUAUUUUCCAGGUAUCUCCAUGCGGGAUCCUUGCAGUGAUCUGCUUUGUAUCAUGUUACCUUACUCAUAGAAAAAUUAUGGUGAUCAUGCCUUAUUACUUUCUUCUUUGUCCCUUUUCCCUCCCAACCUUCGCUUCAAAUCUUUUUCCCUUUGUAAAGGCAAAAAUUUCUUCAAAGAUGCCUUACUGGCUCUAAUACAUCCUAGUGAACAAACCAUGUUUUUCCAAUUUAGUGGCGGCUGAGCCUAUAGUUUUAAUUCAUAACAAAGUAGUAGAAUUUGAGGGAAGUUGCUUAACAUGGACAUGAAUUUUGAACUGUUGCUUCAUUCGUAGCAACAUAGGAAGAGAUGUUUACUGUUAACAAUUGAAAACAAGUUAGACACAUUUUUCCGGCUCCCCCUAAACACAAUGGUAGCAAAUGAUCACUCUCUAUCCUUGUGUUGCAAGAAAAAUUGGCAUUUCCCUUGUGUAUAAUAUGAUAGAAGGCAUAUAUUAUGUUCCGUUAAUCGUCAUCUAUGCUGAUUACGCAUUUUAAUGUUCCUGUCGCCGUUUCUACCUAGAAUAAUUUUUUCCCUGCUAUCGUUUUAGUUUUAUUCAGGUUCUGUACUACUCACAUUGAUAUUUUGAUAGUAGUACUUUUAAAUAUGCUGGCUUUUACGAUGUUUAUAUAGGUUAGGUAGAGUAAUUUGAUGUUAUCUGACCUGCCGUAAAUGUAAUGUGUUUCUGGUUUCAAGAUUUUCGGUGUAAACAUAAGCCUUCAAUCAUGCCCAUCAUUAGCUUUCAUUCCGUAGUAACAUUUUUGCACAAGUUGCUUCCAAGUAUUUUAGUCGGAACUUUCUCAUGCUAGUUUUUCUUUUUCUAAAAGAUGCUCGUCACUGAGAAUGUGAAGUUUUUUUUUUUUUUUUGACAAAAGUAAGAAUGUGAAGAAUAUAUAAUUGUUUUCGCUGAUAAAAGUUGUAGGAAGCACAUUAUCUAUUUUAUUGAAUUGGGCAUUUGUUUUAGAAAAAAAAUUCAAAAAUUUGACAAUAAAUAAAUAAAUUGUUGUAUUUGUGUGUGUGGAAGAAAUAGUGAAACGAAAAUUCUCAAUCUAAACAAACAAAGGCAGAAAAUCUGGGUUGGGAUUGAGUUUGAUACAAGAUUUGGAAAACAAUAAUAUGAUAUGCAGCUUAGUUUGUUUCUGAAUGAAGCGCGAACAUAAAUCUAAUAAAUUUGCCAUUAAAAGGAGAUUCAUUCUAAGGCAUACAAAGUUGCCAACAGAAAAAAAUCUUAAACCAUCUUUUUGGAAAAACACAAUUCUUCCUUUGUCUUACGAUUUUCAUAUCCUUUUGAUUUUCAAAUUAUUCUUCAACUUCGAAUCAAUUUCCUUCAUAUUUCGAUCCUUUUCAUCAUUACCAACAAUUUCAUCUUCUUCAAACCAAUCAAAGUUGUUACAUCUUACACAAUCACGACGCAGUACAAAACAUUGACAAAAACUUCUUUAGUAACAGCAAUAAGACAAAUUGUAAAAAGAACUUGAAGAACACAUAACUACAUGAAAGUUCCUGCAUACCAUUUAGUAACUUAAAAAUUUUCUCUUAUAAUUUGCAAGAGUCUUUAUAGUUCAAAGAAUACAAUAAUCAAUAUAGUGACAAGAAGAAAUUUUCGAACACGGUCCAUUUCUGCAGCCUAGACGGUGCUAAUGGUUGUGAGUGACAAAAUCAUACAGUCACACUACUCAUGGAAAACACCUUCAUUGGUGACAUUGAUGCUUUAAAAUCUGAAGUUUUAGAACCCUAAAGUUGAGAAAUUCGGGGGAACACAAUUUUGGCUGUUGACAUUGAUGCUUCACACGAGGUUAAGUCAGCACUUCACAAAAGUGGCCUAUUAAUCGUAACAUCACUAACGCAAAAAACCGAAUUUGCAACUUUUAAAGGUAGUUGAGCAAAUUUAAACCUUAAAAUCAACGUAAGAGACAAUGUUAACUCAAUAUUUAUUUAACAAAAGAGACCAACUAAUUCCUAAUCAUACUGCUUGUGCGUUUAUGGUGUUGUUAAUACAUUAUGUUGUUUCAAAAACGUUCAACAUAACAAUCUCGACAUUGUCAGUUUAGUUAGACCUAACGGAUUUAUGUUUGCUAUAUUUUACUAUUAAAGGUUAAUCUUACACCACCUUUGAGAUGUCGGGUUUCUUUUGCAAAAACCUGUUUAAUGUUUGAACCUGUUGUCAUGUUUCUGAUUUUCUAAGCAUCAAGUGUCUGUAUAUUCUUCACAGCGCGAGUCCCACAUGGUUCAUAUUACAUGUGCAAGGGUCCUUGUAAUCUUAUAAAUAUAAGAGGUAGUUGUUACAAUUCUCAAACAAUCCAACGUUCCGAAAUCUAUGAGGUCGGAUUGGGUAAGACCAAUAACAACUCUUUUUGUCCAUUGGUCCAUUCCUAAUUGAUAAGGAGUUUAACUUUUUAUAUGUAAACUAAUAAAUUAUGAUUAUGAAUAAUUAUGAUUUGUGCUAGUUUAAUAGUAAAUUGUUAGGCUUUAUUUAAUAAUGAUUUUAAAUUUAGAUUUAAAUUGAACAUAUCUUGGAUUUUGUUGGAUGAAAUAGGUUUUAUAUUGAAGCUUUUUCAUAAAAAAAACUUUAUAGUAGUAAUAAAUAAAGUUGGAAAAAAAAUUAGAUGAUUUUUUUUUUAUAUAUAUAUAUUUUUUUUAUAUAUAUAUGAUGUUAUCCAUGUAGUACCGACACAUUUGAUCAAAGGCGUGGUUUUGGCACUGGCAAGACACCAACACAUGUGAUUACAUUGAAUUAUUUUAUUUAAAAAAAAUUGAUGUUAGACUUGUUCGUGUCUUCUGUGUUGUGUGUCUUGUAUCUGUGUCCGUGUUUUUGCUUCAUAGCAUGAUAUUAAUUUAAAAAGUUCCAUUUUACACAAUUGAGAGGAGGAGUCGUCUGUUUAUUAUUGAGAGAGAUAAUUCUCUACAAUAGUUAUUGGAUCUCUUGCGCGUCUUUUAAGGAGUUGCAACACUGCGCAUUUGCUAUAACACAUCGCACUUACACACAUAUCACAUACAAUUAGAUACAACUUUAUUACUUUCACAAAAUGAGAUUAGAAAAUAUUCAAGUUGAUCGUGGAUUUACAAAAUCAGAUUAAGGGAUACAAGAUCCUUGCACUUCAACAUACACUGAAGUCCUUGAUUUGUAAGAUUUUGCAAGGCAAACUUACUUCUCUUUCAGUUUUUAGUAGAUAAAAUUGUGUAUACAAUUCUUCAUAAAUCCAAGAGUUUACCUUGUCAUCACAAAUAUAAAAAAAACAUGAGAUAUAUCAGAAGGUAUACUUUCCUGUAAGCUUCAUCUAUAAAAGUAAACAAGAUUGAUAUUGUGAAUUAAUCCCAUCUAAGGGCUAAACAACUUUGAAAUAAAUAUUUGAGUUGUAGUGUCUACCUAGACAUUUCAUAGAGAUUCAAACUCUAAAGUGAUUUCAACUCCACGUCAGUUAACUUGACGAACCUAGAUGUGAAAUUACAAAAUAUUUAUAUGUUAGGAAUCCAAAAUUGAUAAAAAAGCACAACGUUAUUGAAAGAAUGAGAAUAUGAUAGAAGAGUUUUGUCCAAGGGUUCCCUUCUACCCUACGACUCUAUUCAUUCAGUGUUUACAUAUCUAAACUUUAAGUGGUAAGAGCUUGAUCUUGUAAUCUCGAGCGAUGAAGUUCAAAUUCCCAUGAAGAUGAUUGUAAAAUGAUUGAUAGUGUCAUUUUAAUUAAUAAAAGUACUAUCUUAGAGAAAAAAAAUAACUAGAUGUUAAUGUCUUGUAAUUAAUAACUCUAUUCAUUCAAUGUUUACAUAUCUAAACUUUGUUAGUGUCUGUCCAUCUCUAAUUGUGUCCUAUAAAAUAAAGAGAGAGAAAAAAAACUAAGUAAUGAUAUCUACAACCUCAGUUUGGUUAUGAAAAGCUAAGGAUUGAUUUUCAACUUUAACUCAAACCAGGGGCGUAGCCCUUCAUAUGGGAGGGGUAGCCUUGGCUACCCCAAAAAAAGUAUUAUUCUUGAAUUAAUCGGUAUAUAUUUAUAUCCGGCUACCCUAAAUAAUAAACAUUGAGCUACCUCAAAUAAGUUUAGUUGCAAAAAUUAGCAUAAAUAAUAAAGUAAAAAACUACUACAAGAUUGAUAGAUUUAUUUGUAUUGGUUUGAUAUUUUCGGUCUCAAUAACAACAAUAAAGAAACCUUUUUCAACAACAAAAAUUAACAAGACAAUAGUCGUAGACAAAUUAAACAGACAAUGAGUUUCUUGCAAAUAACAUAUUUAUUUACAUUUAAAAAGUCAUUAUUAAUCUAUUAUUAAACAGACAAUUAUUGAUGAAAUUGGGUUCUUCAAAUGCAUUUUGCCCAAUGUUUUAAAAUAGCGAAUUUUAUGUUAAGUUUUUAAGAUUUGUUAAUUUUAGUCCUUAAUUUUUUGUUAGAGAUUAAAUUCAAGACUAAAAACACUUUUUUUUUGUAAAAUUUUAAAAAACUAAGACAAAAAUUGAAUAAUUUUUUUAAGACUAAACCUAAAAAAUUAUAAUUUAUGGGACUAAAAAUAUAUUUUAUCCUUAAAUUUAAUAUGUUUGUUUUCAAAAAAAAAUUCUUCUUUAUAGUUAGCCCCUGCAUAAAUUUUUUGCGAGCUUCGCCGCUGACUCAAACAUUGCACAUUACGAAAAUGGCUUCAAUUUCUGUAUCCAAUAUUUGUUGACAGAUGUUCUCCAAACUUUGAAGAGAAUCAAAACGCUAAAAAUGAAUGUUUAAGGGAAAAGUACAAAAUGCAUGUCCCUUAUAAACUGAUACUUCUCACUUCAAACUGAUACAUAGUGGAAUCGAACAUUGCAUCCCUUUUUCAUAUAAAUUUUAUUUAUAUUUGAUAUUUGAUUUGUUUGAAUCAACUUUGUGGUUCAAAUUUACGAAAGGUAGUUUUGAUUUUUUUUAUCAAAUUGUUGAACAUUCUUCCAUGUUUGAUAUUUUUUAAUCAUCAGAAAUUGUGGAGAAAUACUUGAUUGGAGACAACCUCAAAUAAAAAAUAUUUAGAUACAUUCACGUGAAUGAUAAAAUUUAAAAGAAAAUAAUUUAGUCACUCACUUAAUAUCAUUUAUCUUUUAAAUUUUAUCAAUCAUGUGUGUCCAAAUAAAUUUUAUUUGGGUUUGUGCCUAUGGAAGACUUGCUCGAUGUUGUGUUGUCUAUUGUAACCUUCAACUUAAAUUAUACGUAUUAGCGUAACAAAAAAAUAGACAGACAUAAAGUAUUACUCUAAACGCUAAUGUGUGUGUGUGCAUAUUUGUGAGGUUGAAGAAACGGAAUAAAUGGACUGGUUCAAAAAAAAAAUGGAAGAAAAAAACAAAUUGAAAUAUAAUAUUAAAAAAUUAAAAAAAGGUUGUCAACAUGAGUUGAAGAGAGAUGCUUGUGAAAUAAAUUGCCGAGAAGUAAUUUUUUGAAGUAGCAUUCAACAACUUUUGGUCAAAGCUCAUUCCAUGCAAUUUUAUGCAUUUUAUUGAUAUUGUGUUUGGCCUAGAUUCUUCUUAAAAAUGUAGAGAAGCUGGAAAAAAGUCGGGUCAAACGGUACCCUAAUAUUUUAUGUAACAUAAAUAACACAAAUUCCUAAAAGUUAAUUUUAUUAUAUAUGUGUUAAUAUUUUUACUAAAUCCAAUUAAUUUUAUCUGUAUGUGCAUCUAUAAAUUUACGAGUAUUUAUAAUAUGGUAUAUUUUAUUAUAUUUGUGUGUAUUUAUUAAGAUAUUCAUCCUAUUCCAAUCCGUGAUAAAUUUUAUUUGCGGAUAUCAUACAUGUAAUUUUUUUAUCUUCUUGAAUAUGUCUAAUCCAGGAAACGCCGGGUAAAUACACUAGUAUAUAUAUAUAUAGUAAGGUUUUUUAUGUUACGUGUCGUUUUAUGUUUAUUCUCAAUAUUUUAUUUUUUAAUUUUUAAUUUUUUAAAUCAGUUUUUAAAUCUUGCAUAAAUAUCUCAACAAACAUUUUAUCUUAGUUUUCAAUCCUAUCCAUUAAAUAUUUCAUUUAAUUUUUUUAUUUAAUUUUUGGUUGAAUUAAUUGAUGUCUAAUUUAAUUUUAACAUAAUGUAUUUCAAUAAAUAUAAUAAUUUUUUAUAAGCUUUUGAACUCUCAAAUUUGUUAAUAUUUUUAAAAUGAUUUUAUUAUCUUUUAAUUUUCAAUUUUUUUUUAUCAACAUUCAAUUUUUUUUUUGAAUUUUAAAUUUCAUAUUUAUUGGUUUUAAAAUAUUAUACCGUUUGAUUCACAUACUUUGAGAACAAACGAAAACAUGAUUUGGAUCUUUUUAGUUCUCCAUCUUUAGUAAAGACCAUUUCAAUUAAAGUCAGGAUCCGUUGACAUCAGGUGUGUAAGUCAAAAGAUUUACACCAAAUCUCAUCAAUUCAAUUUGACGGAUCUUAUGGUUAAAACAUUUCACAAAUAAACAACACCUGAUCUAUUUUUAAUGAAUUCCACACGAGUGUUACCAUUCUUUCCUGAAAGUGCUGCCGCUAUCACGCAAUCAACAACACACUCCUCCUUUCUCAUAUGAAGCACGACACUUUGGGAGAAGGAUGAUAAAUGGUCCAUAUUCCAAAUUUACAAACUUAUUGAUAACUAUAUCACAUGUUUCUUUUCCGCUAUAUAAGUUUUGAUGAAGCGGCACCGCCAUCAUCUCAUGUCAUUAUUAGGUGCAACGUAUCAAUGAUUACAAUUGGGUUUACUGAGUGGUCAAUUCUCCAUGAGUGAGUUGCGAUAAUGAUUUCAAUGUGUUGCGAUCAAGAUUCACAAAAUUGCACCAUGGUUUUUAAUUAAUUCUUGAAACAUUUGAGGUUUAACCAUAAAUUGUUAUAAUUCACAAUAACAUGAACCAAUAAUUAUUUUAAAUUGAGACUAGUGACAGGAGAAUGAACCAGGUCGAAAUCGAAAAAAGAGAAAAUAAAAAAUAGCAUGCUUUCUCUUAUUGUUGACCACAUGAUCUAUUUUUGCUGGGAUAUUUUCAGCCUUUGGAUUAAAUAGUUAUAACGGUUUAGAUUUGGUAUAAGUAUUUUGACUUGUAUUUUGACUUACACCUGGUGUACUCAAAGUAUUUGUUGCAAAUCAAAAUUAACCAAGUCAGGCUUAAAAUUAAGAAGUGCAAUCAUACAUAAAAACAUUAUCAGUCAAAACUUAGCCCAAAAAAAAAAAAACAUUAUCCAUUGGCAAAAGGACCCAUCGAUUGACUAUUAUGACAUCCUUGCGUCUUUAAAAUAUUGAUCACAGAAUUCCAUUUCCAUAGCUUUGCACCCUGCUGAUAUUAAAGAAUUCAAAUAUGCAUAUAGAAACUAAAAUUGAGAAACUUGAAUCAAAAGCAAUGUAAAGGCAACAUAAACUUUGUUUAAGAUUUUCAGAAGAAAAAAAAAACUCACUCUAUACUAUCUUCAAACAAUGCACGUUGCAAAGACAAUGAUACACAUAGAGAGCUAGAAUGAAUUCCUGUGCGAAUCGAACUGAAGGAGUCUCCUCCUCCAUAACUCUAGUCAGGAUAGUAAGCAACCCCUCUCUCCCAGCCCGCUGCUGUUUAGAAAUUGAUAUUGAAGAUUUAAAAUAUGCACAGAAACUAUAAUUGCGAAACUUGAAUCAAAAGCAUUGCUAAAGGCCUCAUAAACUUUGGUAACAUUUGCAAAAAAAACUUGCCUGAGUUUCUUGGUAAGGUAGGUUGUGGGUAGAAGUUAAAGAUGGUCUAACCCUUGAAGUUUGAGCCCUCACAUAGCCGUACCGAUAAUAAGGACCAGGCCCACGGGGAUAACGUCUAAAGAGCAGGUCCAGUAGAUUGAGUUUGAGCAUGAAUUCAACCAAAGAAUGCUCUUCGUGUAUGCUCUCUAGCAAACAAAAAUAAGAAAGAAUGAAAUCAUAAAUCACUAUAGGACGACAUCAAGAUGCUAAAAUAAUAAUGAACAAAAUGGGCUCUCCCAAGUCUAGAAACUAUCCCAAACAAAAACAUAAUAUCCUAUGUGCAUCAACACUAUAGAGCUUGCAUCUUAAUAAAAACAAUAAAGAAAACAAAAUUGCAUCUUCACAUGGUUCUAAAGUCAAAAUCUAAAUCCUGAAAGAUAGAUGUAGUACAUGGUUAACUUAAAUUAAUUCAACCAAGUGCAGAAAAUACAGUGUAUUAAUAAUUCAACAUGGACAACGUUGAACAAACUUAGACAAAGACAACAAAGUAAGACAAUCUAGAAUAAAAAACAUCCAUACAAUUGGUUGAUAUUAAAAAGUGAUGAUUCGAGUUACCUAUUUGCAUUUGAGAUUUGAUGAAGAUUGGGGAGACACUCGGUUCCUGGCAUCGUUCCUCCAAUUUCCAACAGCACAACUAGUAUGAAAGAACAAAAAUAUUUACAAAUUAAAAUUGAUGAUGCUGAUCAGAAUAAUAACAACAAAAAUAACCGGUUGUUUAAUGAUGUUAGAGAAUCAACUAAAAUCUCUCAAAUACAUGAACUAUGAGGAAAGCUCACUGCAUCCUCCAAAAUAAAAAGAAAAUCUGCAAGUUAUUAUCUACUCGGCAAGGAAAUGGAAUUAACAGAGAUAAAGUGCUAAUGUAUCACAUGGAAUGAAGGGACAAGAGAUACAUUCUUAGAUUUGUGCUAUAGUGUCUAACAGUCAACACAAAGUCACCACAUUGUAUCUAGAUCAAAAAUCACACAGGAAUUUAAAUGAUUACAAACGGAUGAAGUUGGAGUUUACAAGAUAAAUCACCCUCAAGAGGGAUGAUUCGUUCUCAGCCUUUGAAAACAAAAGAAGCAUGCACAAACACAACGACUAUUCGAAACUUCAAUCCCAACUUAACAAUAGACGACAGACAAUUAGUGUCUCGGGUUUAACUCCAUCACAACACACUUAAUGCCAAUUCAUUACACUCGAAGUCUGUUUUAAUUUCUUCAAAUUCAGCGCGAACUUAACCUUAACUUAUGUGUUCUACAUCUGUACCCUCUACAAGUUUCAUGCUUGAGGACAACUACAAAUUUUAUCUUUUACUAUUUUAUUUGAAUGGAUUCAAUGACAGAGUGAAUAGCCAUUAUGACAUACCUCAACACCGUCAACAACAGCAAUAUGAUGAACAGUUGAUUCAGUAUGAUGAACAGUUGAUUCAUCUUCAUUUUCCAUAUCUUCUUCUGUCACAUACCCUUCAUCUUCACUUUCCAUAUCUUCUUCUGUCACAUACCCUUCAUCUUCACUUUCCAUAUCUUCUGUCAAAUCUGACCCAGAAUUUUUAGAAUCUUCAUUUCCCAUAUCUCCUGUCUCAUCUGGCACAUAAUUUUCAAAAGAAGCAACUGCAUCUCCAAAGUAUGGACGAAUGCCCAUGACUAGUCCAAACAUCUUCAAAACCUUCUCAUCAUUCCAGUAUCUGCAUGGAAUGAAUCGCUUCAGAAAUUAUUUACCAAUUUACACCACAACAAUUUAUGGUGGAAAUAGGAAAUGCCAAAACAAUAAAAUAGAAUUAAAAAAUUGUGUUUCAACCUCAUCAUUACUUCAGGACCACCAUUCUCUAUCUCAUCUAAAAUAAGUUUCAAACAUUGAUCUUUGUUCAAGUGUGCCGUUCUACGUUUACGCUGGCCUUCAAGUGACGGAUCGGUAUAAAUUUCCACCAUGGAAGACAUUGAUGGGUCCUGUGAUAGACAGCACAUGCAUUUUAAUCUAACAACCAGCAGAAGUGUUACAAACAUAACGAAGAAAUUUUAAAAAUACCUGCAUCAAAGCCCAAAUCAGGCGCCUGACCAUGGUUUUAAAAUCAAGAUUCUUUCCGAUCUGUAGCAUGGUUGAAGCAUACUUCGGAUCACGAGAAUUUGAGAGAUCAUCCUGUGGUGCUUCAUGCAAAGUUUCCUGAAGCUGUUCAGCCAGUUUCCUGAUAUUUGGAUCCUAUGACACAUUGACAUUUUAAGACGCCGUGAUGAAAUACUAAUAUUAUAUACAUUAGUAAUUUAGAGUGUACAUCCAAUAAAUGACAUUCCCUAGUGAGUGAAAAAUGAAAAGAGGAAGACUUGGGUCAACCAUAUGAUGGUUCAAAAGUCAUCAAAUGCUUGCUUCACUUAACUUAAACUAUCAAUAAAUCUCAGUUGUAUACAUGCCUUAAAAGAUAGCAGCCAUAAGCCCAUAAGAACAAUACUAUCUGCAAAAUCUUAUCCAAGUUGGCAGGAACUACAAAAGGCUUACUCCACUAUCAUGGUAUGUAAAGCUUUGAAGAAAACAGUAUACAAUCUUAAUGAACACUUUUUGCCAACAGUGAAGACAUUAGACAUCUGAAAAACAUUCAGAAUUUGUCUUCAUAAAACCUAUUCCUAGAAGUAUUGUCUGAUCAUUGGCUGCAAAAUUGCAAAUGAAUCAAAUCUGAUGCCUGACCAGGACAAAAACAAAAGCACAUACUCAUGUAGUCCAAGCAAACAGGCUCAACAAAAUUAACAAUUCACACAGUUUGAUUAUCAAUAAAUACAGCACACACCACACAUGCAAAUAACACAAGAACGGAGAGAAGAGCUUACAUUGAGCAGGGCUGAGAAAUCAAAACGUCCAGGAGUAGCUGUCCAGGAGUAUUAUCCAUGUAAGUAAAAAUCACAUAAUGAGGAUACUUAUGUAAUGUAAAAACCUAUCUAUACCAACACAUCUGAUGAAAGUUGUGUCAAGUGUCCGGCGUUGACUCAUGUGAUUACAUUCAAUUAUGUCAUUUUUUUUUGUUUAAAUAAUUAUUGGUGUUGCUAAAAAAAAGGGUUAAUAUAUGAUUACCCCCCUAGAUUAUUAUUCGUGGUUUCUGGUUUACUUGCAAAAAAAAAAAAAUUAGAUUCCAACAUAGAAGAUUCUUUGAGUUUGGACUUUCAUGACAUCAAAUUUCAAAAUUUAAAGUACUUUCGCCCCUCGAUGCGAAUUUCGGUUUACCCCUAGCAUACAAUCUAAUUGUAGAGAGCCUAGACCAGAAACCGCUGGUAUUAUAUGUUUAACAUAUAGAGAAGUGUUAUUUGAACAACCAUUUGAUUGACAACUUAUGGUACAACCAUAAGUUGAAAAAUAAUGUGAGUAUGAGAGAAAGUUGUCACAAAAUGGAUGUUCAAACAAUUUUGUCACCAUGUAGCCUUUCCUAGUGGUGUGGUGCGACGAGAUCUUUCUCUACACCACCGUAAUAUAUGUUCAAACUUAUUGGUGUUGCUCCAAAAAAAAAAGGUUAAUAUAUGUUUAUCCCCCUAGAUUAUCCGGGGUUUCUGGUUUACCCUUCCAAAAAAAAAAAAUAUAUAUAUAUAGAGGUAGGAUCCGUUGACACCAGGUGUAAGUAUGAAGACUUACAACAAAUCUAACGACUCAUACUAUUUCAAUAAUAAAUGAAAAGAAAACACAUUAAGAAGUUAUGAGAUAUCCUUGAUUUGUUAUUAAUUAUUGUCUAUCAAAAUUUAAAGUACUUUCGCCCCUCGUGAUUUGAGCGAAUUUCGGUUUACCCCUAGCAUAGGGCUAAACCAGAAACCGCUGAUAUUACAGGUAAACAUGUAUUAACCAAGAAAAAAUCCAAACAAUUUUGUCACCAUGUAGCCUUCUAUGAAGCACGGAAGAACACACCGACACAGCUAAUAAUUUGAAAAAAUUAUAUACUUCAGUGUAACACGAAGAGUGUCCGUGCUUCAUAGGUAGCCUUUCCUGGUGACGAGAUCUUUCUCCACACCACCGUAACCGGAUCUCCCGAGUUACCGUCUUCUAAACCCCUUUUGGGUCAAGUUACUGUCUUCCACCUUGUGUUGGGUGAUUGUUGUGGUGAUGGUUUGUUAAGCCUUACCCCUUUUCAGGCUCAAUCUGGUAAUUGUUCUGGUUGUUUAGAUCAGACUACGAGUUUUUGAAGCAUAGGUAAUAAAAGCAAAACAUCAAACUAGUCUAGUAUGGAUACAAACACAGACACGACACUAACACGCCGACACCACUAAUAGUUUAAAAAAAUCACAUAACUCAGUGUAAUUAAAUGUGUCAGUAUCCUGUCGGACGCUCUAACACGCCUAAUCCGAGAAGUGUCGGUGCUUCAUUAGAUCAAACAGCGAACGCUGAAGCAAUAGUAAAAAAUUGAUAACAAAAACNAGUCAAAAGAUUUACACCAAAUCUCAUCAAUUCAAUUUGACGGAUCUUAUGGUUAAAACAUUUCACAAAUAAACAACACCUGAUCUAUUUUUAAUAAAUUCCACACGAGUGUUACCGUUCUUUCCUGAAAGUGCUGCCGCUAUCACGCAAUCAACAACACACUCCUCCUUUCUCAUAUGAAGCACAACACUUUGGGAGUAGGAUGAGAAAUUGUGCAUAUUCCAAAUUUACAAACUUAUUGAUAACUAUGUCACAUGAUUCUUUUCCACUAUAUAGGUUUUGAUGAAGCAGCACCGCCAUCAUCUCAUGUCAUUAUUAGGUGCAACGUAUUAAUGAUUACAAUUUGGUUUACUGAGUGGUCAAUUCUCCAUGAGUGAGUUGCAAUAAUGAUUUCAAUGUGUUGCGAUCAAGAUUCACAAAAUUGCACCAUGGUUUUAAAUUAAUUCUUGAAACAUUUGAGGUUUAACCAUAAAUUGUUAUAAUUCACAAUAACAUGAACCAAUAAUUAUUUUAAAUUGAGACUAGUGACAGGAGAAUGAACCAGGUCGAAAUCGAAAAAAGAGAAAAUAAAAAAUAGCAUGCUUUCUCUUAUUGUUGACCACAUGAUCUAUUUUUGCUGGGAUAUUUUCAGCCUUUGGAUUAAAUAGUUANNNNNNNNNNNNNNNNNNNNNNNNNNNNNNNNNNNNNNNNNNNNNNNNNNNNNNNNNNNNNNNNNNNNNNNNNNNNNNNNNNNNNNNNNNNNNNNNNNNNNNNNNNNNNNNNNNNNNNNNNNNNNNNNNNNNNNNNNNNNNNNNNNNNNNNNNNNNNNNNNNNNNNNNNNNNNNNNNNNNNNNNNNNNNNNNNNNNNNNNNNNNNNNNNNNNNNNNNNNNNNNNNNNNNNNNNNNNNNNNNNNNNNNNNNNNNNNNNNNNNNNNNNNNNNNNNNNNNNNNNNNNNNNNNNNNNNNNNNNNNNNNNNNNNNNNNNNNNNNNNNNNNNNNNNNNNNNNNNNNNNNNNNNNNNNNNNNNNNNNNNNNNNNNNNNNNNNNNNNNNNNNNNNNNNNNNNNNNNNNNNNNNNNNNNNNNNNNNNNNNNNNNNNNNNNNNNNNNNNNNNNNNNNNNNNNNNNNNNNNNNNNNNNNNNNNNNNNNNNNNNNNNNNNNNNNNNNNNNNNNNNNNNNNNNNNNNNNNNNNNNNNNNNNNNNNNNNNNNNNNNNNNNNNNNNNNNNNNNNNNNNNNNNNNNNNNNNNNNNNNNNNNNNNNNNNNNNNNNNNNNNNNNNNNNNNNNNNNNNNNNNNNNNNNNNNNNNNNNNNNNNNNNNNNNNNNNNNNNNNNNNNNNNNNNNNNNNNNNNNNNNNNNNNNNNNNNNNNNNNNNNNNNNNNNNNNNNNNNNNNNNNNNNNNNNNNNNNNNNNNNNNNNNNNNNNNNNNNNNNNNNNNNNNNNNNNNNNNNNNNNNNNNNNNNNNNNNNNNNNNNNNNNNNNNNNNNNNNNNNNNNNNNNNNNNNNNNNNNNNNNNNNNNNNNNNNNNNNNNNNNNNNNNNNNNNNNNNNNNNNNNUAAGGCUAUGUUUGGUUUGGAGAAGAAAGUUAAAGGAAAGAAAGUGUAAGGAUAGAUAGUAGAAGGAAAGAAAGGUAGAAGAAAGUGAGAUGAUUUGUUUAGUUGUUUGGUAUGAAAGACUUUGAAUAGACUGUGAGAGGAAAGAAAGAUAUGUAUAUUUGCAAAAUUACAUUUAUAACCUUAAAAGGUUUUAGCUGAAUGUGUUAAUUUCAAAUUAAUUAUGCUAUCUACACAUUUAAAUAUAUUUUAUUAAUAUUUUUUAAUUUACAUAACAUUUGUUAAAAAUUUUGUUAAUGACCUUUUUGUUCAAAACAUCAUGCCAAGAGAGAAAAAAAAUUGGAGCAUGAUCCUAAAGCAUAGCUUAUCAGACCAUUGCCUUGGUUCAACAUAGUAGUAAUAUUUAUAAUACAGCAAGGGUAUUUUUGACAUUUUUCCAAAAAGUGAAUGCUUCUUCAAUGUUUCUGUCCAAAAUAGGGAGGAAAGAUUUUGAGCAUGGGUCCCACCUCAAACUUUCUUUCCUCUACUUUUUGAAGUGCUUCCAAACUAUGGAAAGCCAACCUUUCCACAAACUUUCUUUCCUUCUUCAAUCUUUCCUUUAUAUUUCUCUGGAUCCAAACGCAACCUAAAGACAUUGGGUCACUCAUAGACAGCAUCCACAAUGGGAGAGUCUUAAACAUUUAAGACCUGAUACCUAAUAGGUACCUCCACCCCCAUUGUGGGAAAAAAUUGAGGGUUUGAAAAGAUGGAAGGUCUAAAUUAUGACCUCAUUCUUAAAUUGGCCCACAUCACUUUUUUAUUAAAAUAAUAAUUAAAAGUGUAUUAAAAUAGAUACUCCCUCCGUCCCAAAUUGUAUGUCACUUUAAAAAAAAAAAAAAUUGUUCCAAAUUGUAUGUCACUUUAGAAUAUCAAUGAAACAUUAAUGUUACUUUUCCUAUUAUAUCCUUAACUAUUUAUUACUCUUUUUUUUUUUCAAUUCUUUCAUUUAUCUUUCCCAUAUCAUUUAUUAAGGAUAAUUUUGUAAAACAACUCAUAAUAUAUCUUUUCCACACAAUAUUAAUUACAUUUCUUAAUAUGUGUGAAAUGCCCAAAACGUCAUACAAUUUGGGACGGAGGGAGUAGUUUAUUAAAUAAAUAAUAUUGGUGGGAUCCAAUUAGACCUUUUGUUAGAGGGUCUCUAUUGGAGUGGUUGAGUACCUGUUAAGUACUAUUAUUAAAAUAUUAUUAAAAAAGUUAUGUGUCAAUGUGGGACCCAUUUAAGACCUCAAAGAUGAGAGUCUCCAUUGUGGAUGCUCUAAGGCGGUCGACCAACGAAUCACCCACAUCAGCAUAACUGAAUUGGACCAUAUUGGAUGAAUUGAUUAGAUAACUCGUUGUUUAGAUUAAAUUUGUAUAGAUAUGUGAUUAUAUUAAAUCAGCGGCGAUUCGAUCACUCUAAAAACUAGAAUAAUGACACAUAUAGAAUAAAAAUGGAUAUCCAACAAAUAUAAUUUCAUAGACUAAUUAUUAUGAAGUUUGAAUAAAAUAUUUGUACUUUACAUUAAUACUAUGUUAGAGACCCAGCAUACGCCGGGUUAGAUAUAUUAAAUAAGGUUGUGUACACAUUCAAAUGAUCUUAAUCUUGAAAUGAGGUCAAAUUUUAUAGCCAUGAUUUUUAAGGGAAAAAGACAUGAUCAUGAAAUUUGUGAUUUGAUUAGUAAAAAUCAAAAGUGAAUGAAGGUAUUCUAAGUGUGUAUUGAUAUGUGUUAUAUAAAAACAAAAACAAUUAAAGUAUCAUUAUACUUUGGUUGAUACAUGUUGUAUAAAAAUUAAAGUAUAUGUUAAAGAAUAAUUCAAAGAGUUAGGAUCCGUUGACACCAGAUGUAUGUCAAAAGAUUUACACUAAAUCUAAACCGUUAUAACUAUUUAAUCCAAAGGCUGAAAAUAUCCCAACAAAAAUAGAUCAUGUGGUCAACAAUAAGAGAAAGCAGACUAUUUUUUAUUUUCUCUUCUUUUUUCGAUUUCUACCUGGUUCAUUCUCUUGUUACUAGUCUCGUCUCUCAAUUUGUCUUCCAUUUAAAAUAAGAGUUAGGAUCCGUUGACACCAGGUGUAAGUCAAAACAUUUACACCAAAUCUCAUCCAUUCAAUUUGACGGAUCUUAUUGUUAAAACAUUUCAUAAAUAAAUAACACCUGGUCUAUUUUUAAUGAAUUCCACACCAGUGUUACCAUUCUUUCCUGAAAGUGCUGCCGCUAUCACGGAGAAAUUAAGUGCGUUAUGACGGAGUUAAACCCUAGACACUAAUUGUUUGUCCUUUAUUGUUAAGCUGGGUUUGAAUUUUCCAAUAGUUGUGUGUUUGUGCAUGCUUCUUUUGUUUUCAAAGGCUGAGAGUCAAUCAUCCCUCUUGAAGAUGAUUUCUCUUGUAAACUGCAACUUUAUUCGUUUGUAAUCAUUUAAAUUCCUCUGUGUGAAUUUUGAUCUAAAAUUCUAGAUAUAAUGUGGUGACUUUGUGUUGACUGUUAGACAUUAUAGCACGAACCUAAGAAUGUAGCUCUUGUCCCUUCAUUCCAUGUGAUACAUUAGUACUUCCAGUUUCUUUUUAUUUUGGAGGAUGUAGUGAGCUUUCCUCAUAGUUGACUGUGUAUUUGAGAGAUUUUAGUUGAUUCUCUAACAUCAUUAAACAACCGGUUGUUGUUGUUGUUGUUGUUGUUGUUUUGAUCAUCAUCAUCAUCGAUUUUAAUUUGUAUAAACAUUUUGUUCUUUCAUACUAGUUGUGCUGUUGGAAAUUGGAGGAACGGUGCCAGCAACCGAGUGUCUCCCCAAUCAUCAUCAAAUCUCAAAUGCAAAUAGGUAAAUCAAAUAAUCUCAUUUUAAUAUCAACCAAUUAUUAAUACACUGUAUUUUCUGCACUUGGUUGAAUUAAUUUAUGUUAACCAUGUACCACAUCUAUCUUUCACAAUUUAGAUUUUGACAUUAGAACCAUGUGAAGAUGCAACUUUGUUUUUUCUUUAUUGUUUUUAUUAACAUGCAAGCUCUUGAGUAAUGAUGCACAUAGGCUAUUUUGUUUUGGUUGGGAUUGUUUCUAGACUUGGGGCCCAUUUUGUUCAUUAUUAUUUUAGUAUCUUGAUGACAUCCUAUAGUGAUUUGUGAUUUCAUUCUGUCUUUUUUUUGUAUGCUAGAGAGCAUACUCGAAGAGCAUUCUUUGGUUGAAUUCAUGCUCAAACUCAAUCAACUGGAUCUUCUCUUUAGACGUUAUACUCGUGGGCCUGUUCCUUAUUAUUGGUACGACUAUGUGAGGGCUCAAACUCCGAGGGUUAGAUCAUCUUUAACUUCUACCCACAACCUACCUUACCAAGAAACCCAGGCAAGUUUUUUCUGCAAAUGUUACCAAAGUUUAUGGGACCUUUAGCAAUGCUUUUGAUUCAAGCAUCACAAUUAUUGUUUCUUUCUGCAUAUUUUAAAUCUUCGAUAUCAAUUUCUAAACAGCAGCGGGGGCUGGGAGAGAGGGGUUGCUUACUAUCCUGACUAGAGUUAUGGAGGAGACUCCUUCAGUUCCAUUCACACAGGAGUUCAUUCUAGUUCUCUUUAUGUAUCAUAGUCUUUGCAACGUGCAUUAUUCAAGGCCUAUUUGAAUUCUUUAAUAUCAGCAGUGUACGAAGCUACAGAAAUGGAAUUUUGGGAUCAAUAUUUUGAAGAGACGCAAUGUUUGGAGGCUGAGUGAGAUCAAAUGGUAUGUGCUUUAGAGACUCUUCCAGACUGUUUAUGCUUGGCAAAUCAGAUUAAUUUUACUCGUCCACCACUGUUCUAGAAGUUGAAAUCAUAGGUUUACUAGAAGCUCUCAAAAUUCAAAAUGGCCAUAUCAAACGGAUUGCAAAACUAUAUUUGAUGCUCUUGCCGUCACCGACAUUCCUCUCAAUGAAUUUGGUGAUAUUAUNAAGGCCUAUUUGAAUUCUUUAAUAUCAGCAGUGUACGAAGCUACAGAAAUGGAAUUUUGGGAUCAAUAUUUUGAAGAGACGCAAUGUUUGGAGGCUGAGUGAGAUCAAAUGGUAUGUGCUUUAGAGACUCUUACAGACUGUUUAUGCUUGGCAAAUCAGAUUAAUUUUACUCGUCCACCACUGUUCUAGAAGUUGAAAUCAUAGGUUUACUAGAAGCUAUCAAAAUUCAAAAUGGCCAUAUCAAACGGAUUGCAAAACUAUAUUUGAUGCUCUUGCCGUCACCGACAUUCCUCUCAAUGAAUUUGGUGAUAUUAUAUCUCAUAGUAUCGCAAGAGCUUCCCCAAAUUUUUAACAUUGUACCAGCUACUUUAUACCCAUUGAUUUUGAAUGAAAUAGCUUAACUUUGCCUUUGUCCAAAAAAAAAAAUAUAUAUAUAUAUAUAUAGUUAUCAAAAUGAGUUUUAAUAUGUGUGCUAAACUAUAUUUCUUUUGCAUUCUAGAUGAUUAUUUAAAUUCUAUUAAGUUAAUAAAUUUAAUAUAAUCGUACAGUGUUUUUUAUCUUUAGGCAAAAAAACAAGGAUUCUAAGUUAACAAGAAAACUUGGUGUGUGGUUCUAAAGCGUGAAUACAAGGAUUUCAACUUUUUUUUUUUUUUUUUAGUAAAAAUAAAAGGCACGCAUUUUGUAAAAUGUAUUCUACGGAUCAGAAAAUACCAACCACGUCAUAGAAGUAAUUCUCAUUAACGCAAAAGCUACUCUUAGCGUGUGUUUGAUUCCGCGGUGGUGAUAAUUGAGUUUGAGAUAAUUGAUUUUGACUAAAAGUGAGUUGAAUGUAAUUGAUUUAUGUUUGGAUACAAUAACCUAAAAUUGAUUCUUAUCAAUUUAUGUUGUUUGGGUGGUUUGAAUCAAAAUUACUUUUGAAAGUAUAAUUAUCAAAAUGGGUUUUAAUUGUAUUUAAAACUACAUUGAUAUUUUAUUUUAAACAAUUAUUUUAUAAAUAUCAUUUUUUCUUGUUCAAAAAAAAAUUAUAAAAUUAUUUAAAUUUAUUUUUUUUAGCAAAUUAUUAUUUAAAUUUAUGUUAUGUUAUCAAUUAAAAUUCUGUAUAGAUUAUAUGAACUUGUAAAAUAAAAUACAAAACUUUUUUUGCCAGUUAAAAUAAAAUACAUAGCAUGAUUGAACGAGUAAAAAAAUUAUAGAAGAAUGAUUGCAUAUAAAAAAUAAUUGGCCAUAAUACCAGGGACAAAAAAUGCUUGCGUGUAAGAAGGAAAAGAAAAUUAGGAGCAUGAUUUACAUAUAAGAAACAAGGGCAUAACGGACAAACAGGGAUAUUAUAUCAAAUCAUUGUUUAGCAAAAGAGUAGAAUUGAGUUGGUUCAACGCAGAAGCUUUAAAUCCGAGCUUCAAACCAACUCACGUUUGGGCUCCAUAAUCAAUUUACCUUUUUGAAAGCCAAACAUAAAUUUUAUUAUGAAAUAGCUUUUCAUUGCCGUAAACGUGAGUUUUGGUGCACUCACCGUGCAACCAAACAAGCACUUACUAUCCUUAAGUUUAAAGUUAUACGUGAGUUUGGAGCAAAAUCGCAUCAAAAAAUAGUUAACCAAACAUGUGAGUUUUGUUGUAAAACUGAACCAAACAAGAACUAAUUCACAACACCACUCGUGUUCAACUUCAUAAAAAAUAAUAAAAAUAAUAUUAAAAACUUAAAACUGUCGUCUUCGGAACCAAAAUGAAAUACUUUAAAGUAACCUCUCUGCCGAAAUUUCGUAAAAUCAGUUUAAAAGACGAGUAAAAAGAGAAAAAAUUGGAUCAAAAAUGGGAUAUGAUGUCAUAUUGACUAACGGAAAAACUGACGAAAGGGACAAAUUGUCUACGUUUAAAAAUUUUAGGCGGAGGUUUUAACUUUUUUUCGAAUUUGGAGGAAUUUGCACAAUUUUAUAAUUUCAAGAAAUACAAGUGUGUCCUUAAGAAGCUUAACUAUUAACUAAAUUAUUCCCUUAAAAAAACUAAAUUAUUAUUUUUGGACAAAAACUAAAUUUAGUUUACUUUACUAACAUACUUUAUCAUCAUUACCUAAAAAUUAAAAAUAAAAUAAUUUUGCAAGUAGUUUAGUUUAUUUUACUAGAAUAUGUAAAUUAAUUUAAAUAUUAAAAGCAAAAAUGCUAAUACUAAUAAUUAAAAAUAAAAUAAAUUAAAUUCUCUAUAAAUUCACAUGAAUUUCUUUUUGUCUAUUGAUAAAAAUUAAUAAAAAAUUAUUCCCUAAUUAAAUUACUUUUAUUUUUGGAUUUCUAAAUAAUAUAUUAAAUGAAUCAAUUUUCAAAUAUAUCAUUUUAGUGGCCUCGAGUUCAUAUUUCCCAUUCAACAAGUAAAAAUUUGGCUAUUCGUGGCAUUAUCCAUUUGGAAGCGUGUUUGUGUGUGGCUGGUUGUGUAACACCCCGAUAUCCCAAAGCAAUUAAAUAAUAAAUAUAACAACAGAGUUUAACAUCAAAUCGGGCAUGUCACACUACUUUUCAAAAUUUCUUAAAUAGAAUAUAAAACUAUUUAAUAAACAUCUUUCGUAAAACAUCAAUAAUUUGCAGCGGAAUAUUCUUCAAGCAUUAAACAUCAACAUCCAACAAUAAAUCCUGGCACAAAUGCCCCAACAUAAAUAUUCAUCAUUAAUUGUUUCAAAUAACAAUAAAAGGCUCCACAACAGGUUUCCAAAAUUUGAUACAUAAGGAAUGAAAAUAAAUAAGUAAUCUCAUCCCGUACGUAUCAGAGCCCUAGACACUUGAGCCACCACCUACUACUCAGGAUCACCUGCAAGUUACCCAUAGGAAGGGCAACAUUUCCAAGCAGAAGGGGUGAGAUUCACAACAAUAAUAAUAGAUAUAAAAUUCAUCAAUUGAAUCUAACACCCUAACAUAAUAAUAAUUAUUCAAUAUACAUAUAUAUUUCAUAAUUAACAACAUCAACAAUAAUGGUAAUUACAACCAACAACAACGACUCAUGCAACUACUCGACAACACCGCUGAGACUCUUCGACAAUGCGACAAUGCACAUGCAUGUGGUACCAAUUUACAGGCAGAAGCCCUCACCAGAUAUUGAAUGGUUAAAGCAUUCAUCAGGGCAUAAGCCCUCACUGCUUUGAACAACAAGGUGUUCCAGGGCAUGAGCCCUCCCGCUUUGAACAACAAGGUGUUCUAGGGCAUGAGCCCUCAUCGCUUUUAUGUUUAUGCAAUGGACUCCACUUGUGUAUAUCUACAUACAACUUAACAAUGCAUAUAUAUAAUAUGACUUACAACUCCACAACUUAACAACAUGUAUGAUUUAAUUAAAUAAAAGCAUACAUCACAGUCAACAAUAAAUCAUCAUAAUCAAUCCAACAAUUCAGAAAAAUGCACAAUUAAUCAUAAUCAAGCUCAUACAUCAAGUUCAUCCAUUUUCUAUUCAAUCAAAGAACAAACAACUCAGAUACUGGGCAACUCACCUCGCGAGUGCAUCUGCUCGCCAUGGCGAGCUCAGGCAAAAGGUUACUCGUUGUGGCGAGUACAAAGCGAACAAGAAAAUGGGUGCUCUCGGGAGUUUUGACAUUUUUCUCACUAAAUCUUCAUUUUAAAGCUCCCUAUUCAUCUUUUUAAUCUAAAAAUUGUCUCAGUCCUCUCUAAAAUCAUUUAGGCACUCAAAACUAAACAAUUAACACCUUAUAACAACAAUCUGAAAAUCAAGGUUCUCACUCACUAACUCGCCAUGGCGAGUGGUGUAACACCCCGAUUUUUAAUAUUAGUUCAUUAAUAUUAUUUUUAGAUAAUAUUAGUAUUAAUGUUAUUAUGAGUAUUGGUUAUUAGGUAGUAUUAAUUUAAUAUUCAUAUUUAUUGGAAAAUUAUGCAAGGAGAAAGUAAAUGGGUUGGUUAGCCAGUUAAAGAGUGAGAGAAAAUAAUGUUUAGGAAGAAAAUAGAGUUUUCAGAGAGAAUAAGAAAAUAGAUCGUGAACGGAGGUGAAUUAGUAAAAUUGGAUAGAAAAGAGGUGUAGUUAAUGAGAUUAGCAGUGCUUUAAUGAUUUAAGUAGAUGAGGAGUGUGAAUAGCAAGACGGUGUAGUUACAGAAAGAAUAGUAACAAAUUCGGAAGGUGCAUAUUUUAAACUGAAAGAUUAGUAACAAACUUAGCAUUAUAAAUAGACGAGAACAUUAGAAAACUAGGGUUACAACAAAGAGAAAAGAUUAGAGAACAAAAGAAAACUAGGGUUGUUGAGAGAAGAGGCAAGAAGGCAUACUAAGAGAAACGUAGAGAGAGAUUUCACCGUAGGAACUCAUCAAAUUCGAAAAACUAGAGGUAAGGGGGGAGUUUCUAUUUAGCAUAUGGGUUGCAUGAACACGUGGGUGUGAAGGAUCUUUGCUUGCUUUCAUGAUCUUUUGAUGAAUUUAUUUGUGAUGUCCAUUAAUUCUGAAAAUUAAAACUAUUAUGAUGUGUAUUUUGAAUAUUGAGAAAACAAAUUAUUUUUGCAUUUGGUUUUUUGGUUUGAAUUUACUUUCCAACAAUUCACUUCGGUUUCGUUUUUCUGAUUUUAGUUUUAAUAUGAAAUUCUGUCAUUAUGUGUGCAUCAUGUGUAUGUAUAUAUGCUGCGAUUCAUGAAUUUGUUGUAUGUGUUUCGAUCCCAAUUUUGUGAUCAUAAUAAAUUGCAAUGGUUUUCAAUGAUAUGGUUUUUGGUAUAAUUUCAUAUUAUAUUAUGUUAUGCAUUCAACACCGUAUUUUAUAGCCUUCUGGUUUUUCGGUUCAUAGAUGCAAAGCUAAUUUGUUUAUGACUCUAUGGGCACUUCUAUAUUCACUAGUUUUGGAUUAUUAUUAUUAUUAUAAAUUUAAUUUUGAGACAGUAUAAGAUGUUGCCUUCUAAAUCUAAAUUCAAUUAGUCUUGUUUCAAAAUGUUUACAUAUUAAUUAGCAUCUUUAUCUUCCUCUUGUUAAUUGACUCACGAAUAUCAUACUAUUAUUUUGUGAAAGAUUUCUAGUCCUAAUUUUACCAUAUAUUUUUCAUAAUCUUUUUUGAUUGUUUAUAUAAUUUAUAUGAUUUAUUUGACUAAGUGUAAUUUGUGAAUUAUUUGAUGAUGUGAAAAUGAUGUGUUAUAUAAAAAUGUGUAUGUUAUUUGAAGUUGUGUGAUUUAAAGAUGUGUUAUACAAAGAUGUGCUAUUUGAAGAUGUGUGAUUUAAAGAUGUGUUAUAUAAAGAUGUAAUAUUUGAUGACGAUGCUAUUUAAAGAUGUGUUAUAUAAAGAUUUGCUAUUUAAAGAUAUGUUAUAUAAAGAUGUGUUAUUCGAAGAUGUGUUAUAUAAAGAUGUGUAGAUGUCGAGUCAUAUAAAGAUGUGCAUUGUUGAGUCAUUAUUUGAUGUUCAUGAAUUCAUGGUCAGUCCGAUUUAAAGAUGUGAUUUAAAGAUGGGGGAUAAAUCAGUAACAUAACUCUGAUAUCCAAAACCGGUACCACAUGCAUAUAGAGUCGAGUUAGUGACAUUGCAUUCAUUGUCAAGCAUAUUAAAAGAUGUGGUGAAUUUUAUUAUAUAUUUAAAGAAGUGUAAUUUGUGUAUUAUUUGAUGAUGUGUAAUUGAUGUGCUAUUUGAAGAUGUGAAAUUAAUAGACAUGUUAUUUGAAAAAGUGUAACUAUUUUAAGAUGUGAUAUUUAAUGAUAUGCUUCUAUAUGAUUAUGUGUGAAUGAUUUGUAUUUUACUAAGUGGUUACUUGAUAUUCUUAAAUGUUCUCGAUGCUUAUAUGUUAUUAUAAGAUGUUGGUUGAUGCUUAUUUGACUUUUAUUAAAUGAAACUUUAUAUUUAAAUGUGAAUGUUAUCUGACUAUGAUGCAUAUAUGUCUAAAUGUAAUUGUUGUGUUCUUUUAUCUGAAUCUAUACAUGUGUUUAUGCAUCUCUUAUGUUGAAUAUAUUAUCACCCUCUAGUGGCGGGUUGGGCGCCUGCACCCUUGUGGCGUAGAUUUGCAGGAAGAAGAUCUUAGUAGCAGUGAGUCUUGGAGGAUGGCGUUGGAGCCUUCUCCUUUUUGUGUAUCGCUUUUGGGAGUCUUUAUUGAAUCGAUGCUCUGAUUUGUGACACCAGAGAUUGGAGAUUUAUUUUAUUUUAGACUAGGCUUUAAAAAUCUUUUGAACUCAGUUUUGAUUUGGAACUGUAAAUGUGAAAAAUCACUUUGAUGUUAAGAGAACUUUUCCGCUGCGAUGUUUCUAAUUCAAAUGAAAUAUUUUUAUUGAAGAAGAUGUGUGACACCCUUGCAUGUUUAAUUUUUUUUUAAUGUAUUUUUAUUAUAAAAUAAUAUGUGGGUUUUUAGGGUGUUACAAGUGGUUCUGCUCGCGAGGCGAGCCAUGAAGUUGCUCACUCGCGAGGCGAGACAGGGCUACUCGCGGGGCGAGCGAUGAACAUCAGUACGGGCAGAAUGUAGGUUUUUCCCAAAAAUCCCAUUUUCCUCAAUUUCAGUCCCCAAAUUAGUUUACAGAUGUAAAACUAAAUGCACCUAUUUCUAACAUCAAACCAGUGAUUCCUACACUCAAUUCACCCAAAAACCAAAGGAUUCAACAUAAACCCAAAAUCCCCAAUUUCUACCAUAAACCUGUUAAACCAAAAUCAGAAUUAAAAAUCUAUACUACCAAAGCAAACCUCACCCUUACCUUAAUUUAGAUGAACAAAUGCACAAAAAUCUGGUUCACUUGGCUCUACUUGGCUUUUGUCCCUUUUUCUCCCAAAACUUGUCUGUUGUACGUGAAACUGCUUUCUGACUAUUUCUUUUCCUACUCCCAAUACUUAACUCCCCUUUAUUUCAUUUAACUCUCCCUUAAUUCUAUUAAUUUCUAAUUAAAUCCCCAACCUCCAAAAUAAUAAUAAUUCUCACAUAUUCUAAUUAAUAUUAAAAUAAACCAUAUAAUAAAAUAUAAUAUACCACAUAAUCAACAAUAAUUAUUUAAAAUCAUAUAAAAGACUAUAAUAAAUCAUAAAUAAAUAAAAUAACGACUAGGGCGUUACAGUUUGUGGGUAUGUCGAGGACACUACCCAUAUGUUUAUGUCAUGUCCAACUUUCAAUGCUAUUUGGCCGUUGGUGUGGGCGUGGUUUGGAUUUGAUGGAGUAGACUCAAGUUAUUUCAGAUCAUUUCUUGCAAUUUAUUAAUUAUGCAGGUAGUUUGAAAUCGCGACGAUCCCUUUUCAUCUGAUAUGGCUCUUGUGCGUAUGAGUCUUGUGGAAUGAACGAAAUAAUGGGUUAUUCAAGAACCAACAAACCACCAUUCCACGUAUGUUAGAUAAAGUAAAAUCAUAUUCUCUGUGGUGGUUGAAAGCGAGUAACACUACCUUUAUUUUCAAUACUCAUUUGUGGUGGUCGAACCCACUUAUGUGUUUGGGUAUCAUCUAGUUUUUAUCUAUUUUUGACAAACUUGUUGUACUUUUCGUAAUUAUUUUGGCACACUUUGUGCUUAAGCGAUUGCAUUUGUUAGUGUUAAUAUAAUUUAUUUUGGCUUAUAAAAAAUAUAUAUAAAAAAUUUUGGGGUAGGAUUUUUACGGUCUAUGUAAUUAAUUUGACAGUAAAAAUAUUUUUACAUAGACCGUAAAAAUAUUUGAUUAUUUUAUACGCAAAAAUAUUUUCCCGCUUUCUCAAGGCUUCAAUCUCUGAAAAUCUCAAACUUCAAAACCCCCAAUUUCAACGCUCUCAAUCUAAAACCUAAUCGUCCAAUUCACGAACGACAAUCUCGCUCCUACUUCUCCGCCGUCCGCGCCGCCAUGCCUCGACGGUGGGAACGGAAGAAACGCUUCAUCUCAACCUGCUUCUCUCACGCUGUUCAAAAAUUUCACGCCGUUCAAAAAUUUCACGCCGUUCAAACAUCUCACGCUUGCGUCAAAACUGCUUCGUCGUCACUUUGCAAUUUUCUCUAGGUUUGUCGUGAUUAUAUUCUGUUUCAUUAUCUAAAUUUGGUUAAUUCUAAAUGUUGUUGUGCUUACACUCUUAGCGAAUUAUCACAUUUGUCGUGAUAGCACGAAUCUUGCGCGCAUAUUUCCUAUUUACUAAGCAUGAACUCCGACACGAACACGACACUGACACGGUCACGUCCACAAAUGUAAAAAGAUAGACACCAAUUUAUUUAAUUAAAAAGUACGGAUACUCCUCGGAUUAGGGUUGUUGUGUCUGACACCGACACAUACAAUUACACUGAAUUAUGUAAUUUUCUCAAAUUUUUGGCGGUUUCGGCGUGUCAAUGUCCGUGUCGUGUGCGUAUCUGUGCUUCAUAACGGUGUGUAGAAGCAUAUGAAAAAAAAAAUUAAGACAUCUGUCUUAGUUGUCCGACACGCCUCUCUGUGUUACGUAAGUGUUGGACACCGGUUAAGGAGUGUCGAAGUAAAGUUUUUAUUUUAUUUUAUUUUUUAUUUAGCACACUUGUUUGAGUUGUCCGACACGUGUCUUACGAGUGUCAUAGGAGUGUCGGACAUGUCGGCAAGCCUAGUUCUAGAGGUGUCGCCUCAUAUUAAUGCAAAUCAAAUAUUUAUUUAAAUUUUUUGUUUUUCUUUAUUGCUAGGAUAAGUGAUACUGUUGCGUGUUUUUAAUGCUUCUCAGUUCUCACACUGAUAUAAGUGCCUCAUGUGUAAAUGCAAUACAAAUCUGAAAAUUUAACUGUAUUUAGGGAAAUUCUAACAUUUGUUUUCAUUAUAUUUAUUUAUGUGUAUGAUUGAAUGAUGAUAUGUUUACUGUAACUAUGUUCAUGGGCUUAAUAUCUAACCGAUUCUAGCAUUGUUUUCGUUGUUUUUUUUUUUUGCGAUUUCUAGGUAUGCCGAAGAAAUUUGCGUUGGUUAUUGCGGUAGACUGUUGUAAUAAAAGGGCGUUGCUUAUCGCGCUAGAGUAUAAAGAUCAUGAGAUUGAGAACUCCCUUCCACAUGCCAUACACCAAAUGUAUAAAGUCAGGAAAAUUUUAACCACCAGAUAUGGCUUUCAUAAAAAGGAUGUGGUGGUCAUGACAGACAAGAAAGGUGAAAAGAAUAAUUCUCAUUAUCCACCGACAGCUGACAAUAUAAAAAAAAAUCUUAAGAAGAUGGGCUACGAGUCAAGACCUGGGGACAAGCUCUUUCUUUACUUCAUCGGUCAUGGGGGCCGGGAGGAGGCCCCCCAAGGUAGCCCUAAUGAUACAGGGUUUGUCGAGUUUAUUUCAACGGCAAAUUCUACUAGGAUAUGUGGUAAAUUUGUUAAUUACCUUAAUCCAUUUUAUUUUAAAAAAAUUACUUUUUUGAUGAUGAAAGAUUGUUAUUUAACUUUCAUUCCUUUUUUUUCUUUCAGAUUUUGAAAUUAGGGAAAUAGAAAAAUCAAUCCAAAAAGGGGUAAAUUUUACAUUUGUUUCUGAAAGUUGUUGUAGUUCAGGAUUGAUGGAGGGAUCUCAUGAGUGUAUAGGAAGAAGUGUAAUUACAGACGACAAAAAAAAAAGCAGCAAGAACGAUAAAGGCAAGUGCACAAAAGAAAAAGGCAAUAAAGAGAAACAAACCCCUUCUAGCAUUUUCUUAGCAUCUUGCCAAAGUGAUGAAGAUUGCUAUUAUGGUCACGUCAAUGGUCACGAUGUUUCGUAUUUUACUCAUACGUUGUUGGAGCUGCUAUACCUAUCGGAGGGUCAGAUGUCUCUGAUGGAGUUAGUGACUGAAAUCAACAGAAAGUUAUCCAGAAUAACUGAUGCAGUUGGUAACGUAAUACAACAGCGAGCAGGAUUGUACUGCAGUCCGGCUCAAUCCGAGGAAAAGUUUUUAGGAGGUAUGAUAGGUAAACAAAAAGGGGGGAGAGUGGAAACUUAUGGGGACCACGGUAAGGCUUCUACUUCUUCGACUCAGACGUUGUCUUCGAUGGUGCUAAACAGCGAUACACAAGAAGAUGCGAAAAGUGGGGUGGAAAAGUUUCAGGUCAAGAUAUUGGGAGAUAGUAGUGCUCAGAUCACGGAGGAUGUCCUAUCUAGUUCAAAUGUUGGGAUAACCUAUUCCAAGUUAUCUGGCUCUGCAUCAAGUGCUAGUUUGACGAAUGGGCAUGCAGCUCCUAUGUAUCCAGCUGGUAUCAGAAAUGGCAAUGAAACUUGGUUCGAAGUUGGACGAUCCAAGACUUAUACCCCAACUGCUGAUGACAUUGGUCAUGUCCUUAAGUUUGAAUGUUCUGUAGUUGAUGCAGUGACAAAAUCACCUGUGGGACAAGCUAGCACUUUACAAACGAAUAGGGUCAUUCCUGCUCCUUCACCAAUUCCUCGCCGAAUUAUACGUGUUGAUGGGAUGGGGCAUUUAGAACUAGAUAGGCGCAUGACAUCUUCAGGAACUUUUACUGCUCUGUCAUACAAUGUCUUGUCUGAGACAUGUGCCUCAAAUGAUCUCUAUAGCUACUGCCCUCCGUGGGCACUUUCUUGGCCAUAUCGCAGGCAAAAUUUGUUACGGGAAAUUAUUGAUUAUGCUGCAGACAUAAUUUGCCUUCAGGAGGUACAUUAACAUGUUCUUCGUUAUGGUUUUGGUGGUUGAAAAACUUGAUUAAUAUAUUGUUUCUUCAACUUUUUAUGAGUUUGAUGUUAUAUUAAUAUUUGAAAAUUUAUUUCACAAUUGGUUAUCCGUCUUUAAAGUGUUCAAAUCUUGUUUGUUUUGAUGCAUGCUUGAUUAUGGAAUUGGUUGUGUCAAAAUACGUGCUACAUGCAGCUUAUUCUAUUGUAUUAAAACUUGGAUUGCCACAGUUAUAAAUGAUUAGGAUACUCUUAUGAAUUUCAUAAAUAACAACGAACCAUUUUUAUAAUUUCCAUGUAUGUAAAUCUGUGUUGUCCGUUUUUUUUUAUCGGUUUGGAUGGGGUGUGGGAGUUUAAUUUAGAAUUUUUAUUUUCUGAUGACCUAUAAGUUCACAAUACAAUCCCUUGGGAACAUAUGAAAAUAUUAAGUAGAAGAUAACAGUUCACCUUUUUUCCUCCAGGUUCAAAAUGACCAUUAUGACGAAUUUUUUGCUCCUGAAUUGGACAAACAUGGCUAUCACAGUCUUUUCAAGAGAAAAACAACUGAGGUUAUUGCAAUACUCUGGUCCCUUGUGGUCCUAAAUCUUCAUAUGUUUUUUUUUUUAUGUUAACCUGAUAAUUGUGGGUUUACAGGUAUCCAGUGGCAACACAAUUGAUGGUUGUGCGACAUUUUUUCGCAGAGACAAAUUUUCCCAUGUGAAGAAAUAUGAGGUUGGGAAUUUUCCCCAAAGAUUACAUUUCAGUUCUGCUUUACUGGAUAGUCCUCUGACUUUUGCUUACCAAAAUUUCAUUGUAUUCUUAGGAUAAUGUUGCACUAAUAGUGGUUCUAGAAACAAAAGUUAACAAUCAACUAGUUGAUAAUCUUGGGAAAAGACAACUUCUUUGUGUGGUAAGCUCUUUUUUGUUGCUUUAAUUUACAGUCGUUUUUGUUCGUCUUAAUUGUCCAUGAUGUGUGUUACAUAGAUGGCAUUUUAUUUUCAUUGUUUUUGUUUGUUGUUCCCCAGUACCAGAUUGUAGUUGCAAUAUUUGUUGACUAUUUGUCCCAAAAGGAUAAUCUAGUGCCACACUUCAUGGAUAUUGACUAUUUAUUAAUUAUCCAUUUGUCAGUAAGAGUCGUCAUUGUCAAAUAUCUGAUAAAGAUGUAUAUAUAGGGAGAGAUAGAGAGACCAUCUUUGGUUGUCGUGGUGGUCUGGUACUCUGGUGUCUUAUUUUGCUAAUGGUUGUUAGUCAUGUAUAAAUUUUUUUAAUUGUAGUGGCCUUAAGUUGCUUUUCUUUCCCAUUUAUUGGCUGUAAAGUCUCAUAAAAGGGGCCAUGUUAGAUAUUUGGUUUCAGAGAUUCAUUAUAAAACCACAUGUCAAUAUUGCUUUUGUGGACUUAGGCAAAUACACAUGUUCAUGUUCAGCAAGAUUUAAAAGAUGUCAAACUCUGGCAGGUAAGCUAUUUUUUUGGUUUGUUUCAUGCUUUACGGUUAGUUUUGAAAGUAGCAGUUACUAAUUUUCUCCGCUCUCUUUAGGUGCAUACUCUCUUAAAGGGGUUGGAAAAAAUAGCCACAAGUGCGGACAUUCCAAUGUUGGUUUGUGGAGACUUCAAUUCUGUUCCAGGAAGGUAUGGUGAAUUCUUUCUCAAUUUAAUUUAAUUUUAUUGUGCAAGGGUAUUUAUUUGUUUACAUAAAAGGUUAUUCUGAACUUUGUUGCAGUGCUCCUCAUGCACUUCUUGCAAUGGGGAAGGUAGACCCGUCACAUCCUGAUUUAACAGUUGAUCCGCUUAAUAUUUUACGCCCUCAUAGCAAGUUGGUUCACCAAUUGCCACUGGUAAUAUAUUCAUCAAAGUGCAUCUCUUAAAGAUAUGGUUUAUUGAAGAUGCAUUUUUACCCAUUUUAGUUCUAUAUACUCUUUCCAAUCUUUUGCCUUAUUUAAUUUAUUAUUGGUUGUAUGUGACUUCAAAUUUUAGGUCAGUGCAUAUUCGUCUUUUGCAAGAACAGCAGGUCUUGCAUUCGAGCAGCAUAAAAGGAGACUGGAUGGCGGAACAAAAGAACCUUUGUUCACAAGCGUUACUAGAGAUUUUGUAGGCACUCUAGACUACAUAUUUUACACAGGUGAAUGUCUUGCCAUGUUGCAUUUUUGUUAUAAAUUUGAAUUUGUCAUAUUUUUAUGAAGUUAUACGGGUUUUGGUUUCAGCGGAUUCAUUAGUUGUGGAGUCAUUAUUGGAGUUAUUGGAUGAAGAGAGUUUGAGGAAGGACACUGCACUUCCUUCACCUGGAUGGUCCUCGGAUCAUAUAGCACUCCUAGCCGAGUUCCGCUGCUGCAAAAAUAAGUCUAGGCAUUGAUACUUUAAGGUAGGUACAAUUCUUACCCUUCCCUUCCAUAUUUGUAUUUUUGCUUGAUUUGUAUUGAUCUUGUUAAGAUUUUUUGUUUAAGAAUAUUGUAUUAAUAUUUAGAAAAAUUAUUGGCUGAAGCCAUUUUAUUUCUUUUGUUAUGGACAUAUUGAUGGCUUAAUGCUUAGAUGCUGCUGGAAUUUGUAGUUGGAAAUUCUCUCAUGUUGAAGUUAUCAGUUUCAUAUUCUUUGAACAUUUUGUUUUGUAGUUGCUCGUAUAAACUCUAAAAGGCUGGGUAACUAAGUGUUUAUUAUCUGACAAAGGGUGAGCUUGAUUAGGUUGUCACUUAGAGUGUGAGAUUAGGAUGUAAUGGAUGAAAAUAAUGACAUGGUGGAAUUGGAAGUGCUCAAAGCCUGCCUUAUAAUUUUGAUAUACGUCUAGCUUUGUAUAGACAUAAAAACUCAGUACCAGCUAUCUCCACUGUGUUAAGAUUUUAUAAAAUUUUAUUAUAACACAUGCCUGGUAAUAAUUUUAAACCAGUACCUAAACAAUCUAAAAGUAAAACUGAAGUCCUGUAAAUUUCUUACAAUACUUGUACAUUAUAGUAAAAUUACAUGGUCCUAAUUAUAUUUCAACCAAUGCAUCUGUUUCACCCAUAUAGAACUGUGGUUUAUGUGAUUUGUUGGAAUACUGGAUUUGCUGUUGUAUUCGACUGCCUUUGAAAAAUUUCCCUUCCUUCUUUAUGAAUCUAAUGAAAUGAAGUAGGGCCUACUAUUUGGUAUAUCCCGUCAUUUCUGACAUUAUUCACUCGUGUGCUGGUUAAAACUUAACUAUGUGAAUCUUAAUAUGUUUAUAAAAGAACGUUCAAGUUUAUAUUUCACCGACCUAUAACUCCAAUCCCACAUCAGUUUCUUGUUCUGUGCCAGGAUAGUUUAAUUCGUUAUUGUUAUUGAUAAUAGUUGGUCAAUCUUUGUUUUGCAGUUCAGAUCCAGAGACACAUAAAGAAAAAGGCUGAAAGAAGCAUUUGGCCGGAAGUUAUUGUAAGAAUGGUGGAUCGUGCAUGUAUUUUCCAGGUAUCUCCAUGCGGGAUCCUUGCAGUGAUCUGCUUUGUAUCAUGUUACCUUACUCAUAGAAAAAUUAUGGUGAUCAUGCCUUAUUACUUUCUUCUUUGUCCCUUUUCCCUCCCAACCUUUGCUUCAAAUCUUUUUCCCUUUGUAAAAGCAAAAAUUUCUUCAAAGAUGCCUUACUGGCUCUAAUACAUCCUAGUGAACAAACCAUGUUUUUCCAAUUUAGUGGCGGGCGGAGCCUAUAGUUUUAAUUCAUAACAAAGUAGUAGAAUUUUAGGGAAGUUGCUUAACAUGGACAUGGAUUUUGAACUGUUUCUUCAUUCGUAGCAACAUAGGAAGAGAUGUUUACUGUUAACAAUUGAAAACAAGUUAGACACAUUUUUCCGGCUCCCCUUAAACACAAUGGUAGCUAAUGAUCACUCUAUCUCCUUGUGUUGCAAGAAAAACUGGCAUUUCCCUUGAGUAUAAUAUGAUAGAAUGCAUAUAUUAUGUUCCGUUAAUCGUCAUCUAUGCUGAUUAUGCCUUUUAAUUUUCCUGUUGCCGUUUCUAGCUAGAAUAAUUUUUUUCCCUGCCAACGUUUUAUUUUUAUUCAGGUUGUGUACUACUAACAUUGAUAUUUUGAUAGUAGUACUUUUAAAUACGCUGGCUUUUACGAUGUUUACAUAGGUUAGGCAGUGUAAUUUGAUGUUAUCUGACCUGCCGUAAAUGUAAUGUGUUUCUGGUUUCAUGAUUUUCGGUGUAAACGAAACAUUAGCUUACAUUCAGUAGUAACAUUUUUGCACAAGUUGCUUCCAAGUAUUUUUAGUCAGAAAUUUUUCAUGCUAGUUUUUCUUUUUCUAAAAGAUGCUCGUCACGGAGAAUGUGAAGUUUUUUUUUUUCUUUCUUUUUGACAAAAGUAAGAAUGUGAAGAAUAUAUAUGGUUUUCGCCGAUAAAAGUUGUAGGAAGCACAAUUUUGCUUUUUAUUGAAUUGGGCAUUUGUUUUAGAAGAAAAUUAAUAAAUCUGAUAAUAAAUAAAUAAAUUGUUGUAUUUGUGUGUGUGUGAACACUAUGGGAUAAGACUUGGUUUUUGUUGUUGUAUUUGUGUGUGUGGAAGAAAUAGUUAAACAAAAAUUCUCAAUCUAAACAAACAAAACCAGAAAAUCAUUAAAAACAAAGUAGCAUCCUAUUUUAGGUUUCAACUUGGUUUCGUAUGUUGUUUUAAUUUGGUCCUUUGCAAUAAUAGCAAGGUCACAAUUACUGGCCUUAUCCGUUAAGUGUUGAAUAAAACACGUGACAUAUGACAUUAGCAUAAUAGCAUUGCCGUAAAAACCUAAUUUAAUAUUUGGUUGAUUGUGUUUAUUUAAGGUUUCAGUGUAGUUAUUAAUGUUAGUAAGUUGUUCUCUUCUGUGGAGUGUUGACUUAAUGCCUCGUGAAAUAUGACAUUAGCAUAAUAGCAUUGCCGUAAAAAUCAUUAACCAUAAAAUUGCCAUUAAAAAGAGAUUCAAUAUAAAACAUACAAAGUUGCCAACAGAAAAAUCUUAAACCAUCUUUUUAGAAAAACACAAUUCUUCCUUUGUCUUGCAAUUUUCAUAUCCUUUUCCUAGAUUUUCAAAUUAUUCUUCAAUUUCUUUAACCUUCGAAUCAAUUUCCUUCAUAUUUCGAUCCUUUUCAUCAUCGCCAACAAUUUCAUUUCUUCAAACCAAUCAAAGUUGUUACAUCUUACACAAUCACGAUCUAGUACAAAAUACUUUAGAAACCGCAAUAAGACAAAUUGUAAAAAAUUGAAGAACACAUUACUACAUGAAAGUUCCUGCAUACCAUUUAGCAUCUUAAAAAUUUUCUCUUAUAAUUUGCAUGAGUCUUUAUAGUUCAAAGAAUACAAUAAUCAAUAUAGUGACAAGAAAAUUUCGAACACGGUCCAUUUCUGCAGCCUAAACAGUGCUGAUGUUGUGAGUGACAAAAGCAUACAGUUACACUACUCUUGGAAAACACCUUCAUUGGUGACAUUGAUGCUUCAAAAUCUGAAGUUUUAGAACCCUUAAGUUGAGCAAAUUAAUCGUAACAUCACUAACGCAAAGAACCGAAUUGCAACUUUUAAAGGUAGUUGAGCAAAUUUAAACCUUAAAUCAACGUAAGCGACAAUAUGAAAAUAAUCCUUUAUAUUAAAAGGCACAUUGAAUUCCUCUUAGACACGUAAUAUGUUUUACACAAUGUUAACUCGAUAUUUAUUUAACAAAAGACCUACUAAUUCCUAAUCGUAGGGCUUGUGCGUUAUGGUGUUUUUUUUUUUUUUGGUGGUCGAUGUUUGAACCACAAACCUUCCAUAUAUAAUAUAUUAUCUCGAUAUGUAUUGUUUCGGCCAACUGAGCUAAACUCACGAGGACCGUGCGUUUAUGGUGUUGUUAAUACAUUAUGAUGUUUCAAAAAGAUAAUAAUUACUAACAACGAAGGAACUAGAUUGAGUCUUUAAAAUAUAGGGACCAACUUAAAAUCUAAGUUAAGAUCUAAAUAAACGUAAGAGACCAAAUAUAAAAUAAAACCAUUUUAAUAUAAAAGAUUUGUAUAAAACAUUUUCUUCAUUCUCUUGCCUAGGAGUCUCAUUAAUCUAUUUAUGGCAUAGAUAGAUAUCAUCCCUUUGAAAGCAAUUGUGCUUUCCCUAAGUUUGCUGUAAGGCUUGAUUUUUUCAAAUCCUCUUUCUCAAUUCUCACAUUCUAAAACUUAGUAUCUAAUUUGGUUUUAGGGCUUGCGAUCCUUUUUACAAUAAUAAAUAUAUAUUUAAUCUCUCAUUUGUUAUUUUAUCUUUUGAUAAUAUUCAUUUUUUCUCUAUAGACAUAGUGACGUACAUGAUUUUGGGUUCGAACUUGAGUAACCACGAAAAACGUUCAACAUAACAACCUCAACAUUGUCGGUUUAGUUAGACCUUACAUUUUUAUUAGUAAGGCAAUCACCUUACAAGGUAAUUUCGUUAACGGAUUUGUGUUUGCUAUAGUUUACUAUUGAAGGUUAAUCUUACACCACCUUUAAGAUGUCGGGUUUCUUUUGCAAAAACCUGUUUAAUGUUUCUGAUUUUCACAGCGCGAGUCCCACAUCGUUCACAUUACAUGUGCAAGGGUCCUUGAAAUCUUAUAAAUAAAAGAGGUAGUAGUUUCAAUUCUCAAACAAUCCAGCGUUCCGAAAUCAUCUCUGAGGUCGGAUUGGGUAAGACCAAUAAUAACUCUUUUGGUCCAUUGGUUCAUUUCAAAUCAAAUAAUUGAUAAGGAGUUUAACUUUUUAUUUGUAAACUAAUAAAAUUAUGAUUAUGAAUAAUUAUGAUUUGUACUAGUUUACAAAAAAUUGUUAUACUUUAUAAUUAUUUUAAAUUUAGAUUUAGAUUUAAAUUGAACAUAUAUUGGUAUUUGUUGUGUGAAAUUGGUUUUUUUCAUAACAAAAAACACUAUAUAAUGAAGUUGGAACUAUAUUAUGAUUUCCAUGUAGCACCACCACACAUUUAAUUGAAGGUGUGGUUUUGGUACCGACAUGACAUCAAUGUGAUUACAUUGAAUUAUUUUAUUUUAAAAAAAAUAGUGUCAGACCUCUUCGUGUCUUCGGUGUUUGUGUUUUUACUUCAUAAUAGGAUAUUGACUUGAAAAAUUCCAUUUUACGCGAAGUUAAACUUUUUAUAACAAUUUUGCAUUUUCAAAAUGAGAAAUGAUAUUUGGACAACCAUUUUUUACAACUUUUUUGACAACUUUAUCUCUCAUACUCACAUUAUCUUUUUACUUUCUCUCUCUAUUGUUUUGGUUUUUGUGCCACUACCUCAUUUCCUUUGUAAAAUUUUGGUUGUCACAAAAGUUGUUACAUAUAUGUAUGUUCAAAUAACAUAACUCUUUCAAAAUUAAGAGGAAAAUCCUCUACAAUAGUUAUUGGGUCUCUUGGGCGGCUUUUAAGGAGUUGCAACUCUGUGCAUUUACUAUAACACAUCACACUUACACACCUAUCACAUACAAUUAGAUACAAUUUUAUUACUUUCACAAAAUGAGAUUGGCAAAUAUUCAUGUCAGAUUAAGGGAUACAAGAUCCUUGCACUUCAACAUACACUGAAGUCCUUGAUUUGUAAGAUUUUGCAAGCCAAAUUUACUUCUCUUAUCAGUCUUUAGUAGAUAAAAUUGUGUAUACAAUUUUUCAUAAAUCCAAGAGUUUACCUUGUCAUCACAAAUAUAAAAAAACAUGAGACAUUCAGAAGGUAUACUUUCCUGUAAGCUUCAUCUAUGAAAGUAAACAAGAGUGAUGCUGUGAAUUAAUCCGAUCCAAGGGCCAAACAACUUUGAAAUAAGUAUUUAUAUGAAAUUACAAACCUAGAUGUGAAAUUACAAAAUAUUUAUAUGUUAGGAAUCCGAAAUUGAUAAAAAAGCACAACGUUAUUGAAAGAAUGAGAAUAUGAUAGAAGAGUUUUGUCCAAGGGUUCCCUUCUACUACACGACUCUAUUCAUUCAGUGUUUACAUAUCUAAACUUUAAAUGGUAAGAGCUUGAUCUUGUAAUCUCGACCGAUGAAGUUCAAAUUCCCAUAAAGAUGAUUGUAAAAUGAUUGCUAGUGUCAUUUUAAUUAAUAAAAGUACUAUCUUAGAGAAAAAAUAACUAGAAAAAUAACUACAUGUUAAUGUUUUGUAAUUAAUAACUCUAUUCAUUCAGUGUUUACAUAUCUAAACUUUGUUAGUGUCUUUAAAAAAUAGUACUGUCCAUUUCUACUUGUGUCCUAUAUGAAACAAUAUGUCUGAUCUACUCCUUUACGGUACGUAUCAAAGGUAGAAUGUCAAUCAAAAAAUAAAGAAAGUAAUGAUAUCUACAACCUCAGUUUGGUUAUGAAAAGCUAAGGAUUGAUUUUCAACUUUAACUCAAACAUUGCACAUUACGAAUUUUUGUUUAAGCACCUGACAUUCAAGUAGACGGAAAUGGCUUCAAUUUCUGUAUCCAAUAUUUGUUGACAGAUUGUGGAGAAAUACUUGGUUGGACACAACUCCAAAUCAAAAAUAUUUAGAUACAUUCAUGUGAAUGAUAAAAUUUAAAUGAAAAAUAAUUUAGUCACUCACUUAAUAUCAUUUAUCUUUUAAAUUUUAUCAAUCAUGUGUGUGUCCAAAUAAAUUUUAUUUGGGUUUGUGCCUAUGGAAGACUUGCUCGAUUUUGUGUUGUCUAUUGUAACCUUCAACUUAAAUUAUACGCAUUAGCGUAACAAAAAAAUAGACAGACAUAGAGUAUUACUCUAAACGCUAAUGUGUGUGUGCAUAUUUGUGAGGUUGAAGAAACGGAACAAAUGGACUAGUUCAAAAAAAAUAAAAAUUAAAUGGAAGAAAAAAACAAAUUGAAAUAUAAUAUUAAAAAAUAAAAAAAGGUUGUCAACAUGAGUUGAAGAGAGAUGCUUGUGAAAUAAAUUGCCGAGAAGUAAUUUUUUGAAGUAGCAUUCAACAACUUUUGGUCAAAGCUCAUUUCAUACAAUUUUAUGCAUUCUAAAAAAGUACUUUUUUUAGAAAGUACUUUAUUGAUAUUGUGUUUGGCCUAGAUUCUUCUUAAAAAUGUAGAGAAGCUGGAAAAAAGUCGGGCCAAACGGUACCCUAAUAUUUUAUGUAACAUAAAUAACACAAAUUCCUAAAAGUUAAUUUUAUUAUAUAUGUGUUAAUAUUUUUACUAAAUCCAAUUAAUUUUAUCUGUAUGUGCAUCUAUAAAUUUACGAGUAUUUAUAAUAUGGUAUAUUUUAUUAUAUUUAUGUGUAUUUAUUAAGAUAUUCAUCCUAUUCCAUUCCGUGAUAAAUUUUAUUUGCGGAUAUCAUACAUAUAAUUUGUUUAUCUUCUUGAAUAUGUCUAAUGCAGGAAACGCCGGGUAAAUACACUAGUAUAUAUAUAUAGUAAGGUUUUUUAUGUUACGUCGUUUUAUGUUUAUUCUCAAUAUUUUAUUUUAUUUUAUUUUAUUUUUUAUUUUUUAAUUUUUUAAAUCAGUUUUCAAAUCUUGCAUAAAUAUCUCAACAAACAUUUUAUCUUAGUUUUCAAUCCUAUCCAUUAAAUAUUUCAUUUAAUUUUUUUAAUUAAUUUUUGGUUGAAUUAAUUGAUGUCUAAUUUAAUUUUAACAUAAUGUAUUUCAAUAAAUAUAAUAAUUUUUUAUAAGGUUUUGAACUCUCAAAUUUGUUAAUAUUUUUAAAAUGAUUUUAUUAUCUUUUAAUUUUCAAUUUUUUUAUCGACAUUCAAUUUUUUUUUUUUGAAUUUUAAAUUUCAUAUUUAUUGAUUUUAAAUAUUAUACCGUUUGAUUCACAUACUUUAAGAACAAACGAAAACAUGAUUUGAAUCUUUUUAGUUCUCCAUCUUUAGUAAAGACCAUUUCAAUUAGAGUCAGGAUCCGUUGACACCAGGUGUGUAAGUCAAAAGAUUUACACCAAAUCUCAUCAAUUCAAUUUGACGGAUCUUAUGGUUAAAACAUUUCACAAAUAAACAACACCUGAUCUAUUUUUAAUGAAUUCCACAGGAGUGUUACCAUUCUUUCCUGAAAGUGCUGCCGCUAUCACGCAAUCAACAACACACUCCUCCUUUCUCAUAUGAAGCACGACACUUUGGGAGAAGGAUGAUAAAUGGUCCAUAUUCCAAAUUUACAAACUUAUUGAUAACUAUAUCACAUGUUUCUUUUCCGCUAUAUAAGUUUUGAUGAAGCGGCACCGCCAUCAUCUCAUGUCAUUAUUAGGUGCAACGUAUCAAUGAUUACAAUUGGGUUUACUGAGUGGUCAAUUCUCCAUGAGUGAGUUGCGAUAAUGAUUUCAAUGUGUUGCGAUCAAGAUUCACAAAAUUGCACCAUGGUUUUAAAUUAAUUCUUGAAACAUUUGAGGUUUAACCAUAAAUUGUUAUAAUUCACAAUAACAUGAACCAAUAAUUAUUUUAAAUUGAGACUAGUGACAGGAGAAUGAACCAGGUCGAAAUCGAAAAAAGAGAAAAUAAAAAAUAGCAUGCUUUCUCUUAUUGUUGACCACAUGAUCUAUUUUUGCUGGGAUAUUUUCAGCCUUUGGAUUAAAUAGUUAUAACGGUUUAGAUUUGGUAUAAGUAUUUUGACUUGUAUUUUGACUUACACCUGGUGUACUCAAAGUAUUUGUUGCAAAUCAAAAUUAACCAAGUCAGGCUUAAAAUUAAGAAGUGCAAUCAUACAUAAAAACAUUAUCAGUCAAAACUUAGCCCAAAAAAAAAAAAACAUUAUCCAUUGGCAAAAGGACCCAUCGAUUGACUAUUAUGACAUCCUUGCGUCUUUAAAAUAUUGAUCACAGAAUUCCAUUUCCAUAGCUUUGCACCCUGCUGAUAUUAAAGAAUUCAAAUAUGCAUAUAGAAACUAAAAUUGAGAAACUUGAAUCAAAAGCAAUGUAAAGGCAACAUAAACUUUGUUUAAGAUUUUCAGAAGAAAAAAAAAAACUCACUCUAUACUAUCUUCAAACAAUGCACGUUGCAAAGACAAUGAUACACAUAGAGAGCUAGAAUGAAUUCCUGUGCGAAUCGAACUGAAGGAGUCUCCUCCUCCAUAACUCUAGUCAGGAUAGUAAGCAACCCCUCUCUCCCAGCCCGCUGCUGUUUAGAAAUUGAUAUUGAAGAUUUAAAAUAUGCACAGAAACUAUAAUUGAGAAACUUGAAUCAAAAGCAUUGCUAAAGGCCUCAUAAACUUUGGUAACAUUUGCAAAAAAAACUUGCCUGAGUUUCUUGGUAAGGUAGGUUGUGGGUAGAAGUUAAAGAUGGUCUAACCCUUGAAGUUUGAGCCCUCACAUAGCCGUACCGAUAAUAAGGACCAGGCCCACGGGGAUAACGUCUAAAGAGCAGGUCCAGUAGAUUGAGUUUGAGCAUGAAUUCAACCAAAGAAUGCUCUUCGUGUAUGCUCUCUAGCAAACAAAAAUAAGAAAGAAUGAAAUCAUAAAUCACUAUAGGACGACAUCAAGAUGCUAAAAUAAUAAUGAACAAAAUGGGUUCGAUAUCCCAAGUCUAGAAACAAUCCCAAACAAAAACAUAAUAUCCUAUGUGCAUCAACACUAUAGAGCUUGCAUCUUAAUAAAAACAAUAAAGAAAACAAAAUUGCAUCUUCACAUGGUUCUAAAGUCAAAAUCUAAAUCCUGAAAGAUAGAUGUAGUACAUGGUUAACUUAAAUUAAUUCAACCAAGUGCAGAAAAUACAGUGUAAUAAUAAUUAAACAUGGAAAACAUUGAACAAACUUAGACAAAGACAACAAAGUAAGACAAUCUAGAAUAAAAACAUCCAUACAAUUGGUUGAUAUUAAAAAGUAAUGAUUCGAGUUACCUAUUUGCAUUCGAGAUUUGAUGACGAUUGAGGAGACACUCGGUUCCUGGCACCUUUCCUCCAAUUUCCAACAGCACAACUAGUAUGAAAGAACAAAAAAAUUUACAAAUUAAAAUUGAUGAUGAUGAUCAGAAUAAUAAAAACAAAAACAACCGGUUGUUUAAUGAUGUUAGAGAAUCAACUAAAAUCUCUCAAAUACAUGAACUAUGAGGAAAGCUCACUGCAUCCUCCAAAAUAAAAAGAAAAUCUGCAAGUUAUUAUCUACUCGGCAAGGAAAUGGAAUUAACAGAGAUAAAGUGCUAAUGUAUCACAUGGAAUGAAGGGACAAGAGAUACAUUCUUAGAUUUGUGCUAUAGUGUCUAACAGUCAACACAAAGUCACCACAUUGUAUCUAGAUCAAAAAUCACACAGGAAUUUAAAUGAUUACAAACGGAUGAAGUUGGAGUUUACAAGAUAAAUCACCCUCAAGAGGGAUGAUUCGUUCUCAGCCUUUGAAAACAAAAGAAGCAUGCACAAACACAACGACUAUUCGAAACUUCAAUCCCAACUUAACAAUAGACGACAGACAAUUAGUGUCUCGGGUUUAACUCCAUCACAACACACUUAAUGCCAAUUCAUUACACUCGAAGUCUGUUUUAAUUUCUUCAAAUUCAGCGCGAACUUAACCUUAACUUAUGUGUUCUACAUCUGUACCCUCUACAAGUUUCAUGCUUGAGGACAACUACAAAUUUUAUCUUUUACUAUUUUAUUUGAAUGGAUUCAAUGACAGAGUGAAUAGCCAUUAUGACAUACCUCAACACCGUCAACAACAGCAAUAUGAUGAACAGUUGAUUCAGUAUGAUGAACAGUUGAUUCAUCUUCAUUUUCCAUAUCUUCUUCUGUCACAUACCCUUCAUCUUCACUUUCCAUAUCAUCUUCUGUCACAUACCCUUCAUCUUCACUUUCCAUAUCUUCAGUCAAAUCUAACCCAGAAUUUUUAGAAUCUUCAUUUCCCAUAUCUCCUGUCUCAUCUGGCACAUAAUUUUCAAAAGAAGCAACUGCAUCUCCAAAGUAUGGACGAAUGCCCAUGACUAGUCCAAACAUCUUCAAAACCUUCUCAUCAUUCCAGUAUCUGCAUGGAAAGAAUCGCUUCAGAAAUUAUUUACCAAUUUACACCACAACAAUUUAUGGUGGAAAUAGGAAAUGCCAAAACAAUAAAAUAGAAUUAAAAAAUUGUGUUUAAACCUCAUCAUUACUUCAGGACCACCAUUCUCUAUCUCAUCUAAAAUAAGUUUCAAACAUUGAUCUUUGUUCAAGUGUGCCGUUCUACGUUUACGCUGACCUUCAAGUGACGGAUCGGUAUAAAUUUCCACCAUGGAAGACAUUGAUGGGUCCUGUGAUAGACAGCACAUGCAUUUUAAUCUAACAACCAGCAGAAGUGUUACAAACAUAACGAAGAAAUUUUAAAAAUACCUGCAUCAAAGCCCAAAUCAGGCGCCUGACCAUGGUUUUAAAAUCAAGAUUCUAUCAGAUCUGUAGCAUGGUUGAAGCAUACUUCGGAUCACGAGAAUUUGAGAGAUCAUCCUGUGGUGCUUCAUGCAAAGUUUCCUGAAGCUGUUCAGCCAGUUUCCUGAUAUUUGGAUCCUAUGACACAUUGACAUUUUAAGACGCCAUGAUGAAAUACUAAUAUUAUAUACAUUAGUAAUUUAGAGUGUACAUCCAAUAAAUGACAUUCCCUAGUGAGUGAAAAAUGAAAAGAGGAAGACUUGGGUCAACCAUAUGAUGGUUCAAAAGUCAUCAAAUGCUUGCUUCACUUAACUUAAACUAUCAAUAAAUCUCAGUUGUAUACAUGCCUUAAAAGAUAGCAGCCAUAAGCCCAUAAGAACAAUACUAUCUGCAAAAUCUUAUCCAAGUUGGCAGGAACUACAAAAGGCUUACUCCACUAUCAUGGUAUGUAAAGCUUUGAAGAAAACAAUAUACAAUCUUAAUGAACACUUUUUGCCAACAGUGAAGACAUUAGACAUCUGAAAAACAUUCAGAAUUUGUCUUCAUAAAACCUAUUCCUAGAAGUAUUGUCUGAUCAUUGGCUGCAAAAUUGCAAAUGAAUCAAAUCUGAUGCCUGACCAGGACAAAAACAAAAGCACAUACUCAUGUAGUCCAAGCAAACAGGCUCAACAAAAUUAACAAUUCACACAGUUUGAUUAUCAAUAAAUACAGCACACACCACACAUGCAAAUAACACAAGAACGGAGAGAAGAGCUUACAUUGAGCAGGGCUGAGAAAUCAAAAAGUCCAGGAGUAGCUGUCCAGGAGUAUUAUCCAUGUAAGUAAAAAUCACAUAAUGAGGAUACUUAUGUAAUGUAAAAACCUAUCUAUACCAACACAUCUGAUGAAAGUUGUGUCAAGUGUCCGGCGUUGACUCAUGUGAUUACAUUCAAUUAUGUCAUUUUUUUUUUGUUUAAAUAAUUAUUGGUGUUGCUAAAAAAAAGGGUUAAUAUAUGAUUACCCCCCUAGAUUAUUAUUCGUGGUUUCUGGUUUACUUGCAAAAAAAAAAAAAUUAGAUUCCAACAUAGAAGAUUCUUUGAGUUUGGACUUUCAUGACAUCAAAUUUCAAAAUUUAAAGUACUUUCGCCGUAAUUUGAGCGAAUUUCGAUUUAGCCCUAGCAUACAAUCUAAGUGUUAUUUGAACAACCAUCUGAUUGACAACUUAUGGUACAACCAUAAGUUGAAAAAUAAUGUGAGUAUGAGAGAAAGUUGUCACAAAAUGGAUGUUAAAACGAUUUUGUCACCAUGUAGCCUUUCCUGGUGGUGUGGCGCAACGAGAUCUUUCUCCACACCAACGUAAUAUAUGUUCAAACCUAUUGGUGUUGCUCCAAAAAAAACAAAGGUUAAUAUAUGUUUAUCCCCCUAGAUUAUCAGGGGUUUCUGGUAAACAUGUAUUAACCAAGAAAAAAUCCAAACGAUUUUGUCACCAUGUAGCCUUCUAUGAAUCACGGAACGAACACACCGACAAAGCUAAUAAUUUGAAAAAAUCACAUACUUCAGUGUAACACGAAGAGUGCCCGUGCUUCAUAGGUAGCCUUUCGUGGUGACGAGAUCUUUCUCCACACCACCGUAACUGAAUCUCCCGAGUUACCGUCUUCUAAACCCCUUUUGGGUCAAGUUACUGUCUUCCACCGUGUGUUGGGUGAUUGUUGUGGUGAUGGUUUGUUAAGCCUUACCCCUUUUCAGGCUCAAUCAGGUAAUUGUUCUGGUAGUUUAUAUCAGACUACGAAUUUUAAAGCAUAGGUAAUAACUCAAGUAAAACAUCAAACUCGUCUAGUAAUUUAUGAAGCACGGAUACAGACACGGACACGACAUGAUGACACCGCAAAUAAUUUGAGAAAAUCACAUAAUAAUCAUAGGUAAUAACUCAAGUUUGGAUACAUACCAGCAGGAAGAAAAUCGUUUUGCAAAUUGGAAGCCAUGAGCGAAGAAAGUUUAGAUUUUAAACCCUUGAUUUUAAAGAGCGAUAAUAAUAAGAGUUUUGGUUUUAGAGAGAAAGCGAAAAGAAAAGGUGGCAUCUAGCAUGCCCAAGUGGAUAAAGUUUGGUAUUGUGGACAAAUAGCAAAAUCACCAUUGAUUUAAUAUUAAAAAAUUAAACGGCCAAGAUUGAAGAAGGGCCACUUGUAUAGUCGGUUUUUUAAUAUAGUUUUGGUAUUUUCAAAACAAGUCACACUUAUAAUGCAAUUGCAAAUUGUAUUUAUUUAUUUUAAUGGGAAUUCAAUUGUAUUUAUUAUGUUAUCAAAAACUUAAAAAAGUAAUUUUAGAUUUCUUUCCAACUAUAUCACGAGAGAUACAAAUAUGAGAAUAUCUUCAUCACCGUGAACCCUUUUUUUUUUUUCAUCUUCUACAAUGGUAUCAGACAGAAGAAAGCCAUAAAUUCCUACAUAAACUUCUCUGAAUUCUUAUUUUUUGAUUUUGUCCACCUUACUGUCCAGAUCGAUGUUUUCGUCUUUGAUUCCAACUUCAUUCUUCAAUUUUAUUCUUCAGCCGAGAUACCAAUUUGUGUGUGUUCUUGUGAUUGUUUUUAUUGAUGUGGAUUUAUUUGGACUUGGAAGAUGAAUUUUUUUCCAGAUCUACUUUUUUCCUUUCUCAAACCCAGAUAUGCUUUAGUUGAUCAAAUUGAAAAGUUAACUCUGUCAAUUGUGGAAACAUCUAUAUAUGGUGGUUCCAAAUCCAAAUAAAUACUUUAUUGUUGUUGCUGCUAAUGUUGUGAAAUGAUGAUGUGUUUACCUUCCAAUCUCCGCCGCACCACCGCAGUCAGUAGGUUUCCGCCAUAAAAAAACGUUGAGUUUUAAACCGGAUUUCCAGAGUCUGAACCGGGUCAACUCGACCCGGCUGGAGGUUGAAGAUGAUGAAUGAUAGUUAUUUUUUAUUUUUAAUCGUAUUCGAUCUUAUAAAUACAAAUAAAAGAUAAUAUUAACAAUAGUUUCCUUGCGUCACAGUGGUUUAAUUUGUUUUGAUCUACUUUAAGGUCACGAGUUCGAUCCCCCAUAUUUUUGUUAUGCUUUUUAUAAACAGCAAUGAUUAAAAAAACUAAAACAUAUACACAAUCAACCUAACCAUGGAUCGAACACGAGUUCCUUGAGGAGACUGCAACGCCUUUUUACCAUAACACCACAGUGAAUUUCUAUUUGUAUAUUUCUUAAGGCAAUUAUAUAUAAUAUAAUUAUGUUGAAUGAAAAUUUUAUACACGUGCAAGCCUGCUUGCUUAGACACUCAAUUUUGUUAAUGUAAGGAUUAUUUUUCUUCAUAAUAUAAUUGUUUAUUUACUUAAGUAAAAAAUAUAUGCUUACACCACACCACACCAUUAGUCAAAACGUGGCACAUCUAUCACUAAAAAAUAUUAGCCUAUAGUACUGCAAGGUGUGUUGGCAAAUGGAUAAGAGGGUACUAUAUCAAAUCACCUGCAGAAAAGCUACUUUAUCUGCCAAUUAGCUGCAUAAUAAUGACUAUAGGAGGACUUUGGAAGUUGGGUAUGUGUAAUGUGUACACAUUAAAGACUAAAACAAUACACCAUUAUUCAUUCAAGCAAAAUUACACUCUUCAACAUCUGCAAUAGAGACUCUAUUUUUAGAUAUUUAAAUAAAGGGAAAUGUUAACUUGUGCCUUCAAAGCACAAAUUAUAAACAUCAUUUAUUUAUAAUUUUUUAAUAAUAGUACUUAAUAAACAUUUAUUGCGCUUACAUGUCCAUUUUUCCGCUCUUUUAAUUGCGUUAACGUUUAAAAAUUAUAAACGGUAUUUUUUUUAUAAAAUAUAUACACACAAUGCGUAUAUUUUCUGCUCUUUUUAUAAAGUUUAAAAUUAUAAACGGUAUUUAAAAAUACAAUUUAUAAUUUCAUUAAAAAAAAUAUCAUUUAAAGUAAUAUUUUAUAUCUGACUGUCUGAUUUUUUGUUACGCUAAUACGUAUAAUUUUUUUUUUUAAUGUUGCAUAAUGCGUAUAAUUUUUUUUAUAAAAUUUGGAGUAUAAUACCUAAAGAAGUUAUACUUAUAUAUAUUUUGCAACUUUAAUUUUUUUAUGGUGGUCGUAAUUCGAACCCCGAAUCUUACAUAUUUAUACAUUGACCAUAAACUCACAAGGACUUUCACCUUUAAUUGGACCAUAGACCAAAUUUAUUAAGAAAAUCAAAAUUUAAUUUUUUAUUUCAUGAUUAAAUAAAUAUUCUAGACUUGCUUUUGACUGCAAAAGGGUUCAAACCAAAGUCUACAGCUGUAUAGUCACCUCACUUCUUUUCCACUGCAACACAGCUUUUUUUCUGCAUUGAUUGACAAUUUAUUUUUAAUUUUUUUAAUUUUUUGUUCAUUACCGCCAAACAAAGUGUUGGUCAUGUUUUUUUUACAAAUCAUAUUUUUUGUCACGUGUCCACCAACAAAGAGGCAAGAUUGUCUCAAUGAAAAAUUGCAAUUUUUAAAAAAAAAAAUGGCAUUUCUAAGGAUUCGAACAAAUGACAGUCAAUGAAUAUGGAUAUACAUAACCAACCGACUAACAGUAUCAAUAAAUAUAAAGGACAUUCGUCAUCUUCGCCCAUCUCGUCAUUACUAUUAUCACUCUCAUCUAGGGGUGGACAACGGUCGGACUCGGACGGUUUCGGGCCAGAAAUCGCGGUUUCAAUCGGUUUCGCGGAUGGAAAAACUAAGCCCAUUCCCGUCCGCAAGUGUUUACGGUUACGUCGGUUUACGGUUAGAUCGGAUAUCGGUUUUGAUGGGUGGGUUUUUUCGGUUACUAAAUCAAUCAAAAAUUAAAACUUUUGAAAGGAAGUAAAAUUCAAAUGGAAAGCUGAAAUUUCAACAAUUUCAGAAAACUACAACAACAACCUUCAACAGAACAACAACAACUACAACCUUUAAAACAGAAUGGAAGAACAAUUAAAUGAUGAUGAAUUUGUUGCAAUUGAAAUGUUGCUUUCUUCUUUCUUUAUUUUGGAAAAUGAAUUUCUUUUUUCCAUUGAAAUACAAAGAGUUGGUGUUUUGUUUAUGUGGUGAAGAAGAAGCCAGAAGAAUUAUGUGAGAGAGAAAAGAGAGAUGAGGAAGGGGAAGUGUGUUGAAAACGUGAAAGUGGAGUGGGACCUGUCAAUGGAAGAAGUAAAUAAGUAAUAAUAAUAAGUAAUAAUAAGAAAAGAAAGAGUAUUAGCAUGUGAUGUGUCAGCAUCGUGGGUCUCAAGGAAAUGAUGUGUCCAAUUUUAAUGGGUUAAUGGAAUGUGAGAUUAGACAUAUUAUUUUGAAAAAUGAAUUUCUUUACUAUAUAUGUCAUAUAUAUAGUAGAUUGUUGUAGAGUAUUCAGUAUAUUUCGGACGGUAUUGGGUUACCGUGGUUGGAUUUCUGUCAUCCGAGACCGACCGUACGUAUCCAUACAAGACCGAAUCUGCAAGCCCGUUGAGACCGCCUGACCCGUUUAGACCGACCCGCACGUCAACGGGCCAUUCGGACCGGACGGUUUGGACCGGAUGGCUGGUUUUUGUCCAGCCCUACAUCUAUACUUUCAUGUGAACCAAAUAGAAUCUCCUUAGCAUCACCUGAAACUUGAAAGACACUAUCAUCAUAACAAAUGUGAAACCCCUCGUUCAUUAAAAAGCAUAACAUCAAGGAAGAGAUAACUCCAUGCAAACCAUAAUCAACCAUCAACGCUACUAUUUUGGAGGUCCGGGAACAGUGCCAUCAAAAGUUGUCCUGAAAUAACCGACAAAAAUUACCAAAUCAUAACAUGUUAGUAAAAAAGAAUUGAACUAUUAUGGUAGAGAGGGAGGACGCAAAUAUAUCAAACAUUCAUGUCUCAAAAUUGCUCUCAGUACCGUAAAUGUGCCUAUAAGCAAUGUCACCAUCCUCAAUAUUUAUAAGUUACUAUCAUUUUCAUUACACAAUGAACAAUUGAAAACAAUACUCACAGUAAUGCUUGAACAUAGGCAAAAAGUACAACAUGUGUAUUGAUAGAGAUUUUAAAAUUAAGAUAAAGUACAUCACUGCAAAUAGCUAAUGAACAUUUACAUUCGCGCAAAACAUAAACAAAAGAGUUUUUUUUUUUUUGACCAAAACGUAAACAAAGAGUUAAAAAAGAAGAUCAUUUAACAAAAUCAAUUUCUUGAAAGGAGCAGCAGAACAUGAAUUAGAAUGAAAUGCUUCAAGUGAAUCAAAUAUGCAUACAUUAAUUAUGAAUUAAUUUAGAAAACGCUAUUUAAAAUAUGCAAUUUAGAAAACGUCAUUCAUCCAUAUAUUAUGGUUUUCUUUAACAAAAGUCUCCACACAUCUGAAAUCAGAAAUGUGAUUCAAGAAACAACAAAUUAGCUUCUUUCUAAUGUUACACCUCACUGAGUAAUAUUCAACCACAAACGUAUUAGACAGGUACAAACUAAAAAUAUGAAUAUAGAUUUCAAUAGUAAUUAGUAAGCACAAACAUAUAAUACAAUACUGUAAGAUUCAACUUUCUAACUAAUUCAUUUUUACUCUGCCUUUAGAUAUUGUGCUAACCUUUAACCUUUACAUAUUGUGAUAAGUAUGAUUUGCUCUCUUCUUUGAACUGCAUACUAGAGAUAAAAAUAUAUAUAUAUAUAUAAAAAAAAAAAACACCAAAAGCAGAAGCAAUUCAGAGAUACAAAAACUCAACUUCAACAAUAAAACACAAUCUAAAAGCAACAGGGUUGCAACUGAACAAACACCAUUAAACAGAUAAAGACAUAAGUUUUGAGCAUAAAACCUGUUAGACACUAACCCAACACAGUAAAAUUAAGUCACCUGUCAAAGGAACACAUCAGCUCCCAUAGUGAAAUGUUAUAAGAGAAUAAGAGGGAGGAUGGAGACGAUGCGGUUUGAGAGAUGGUGAGAGGCUGUCUUCAGUCUAAGCUUUCAGAUCUGGAAACAGUAGGAAGUGUCUGGGGUGCUGGUGGUGAUGCGGUUUGAGAUUGGGAAGAGAAGUGGAUAAGGCUUGAAUUUGAGUCAUGUCAACGAGUGGUGAGGGGGUUUGGUUUGAAUUAUGUGUAAUAGUAAAUUUCAAGGAAAAAAAGGGAAAACAAAAUCAGGGGAUCUGAGAGGGAAAUGAAAAAUGAAAAUUGAAAAGUUAGCGCUCAAACACACCCUACCUUUCUCAGGUAUAAAUAAAGAGGGAGAUGAAAUUUGGUUAUCUUGGAAGAAGGGGGAAAAUGAAAUUGAGUGAAAGUGAUUCAUGAAAUUUGGUUAUUUUGAAAGAAGAGGGAAAAUGAAAUUGAAUGAAAAUGAUUCCGCCAUAAAAAGUGGAUAACGAAAAUUAAUUUUUUUUUUAUUUUGUUUUAAUGAAAACUAAUACUUGUUUGCUAUAGCUUUUUUUUAAUAAAAAAAUCAUUUUUAAGAAUAUUGUAUUCGUUUGUUACACUGUUUGAAGAAGAAAAAAAAUUAGACACUCAAGAAAAUCCAAAAACAGCUUCAAAUGAGAAACUAUUAAAAGUCAGUUUGUUGCAGAUUUAAAUAAAAGUGAUUUUUACAUUAAAUAAUCAGGAACUAGUUUACUCCAUGGACCUAAAUGUGGCUAGAAUUUGAACGACAACAAGGAAAAUCAAUCAAAUUGUUCAAAAUGAUAUUCUUUGACCUAAAAGGAUAUAGAAAUCAUAAUUUCUCAGAUCGGGUUCCCGGAGGUAAGUGGAUCGGACGAACUAUCCCAUCAUAAACUAGUCAACUUAUGAACUAGUUUACUCCGAGGACCUAAAUAUUGCUACAAUCUGAACGACAACAUCUACAACUAAUCUGAUCGUUCAAAAUGACAUUCUUAUACCUAAAAGGAUAUAAAAAUCGGAAUUUUUCAGAUCGGAUUCCCGGAGGUAAAUGGAUCGGACGAACUAUCCCCUCAUAAACUAGUCAACUUAGGAAAUAGUUUACUCCGGGGACCUAAAGGUGGCUACAAUCUGAACGGCAACAUCUACAACUAAUCUGACCGUUCAAAAUGACAUUCUUAUACAUAAAAGGAUAUAGAAAUCAGAAUUUUUCAGAUCGGGUUCCCGGAGGUAAAUGGAUCGGACGAACUAUCCCCUCAUAAACUGGUCAACUUAGGAACUAGUUUACUCUAGGGACCUAAACGUGGCUAAAAUCUGAAUGGCAACAAGUACAAUCAAUCCAACCGUUCAAAAUGACAUUCUUAUACCUAAAAGGAUAUAGAAAUCAGAAUUUUUCAGAACGGGUUCCCGGAGGUAAAUGGAUCGGAGGAACUAUUCCCUCAUAAACUAGUCAACUUAGGAACUAGUUUACUCCGGGGACCUAAACGUAGCUAAAAUUUGAAUGGCAAAAAAUACAACCAAUUCAACCGUUCAAAAUGACAUUCUUAUACCUAAAAGGAUAUAGAAAUCGGAAUUUUUCAGAUCAAGUUCCCGGAGGUAAAUGGAUCGGACGAACUAUCCCCUCAUAAACUAGUCAACUUAGGAACUAGUUUACUCCAGGGACCUAAACGUUGCUAAAAUCUGAAUGGCAACAAGUACAAUCAAUCCAACCGUUCAAAAUGACAUUCUUAUACUUAAAAGGAUAUAGAAAUUGGAAUUUUUCAGAUCGGGUUCCUGGAGGUUAAUGGAUCGGACGAACUAUCCCUUCAUAAACUAGUCAACUUAGGAACUAGUUAACUCAGGGGACCUAAACGUGGCUAAAAUCUGAAUGGCAACAAGUACAACCAAUCCGACCGUUCAAAAUGACAUUCUUAGACCUAAAAGGAUAUAGAAAUCGGAAUUUCUCAUAUUGGAUUCUCAGAGGUAAGUGGAUCGGACGAACUAUCCCCUCAAGUUAUAAUAAAACAAACUAACCAUGAUUAUCUAUUUUAAUGACAUCAACAAUGUAACAAACAAAUAUAAUAUAAUUUUUUUAAUGACACCAACAACAAUUUUAAUUAUAAAAAAAGUUAUUUAAAGGUAUAAUAGCACUAGAAGAAAAUGGUCAUUUUGGGACACUCUGAAAGUGUAAAAACUACUAAUUUUUUUUGCACUAAUUUUACGAUGGGUUGCUUUAAGAAAUUAAUUAGUAUAUCAAGCACUUAAUGGAUCAAUUAAUUAAACCAUUAUAAUCAAUAUUAUAAAAUGAUUGUAAUUAUAUAUGUGAUGUUAAGAAUUUAAUCGUGCAAUUGUUUAAAUUAAAAUUAACUGUCUAUUGUUUUGUACAAUUAUUUAUUUUUUAUAAGAUAUAAUUGUACAUAUAACGAAUCACAGAAAGACAUCACUCCUACAACUAAAAUAGACUUAACCGUCUAAUGGUAUCAAAUAUAAUCAACCGGAUCGUUGAAUAUGACCUUAUUGGAAUAAGAACGAAGUAGUAACUGGAAUUUAUGAAUUCAAAAUAUUAUGUGUAAGUUGAUAUGACGAACUCUCCCGUUAGAAACCUAGUCAAUACGGAAAGACAUUACUCCGACGAUCAAAACGGAUCCAACCGACUAACAAUAUCAAAUAUAACCAAUCAGGCCAUUGGAAUAUAAUAUGACCUUAUCAGAAUAAGAACGAAGCACAAAAUGAAAUUUUGAAAAUCAAAAUCUUCAUUGUAUCAUUGUAAGUCGAUAUAACGAAGUAUCCCAUUAAAAACAUAGUCAACAUGAAAGGACAUUACUCCGACAAUCAAAAGAGACCCAACUGUCUAAAUAUAUCUAUACACAAAGGACAGUUUGGUAAUAUAAACAUGUUUUUGACAAUUUUAUUAUUUCAUCAACUUUUGUUAAGAGUUGAAAAACAAAAGUGUAAUCAAAGUAUUCUUUGUAGUGUGUUGGUAAAAAGUUGUGUUGAUUGCCUGAAAGGACCUGGUUCGAUCCCUGAUUUGCCGUCUUUAUUUUAAAUUAGUUCCUUUUUUUUUUAAGGUGGUAAAAAACAAAAACUACCUUGGAAUCGAACUCACGACCCUCAAUCAAUUGAAAGAAAGACAUACCGCUGCGAAGAGUCCGACCCAAUUGUUACGAUAUUCCGCGAUUAAUAUUUAUAAGAACAAUAAUGAUUAGAAAUAAAAACAAGUCGUCACUCAUCAUCUUCAACCUCCAGCCGGGUCAUGUUCACCCGGUUCAGACCCUCGAAACCCGCACAAUCCCAACAGAUUUAGACCAUAUCGACGUCAAAAUUGAUGAUUUUAAUCAAAAACUUUAUACAAAUCGUAUCCAAACUCUUCAUUCCCUUCUGCCAGAUCUGAUUGCCAAACUCUUUUUUUAAUUUUAAUUUGAGUUGAAGCCUCCAGGUAUUUUAGGACAACCACCAUGAAAGAGAUGAAGAGCAUAGUACAAUUUUUUGAGAUUGAUUAUUUAAAGUUAAAAAAUUGUACAGUAGAAGAGAUUAAUUAUGCAUGGGGUAAAUAUGUAAUAAUCAAAAUUAUUGUGGUGUGUCUAUAAUAACAUUAAACACAACAUUAGGGGUCAAUGUUAAAAACUAUAAAAAACCGGAAAAACUGGUUAUCAUAUGUAUUUUGAUUUAUUUUCAUUUUUGUGCACCAUACCAAAGAAUAUGUCCUUUGGCAGGCUAGAUGCCACCAAAAGAAAAACCUUCUUGAUAAUAAAUAAAGAAUGGGUUUUGGAAGGGUUUUACUUUUUUUUUUUUUUUUUAAAACUCAUAAUUUAUUUUUUCUCACGCCAUUUUUUUUUUUGUUAUUUUUUUUUUUUGAAGGGUUUAUUUUUACUAAAAGAGUUGUGAAAUCGUUGAAGAGUAAACAAGGAGGGAGGUUAGUUUCUCUAACCAUUUCCUGCUUGUCUAUUUCAAACCAUAGAUGACCAAAAAACCUAUUUAACUUAAGUAACACAAUUUUAUUGAAAGAAUGAGAAAAUGAGAGAAGAGUUUUGUCUAAUGGUUUCCCUUCGGCUCGCUGCUCUAAUUCAAUGUUUUCAUAUCUAAACUUUGAGUGGUAAGAUCCUAGUCUUGUAACAUCGAGAGACCUAGUAUAAAUAUUUUUAAAGACAAUUGUAAAAUGAUUGUUUCUGAUGUCUACGUGUCAGUGUGGUGUUCAUAUCUAUGUCACUGUUUUGUAGGCUAUGCUUACUUCACUAACUAAUAUAUUCUAAUGUUGUAUUGUAAUAAUGUACGGUUAUAAUUCACCCCAAUGUUCUUUUUAUCAUCUUAAUAAUGUCUUUGGAAUCUCGAUAUGAAAUACAUUAUACAUUUCAUGAAAACAAUUGCAUCGAUGCAUAAAACUAGAAACAAAAGAAACUAGUUAUCAUAUCAAAGCACUUAGUUCAUAAGACAAGUUCCAAAUCUUUUAAAAUGUUAUUAUUUUCAAACAAGAUGAGAGGAUCCUUACUCCUCAACAUACUUCACGGUCAUGAACUUGAUUUACAAAAUUGAUUAAAAGAAUGUGCAUAUGUAUGCAAGUGUAUGCGUAUAACAAUGUAUUAUUUCAUCAUAUCGUUUAAACCCUUUGUGCUGGAAAAGUCACACGUAAACAUAAUCCUUUCCAAGAAAUCAUUAUGCAAACGUGGCCGCAAUGACCUCUACUCACUUACGGGACGCGAUGCUCUGUGUGGGUGUGGCCACCGCCACCCACAACGAUGCAACGCUCUGCAGUAAUAGCAGCGUUAUUUCCUAGUCCUGCUACUGACAACAUUAUUUAAAACCAACUUUGGUAAGGUCUUUUGCAUGGCCCUCCUGCUACAUAAAAAAUAGAAAUACUCUGAGAUUGAUAGACAUGUGAUAGAUAGCACUUGUGUAAACUUUUAAAUGCUCUUUCUUGAAACAAAAAAAUGAAUCUUCAAGUUCCAACUUAUUUCAAGUUCUAACUCAUCACACGUACACACCUAUCACGUAAAAUUAGAUGCAACUCCAUUACUAACUCAUCACAUCGAUUUACCAUGUAGUGUCUGCAUAAAUAUUGUCGUGCAGAAAAUCUUCAAAACCCGAAGAUUUUACCUGGGAGACGCAGUGAUCCAAAAACAUGAGACCAGUCAGAAUGCAAAUUUUCCGGUAUGCUUCAUCUGUGAAAUUGAACAAGAGUAAUGUUGUGUUUCAAUGCUUACCCAGAGAUUCAAACUCUGAAAUGGUAUGCAUUUGUGCAAGAACUACUUCAGCCCCUUGUCGGUCAACUUGACGUUCCUAGGCGUCAAAUUUAUACGUACGUUAGGAACGCUAAAGAAUUAGCAAAUUGAAGGAAAUUAGCAAAUGGAUUAUAAAAAAACACUUUCCAACAGGCGUUUCUCUUCUGCUGACUGCUCUAUUUACUCAACGUUUACAUAUACAAAUGCCAUCCUUCUACAAUCGUGUUCUCCUAUUUAUUAUAUAAUCUAACUACGAUCUAACAAAUGAACUAACUACCCUAACUGUCACUAACUAACAUCUCCUCUAUCUUCUAUUCUAGCAAUCGUAGUAAUUUACUAAGGAAGAUUGCACACCAAGUGAGACUUUCAAGUGCUAAAAUCAAACAAUGUACGCAGGGCCGUUCCUAGAGUUUUACGGGCCUUAGGCAUAAUAUGAAAAAAGGUCCCCAACAUAAUACAUCAUAAUUCUUUUUAGCUCAUUGUUGUGCUUUUUUAGCUCUUCAUUUCGUUUUUCUAUUUCGCUUUCACUACCAAAUAAAUAUUUUUUAGACAACAUCUGAAAAUAAAUUAAAUACUCUAUGUACACCAAAACAAAAUAAAAUAUCGUAGAAGUAGAAAAAAAAUAGCACAUGCGAAGUAGACUGAAAUUUUCACACCCCAUUUUCAACUAAAAUAGAAUUUGCUUUGUUAUGAAAAUUAUCCCAAUUUCUUGGAUAAUAAAUAUGGUCAACAUUUUUAAUAUUAGUGAAACACAUUAUUAGGAACAAAGGGCCCAAAAAAAUAUCAUCAAUUUCUUAUUUUCGAGCAUAUUAUUAAGAUCAACCAAUUUUUUUUUUUAUAGGAAGGUGUAUAUAGAAAUAUUUGUGCUGCAUGGGAUAUAUAUAACAAAUCUCUCUAAAAAUGCCAAAAACAUUAACAGAUUUCAGCCCAUUACUAUAUCAUGUCAAAAUCCUAAACCCUAAAUUCCUAAACUUUUCAGAGAAUUUUGUUAUACAUAUCCCCCAAAAUCCAAAUAUUUCUAUAUACACCCUCCAGCUUAAUUUUUUUUUGGGCCCCUACCGACAAGGGCCCUAGGCCGUCGCACUCGUGGCGUAUGCCCUAGGGCCGGCCCUGAAUGUAGGUCAAGAUUUUUUAUGAUAUCCAUGUAGAUGGAAAUGAUUUUUCACUAAGGACAACGAUUGAUUAUUACUUCAAAUCUUGUAUCAGAUAUUUUUUGGCAGCAGUUCAGAUUUAAAGACUCAAAGCUUCGAAGAAAAUGAAAACACUAGAAAUGCUUAACAUUAUUUGGUCAGAAUCACAUUCAAUCUAUAUUCUACAUUUCUACAUCAUAAAAUGUUUGUGGAAACAUUGUCAACUAUGGUUGCCCCCUUUAUCUAAUAUUCUUGUAAUGUCAGAACCAUAAGUACUCAGCAAGCAAUGAAUGAUAAACAGUUCCAGCUUCUGCAUUUUUAGAUAUAUGAUAAUAGAUUACCACAUAAUAACUAAAGAAAAUAAUCUAUAUCAAUCAUUUAUCAAUAAACCAAUGAUUGAUAUUACAUGGACAUACAUAAGAAAUCACUGUUGUGUUGAAAUAUUAGCUAUUGAUUUUUUUCAUUAAUCACUUCACACUUUAGAGAAGUCAUACCCUAACCACAAAAGUUAGAUCAACUAACAAAUUCGAUCGAAUAAGAAGAAUAUAAGACUAAGUGUAUGUUUGGAUUUACUUUUGGUAGAUGCACUAACAAAUUCGAAACAAUUUGUCAUCAGUUUUUAACGUUUCUUUGACGGAAGGCUAUGUCAAAACAAUUUAUCAACUUAAAGACUGAUAUGUUAUAACAAUAGCUUAAAGGGUCAUGUCAGUUAAGGAAGUCAAAAGAGAAAAUUUUAAAUAAAAAAAAAAUACCUUUUUAGUUUUUAAUGCACUCAUUACACACCUCUCAAUGCAAAUGCUACUAUAUUUAAUCCCCUUAAAGAGUGUCCGGGGACAUUAGUUAACAUUUCCCUAACUUAAAUGACCAAUUCGUUACAAACGUGAAACUUAAAGGACCCUUUGUGUAAUUUGGCCUUUAAUUUACUAUUGAAGGUUAAUCUUACACCACCUUUAAGAUGUCGGGUUUCUUUUGCAUUUAAGCCUUGCUAGCUUACAAAUAUUUAGAUCUAGUAGAAACAUUGUUUUAGAUAAGAGCAAUGUUAUUUGAAUAUCAAUUUGGUUGACAACCAUAUUUUUACAAAGAAAAGUAUGUGUUGACACAAAAACCAAAGCAAUUGAGAGAGAAAGUAAAAAUAUAACGUGAGUAUGUGAUACGGUAUCUGUUGGUAUGGGCCGUGACACAAGCACUGAGAAGCAAGAUAAAAGGCCCAACAAGAAACCAGUGUGGAUGACAGAUUAUACUACCUUCUUGAAUUAUCUUAUUUGUCUGUUUCUUAAUAUGCCAAUUUUGCAAUAGUUGUAGCUUCCUAGAAUUAAGGAUCAAGACAUCAUAGAUGAAUGCCAUCUGUAGUAUGCCGUUAGGCAGCAGCCUAGAAUCCUGCUAUAUGUAUGAGACAAAAGCACAGAAAUAAAAGGGAGAAAAAAUAAAAUUGUUCCAAUCAUUAUCCUCUCUCUCUUAGGCUUUCCCAAAUACUGGGAAUUCAAUUUCUUUUUUUUUAUCUCUGUUCCUAACAUUGGUGCUCUCGUGUUCUGUAACUCAACCUCACCGCCAUCAUGCCCCCUCGCCAAGAAUGUCCCGAAUCCUCCCUAAUCCAAGAAGCCAUCAACGCCCUUACCGCCGCCUUCCAAGACUUUCGCACUAACCAAGAUGAACGCCACAAUACCUACCUUCAAACCUUCAACCUAAUCCAAACCCAGAUCCAGGAAUUACCCAUUAACUCUGUUUCUGGAAAUGCAUCUUCUUCCACCAACCCACCACCGCCGCCACCACCCCUGCCUCCACCACCGUUUAAACCAUCGAAACUCACACUCCCUGCCUUCGAUGGCACAAACCCUCUUGAUUGGCUAUUCCAAGCUGAGCAAUUUUUCAACCACUACAACAUUCAACCAGCAACAAGACUUCAAUACCUUUCAACCUAUAUGACCGGAGACGCGCUUGCGUGGUUCCAAUGAUCAAGUAACAAUGGCAUGAUUACCACUUGGCCCUCUUUCAUAAGAGACUUAGAAAUCCGUUUUGGUCCUUCAUCCUACACCAACCACCAACAUGCCCUUUUCAAACUAACCCAACCAACAACAGUAGCUGACUACCAAAAAGAAUUUGAAAGAAUUUGCAAUCGUGUUGUUGGUCUAUCACCCACAACCAUCUUAGAUUGUUUUGUCUCUGGUCUGCGCUGGGACAUCAAAAAUGAAAUAGCACUGCUUCAACCCACAACCAUUUCUCAAGCUAUUGGGCUUGCCAAGCUCAUUGAGUCCAAAUUGCUAGCCACUAGGCCCAAUACUUCAUCUUCCCAUAACAAACCCUACUACCAGAAACCAGCACCUUCCCAAAUUACUUAUACACCGCAAACCACAAACAACCCAUUAUUACCAAACCCACCAACACGCCUAACCCUACCCGCACCACCAAACCCGAAAUCAACUAUGCCGGUUCGCCGCCUCUCACCAGAUGAAAUGCAAAUCCGCCGCACAAAAGGGUUGUGUUUUAAUUGCGACGAAAGAUUUGUUCCGGGUCACAAAUGCAAAACCCGUCCUUUCCUUCUUUUACUAUCUGAUGACCCAAACCCACCUCCAUCUCCCACACACACAACUGAAGAAGAUGUCUUCUUCCUCACUGAAUCCACAACCACACCACCAAAUGAACCAGUGGAAAACACUAACCCUGCUGAAUCAGUACCCACAACACCUGAAAAUUUCCAUCUAUCCUUGCACGCACUCACCACGCACACUACGUUUUGAAGCAACCAUCAACGGACAUUGUGUCUCAGUUCUAGUCGAUACAGGUAGCUCACAUAACAUAAUCCAACCCAGAAUUGCUCAAUUCCUACACCUCCCAAAACUCUCAAUUGAUUCAUUUUCUAUUAUGGUCGGAAACGGCGAGCAAAUCCAUUGUUCUGGGUUUUGCCCCAGUGUUCCCUUGCUGAUUCAACAAAACCUCUUUCAUAUUCCAUUCUACUUGCUACCCAUCCACGACGCUGAUGUCGUCUUAGGCGCGCAAUGGCUAGAAACACUAGGACCAUUCUUAUCUGAUUUCACCAUUCCCUCAAUGCAAUUCUACCACAACGGAAACCUCAUCACCUUCCAAGGGUCAAACACACCCACCAUAUCACCCGCAACCUUUCACCAGCUGAAUCGUUUAAUCCAAACAGACUCAAUUGAUACCUUCCACACCAUUUCCAUGUUACCUAUUCCUGAUUCAGAUACCAAUAUCAACCAAGAAACCCCAAACACUUUUUUCACCAAAGACGAUUCCACCUUACUGGCUAACAUUCACCCAGACCUCAUCCCUCUCCUUCACAAAUAUUCCUACAUCUUUACUAUACCCACACAACUUCCCCCAAACUGUCCUCACGACCAUCAGAUUCACCUCAUUCCAAAUGCCAACCCAAUCAACUUAAAACCCUAUCGCUACCCCUACUAUCAAAAGGAAGCCAUGACCAUCCUCAUCUCAGAAAUGCUAUCUUCCGGCAUUAUCCGCCCUAGUACGAGCCCUUACUCCUCACCUGUUCUCUUGGUAAAAAAGAAGGAUGGCACUUGGCGGUUUUGUGUCGAUUACAGAGCACUAAAUGCAAUCACUGUUAAGGACAAAUUUCCCAUUCCCACUAUAGAUGAACUUAUCGAUGAAUUACAAGGAGCGACUUAUUUUUCCAAAAUCGACUUACGAUCAGGCUACCAUCAGAUUCGGUUGAGGGAAGCAGAUAUCCCAAAGACGGGGUUUCGCACUUUCAAUGGACACUAUGAGUUCUUGGUGAUGCCGUUUGGUCUCUCAAACGCCCCAUCAACCUUCCAGUCAGCCAUGAACGACAUGCUCCGGCCUCACUUACGCAAAUUUGCGUUAGUUUUCUUUGAUGAUAUCCUUAUUUAUAGUCCCUCUUGGACUGAUCAUUUGUUACAUGUGGAACAGGUUUUAGCUCUGCUGCACUCCAAUGAAUUUUUUGCUAAGUUUUCCAAAUGUAGCUUUGGCGUUUCAUCGGUGGAAUACUUGGGCCAUAUCAUAUCAGAAUUAGGAGUUCAAGCAGACCCGGAGAAACUUCGUGCAAUAGCAGAAUGGCCAACACCAACAUCAUUAACAGCGUUGCGCGCGUUCCUGGGGAUUACCGGAUUCUACCGUCGUUUUGUCAAAGGUUACGCCACUAUUGCUAACCCCUUGACAGAUUUGCUACGGGGAUCAGUUUUUAAAUGGACACCAGAUGCUGAUUGUGCCUUCAAGGUACUCAAAGAAGCAAUGUUGCAGCUGCCCAUCCUUAGCCUACCCAAUUUUGAUCUUCCUUUUGAAGUCACAACAAAUGCUUCCAACCUUGCAGUAGGUGCAGUGCUCUCUCAACAGCAUCAUCCAAUUGCUUUUUUUAGUAAGAAGCUCACAACUAAGCUUGCCUCUGCUUCGACAUAUGUAAGGGAACUAUAUGCUUUGACAGAAGCCAUAAAAAAAUGGCGUCAAUACUUGUUGGGACACACGUUCAAGAUAUACACCGAUCACAAGAGCCUCAAGAGCUUGAUGACACAAACAAUUCAGACACCCGAACAACAGAAAUGGUUAACUAAACUAAUGGGGUACAACUAUGAAAUCUGCUACACACCGGGAAAGGAAAAUGUCGUAGCAGAUGCACUAUCUCGCAUUCAAAUUCCCGAAGGAAACUAUGCAGCUAUCAGUUUCCCGAGUUCCGACAUCAUCAAACAGCUGCAAAAGUUUUUUGAACAGCACCCUAAAGGCCAGGAGUACCUCACCAAGCAUCAACCAGAUGUUGCUUCACUUACAAAAUUCGCCAACAAGAAAGGGCUACUUUAUUUCAACCACCGCCUUGUGAUACCAAGUGAAACCAAUCUCAUUCCAUUACUACUUGAGGAAUUUCACUCCUCCCCAGUUGGCGGACAUUCAGGCGUCAAGGCCACCUUGGCCAGACUUGCGACCAAUUUCUAUUGGCCGAAUAUGCACAAAGAUGUCAAGGAGUAUGUGGCCAAAUGUGCUACCUGCAGCUAUCACAAGUAUUCCACUCAGAAACCCUAUGGAUUGCUCCAGCCACUUGACACGCCUCACCAAGUCUGGGAAGAUAUCUCCAUGGAUUUCAUCACCAAUCUUCCCCCUUCUGCGAACCGCACAGUCAUUUGGGUAGUUGUGGAUCGGCUCUCAAAGUUCGCGCACUUCAUACCAUUACCAACCAAUUUCUCUGCCACUUCCCUAGCAACUGUAUUCGUCAACGAAAUCUACAGACUUCAUGGUACCCCAAAAUCCAUUGUCAGUGACCGAGACAGAGUAUUCAUAAGCAGAUUUUGGAAGGAAUUGUUCGCAUCAUUAGGUACUACGCUGGCUCUAAGCAGUGCGUAUCACCCUCAAACCGACGGGCAGACCGAGGUACUCAACCGUUGUUUAGAGACGUAUCUACGUUGUUUUGUGAGUGAUGCACCACAACAAUGGACUCGCUUCAUUCCCCUUGCGGAGUUUUGGUAUAACACUUCUCACCACUCAGCCAUUGGCAUGUCUCCUUUUGAAGCCCUCUAUGGCAGGCCCCCUCCAUCAUUAGGCUCUUACAGCACUGGUGAUUCUUCACUCACUUCUGUUGAUGAAUUGCUGAGUAAUCAUAACAAGGUCCUUAAACUUGCGAAGGAGAAUCUCACUAAAGCAAAACAUCGCAUGACUCAACAGGCUAAUAAGAAACGCGUGGACAAGCAACUCCCUGAAGGCUCCUGGGUUUAUUUAAAGUUACAGCCGUACCGUCAACUUUCAUUGAAAACUAGAGGCUCCCCAAAACUGGCAAAGCGUUUUUAUGGCCCUUUCCGCAUCCUUCGCCGCAUUGGUUCUGUAGCAUAUGAACUGGAGUUACCUCCCUAUGCUCGUAUGCAUCCGGUGUUCCAUAUUUCCCUACUCAAACCUUGCUUAGGAACUCCAGAUCAGCAGAUAAUUCCCUUACCAGCUAUGGACAAUGGUGCAACCUUGUCUCCUGCAAAGAUUCUGAAUUAUCGUAUCCGCCGCACCAACAAUGGGCCCAAGGAGGAGCUGUUGGUACAAUGGGAAGGCCAAAGCUCGAUUGAGAACACCUGGGAACUUAAAGAAGCCUUUAUGAAAAAUUACCCCACUUUUAAUCUUGAGGACAAGAUUAUUUUUGAGGAAGGGAGUAAUGAUACGGUAUCUGUUGGUAUGGGCCGUGACACAAGCACUGAGAAGCAAGAUAAAAGGCCCAACAAGAAACCAGUGUGGAUGACGGAUUAUACUACCUUCUAGAAUUAUCUUAUUUGUCUGUUUCUUAAUAUGCCAAUUUUGCAAUAGCUGUAGCUUCCUAGAAUUAAGGAUCAAGACAUCAUAGAUGAAUGCCAUCUAUAGUAUGCCGUUAGGCAGCAACCUAGAAUCCUGCUAUAUGUAUGAGACAAAAGCACAGAAAUAAAAGGGAGAAAAAAUAAAAUUGUUCCAAUCAUUAUCCUCUCUCUCUUAGGCUUUCCCAAAUACUGGGAAUUCAAUUUCUUUUUUUUAUCUCUGUUCCUAACAGUAUGAGAGAGAAAAUUGUCAUAAAAGUUAUUAGAAAUUGAUUGUAUAAAUAUCAUCUAAAACGUGUUUAAUGUUUGAACCUGUUGCCAUGUUUAUGAUUUUCUAAGCAUCAAGCGUCUGUAUCUUCACAGCGCAAGUCCCACAUCGUUCACAUUUCAUGUGCAAGGGUCCUUUGAAUCUUAUAAAUAUAAGAGGUAGUAGUUUCAAUUCUCAAACAAUCCAAUGUUCCGAAACCUCUGAGCUCGGAUUGGGUAAGACCGAUAGCAAUUCUUUUUGUCCAUUGUAAAUCAAUAAUUUAUUUAUUGUUUCAUUUUAAAUCAAUAAUUUAUAAGGAGUUUAACUUUUUUAUUUGUAAAUUAUGAUUAUGAGAAAAUCAUGAUUAUGAUUUAUAUUAGUUUAAGUGAAUUAGAUUUCAUGUAAUAAUUAUUUUAAAUUUAGAUUAAAUUGAACAUAUAUUUGUCUUUGUUUAAUGAAAUUGGUUUUAUAUUUAAUUUUUUAAUAAAAAAAACACUUAAGAAUAAAGUUGGAAUAAAAAAUUGAGGAUAUUUUUUUGCAUAUUAUGAUAUAGCACCACAUGUGAUUACAUUGAAUUAUUUUAUUUAAAAAUAUUUGUGUCAGACUUCUUUGUUUCUUCUGUGUUGUCUGUGUUUUUGCUUCAUAAUAUGGUAUUGACUUGAAAAAUUCCAUUUUACAUGAUGUUAAACUUUUUGCAACAAUUUCGUAUUUUCCGGGGAGAAGAAUUUAUUAUUGAGAGGAAGAGUCGUCUGUUUAUUAUUGAGAGGAAGAGUCCUCUACAAUAAAAAAAACACGAGACAUAUCAGAAGGCAUAGUUUCCUGUAAGCUUCAUCUAUGAAAGUAAACAAGAGUGAUGCUGUGAAUUAAUCCCAUCCAAGGGCCAUACAACUUUGAAAUAAGUAUUUGAGCUGUAGUGUCUACCUAGACAUUGCAUAGAGAUUCAAACUCUAAAGGGAUGGACAUUUCUGCAACAACUACUUUAGCUCCACGUUAGUUAACUUGACGCAUCUAGAUGUGAAAUUACAAAAUAUUUAUAUGUUAGGAAUCCGAAAUUGAUAAAAAAAACACAACUUUAUUAAAAGAAUGAGAAUAUGAGAGAAAAGUUUUGUCCAAGGGUUUCCCUUCUACCCCAAGACUCUAUUCAUUCAGUGUUUACAUAUCUAAACAUUAAGUGGUAAGAUGCCGGUCUUGUAAUCUCGAGCGAUGAAGUUCAAAUUCGCAUAAAGAAGAUUGUCAGUGUCAUUUUAAUAAAAGUAAGAAAAAAAAAAAAACUAGAUGUUAAUGUCUUGUAACUAACUAAUAACUAUUCAUUCAGUUUUUACAUAUUUAAACUGUUAGUGUCUUUGAAAAAUAGUACUAUCCAUCUCUACCUGUGUCCUAUAUGAAACAAUAUGACUGAUGAUCUACUCCAUUAAAGUACGUAUCAAAGGUAGAAUGCCAAUCAAACAAUUUGAGUAAUGACUACAACCUCAGAAUGUAGGAAAAGUAUACAUAGACACACCAAAUGUCACACACCCCUUCAUACCACCAAUGACAUGGCUAAAAUACUUUAAAAAAUUGAUCUUUGAUGACAUGGUAAAUAAUUCUUAAAACAAAUAAGAAAUAGAUCUAGAAAAUUAAAAAAGAAAAAAAAUCAGUGUCUCACCUCUCUCUCUCUACGAGAGUGAAUCCUGCUUUCUCCAUCCCUCUCUCCGCCAUUUCCUCUGAGGCCUCCAUCUCUCCCUCAACCGCGACAGCUUAAUUAGCUCUCUCCCCAACAAAUACGAUCAAAAGCAACUGCGAUCUCCUUCUGCGAUUCAACGGUUGGCGUUUUGUCAAAGUUUCCGUCGCCGAAUCUCUCCGUUGAAGGUUAUGUUUUCUCGAAUCUUGUAUUUGAUGAAGGUUAAAAUUUAUUUUGAAAUCAUUUGGGUAUGAUGAAGAAAUUAAUCAUAUUAGGAUAUGAUACUGAUUUAGUGAUAAUUUUGGGUUAAACAAAGCUUGAUAGUAUUUAGAUGUUUAGUUCAUAAUUAAGUUAAAAUCUCUGUUAUUUGCUACUGUUUGAUUGUUGCAUUAUGGGUUGUUGUCAAUUAAGAUGUUGCGUUGUUGCUACUAUUUGAUUUGUUGGUAAUUGCAAAUGGGUCUGGAAUGAAAAUUUAUGUUGCUUAAGUUAAGUCAUUCUUUAGUUGGGUUGUGCCAAACAUGUCCUAUAUUGUUAGUAAAAAAUCUUAAGCUUUCCCCAAUUUUUUUAGUUUGAUUGUGGUUGUUCCUCUAAAUGUUAUCACAUAGAGUUAGUGUCAAAUUCUUAAUCAAAAGAAUUGUGGUCACACUUGUGUUAAAAAAUGGUCAAAGUGUUGGAAAUUUGAAAGAAAAAAAUGUGGUUACGUCUAUGUUAAAAUAUGGUUAAGUGCAGAUAAAUUUUUGUCGGUAUGUCUAUGAUAGAAAUUGGACAUUUGUGUGUGUUUUAAUUGUUGUUGAUAGAAAUUGUUUUUGUAUACAACAGAUAAGGUCAACAUCAUGAACGAAAACAAACGAAAAAGGGAUGGUGGUGUUGGUGUAAGUACAAUUUAAUUAAUGAGACGUUUAAUGUGUAUGUAACUGUUUAUGUUUUAUGCCAUUAAUGAAUGAAUAAUGUUCAUUUUUCAGCCACAGAUAAAGACUCAAAUGCCCCGUACCAAUAAGUUGGUAGAUAUUAACCGAAAAUUAUCUGAUGCGCAAAGGAGUAGAAUUAUGAAAACUCCAUUCCGAUAUCUGGUGGAAAUGAAGACCUAUAUAGGAAUGAAUGGUACUUUAUUGAAGGAAUUAUUGCAUAGGUGGGAUGCAAGUAGCUUAGGAUUUAGAGUAGGCGUUAGGACUGUGGCCUUUAAACAUCUAGACCUUUAUUAGUUGUUGAUUAAUUAAUAAUAUGUAAAUAUUGAUAUAUAUCGAAAUAAAAGCAUUUACUUAUCUACAGGAGGAUAUCCUUCGGAUUCGCAGUGACAUUGUUUGUCGUUUGGUGCUUCAUGAAGAAAAUAAGCAGAGAAGUUUUGUAUUGGAUAAUGCUAUGUUACCCGCGGACUUAUUGAUCGGUUAAACAUACAUUUUCUAACUUAAUUGUGGUUGAUUGAUAUUGAUGUACAUUUGACGAAGACAUACUUUUUUUGGUUAUCGAUGGUCAUCUAUAAAAGAUUAUACUUGUUCAGAAGACUGAUAAAUUAAUUCGUAUUGAAUUUAUGUACAUAACUAUUCUCCCUAUCAUAAUUUCCAGGAAAAAAAAUCUGGUCACAUUUCAGUUUUAAUAACAUGUUCUAGGAUAGUUAGCCAAAAAUAUGCUCUGUGUGACAACAUUUUUUUAUUUACGUGACCACUAUUUUUCCAGAUAUGAGAAUUCGUCAGUCUUUAGGCGUGAAAUACAUGAAGCUUAUAAAAGAAGUUGUUUAUUGUUUGACAUGUUUUUAGUGCAAUAAUAAAAUAUUGUAUGACAUGCUUUUAGUGCAGUGAUUAAAUGUGAUUACAAUGUUCCGGGUUUAUAUUUAUAGCCGGUAAAGUAAAGUUAGCCAAAAAUAUGCUAUGUCUGACCACAUUUUUUCAUUUAUAUGACCACUAUUUUUCCAAAUAUUUGAAUUUGUUCGUCGUUAGGUGUAAAAUAAUUGUAACGCGUAAAAAGAAGUUGUUGUUUAUUGUUUGAGAUGCUUUUAAUGCAGUGAUAAAAUGUGAUUACAAUGUUCCGGAUAAUAUGCUAUGUUUGACCACAUUUUUUUCAUAAUCUCAUUUGAACACUGCACUAAAAGUCUUUCCAACCAGAAAUAAUUAGUUUUACAAUAUGCGCGUUUAUCACGCCUAAGGACGACAAGUUCUAAUUUAUGAAAAAAUAGUGGUCACACAUUUGUAAAAUUAUGGUCAUACAUGCCAUAUAUUUGGCUAGUUUAUCAUUCUCAGUUGUAACUAAUCCUGUUUUACGAUAAUCGAACACAUAAUCUCAUUUGAACACUGCACUAAAAGCCUUUCCAACCAGAAAUAAUUAAUUUUACAAUAUGCGUGUUUUUCACGCCUAAGGACGGAUAAGUUCUAAUUUAUGAAAAAAAUAGUGGUCACACAUUUGUAAACUUAUGGUCAUACAUGCCAUAUAUUUGGCUAGUUUAUCAUUCCCAGCUGUAACUAAUCAUGUUUUACGAGAAUCGAACACAUAAUCUCAUUUGAACACUGCGCUAAAAGUCUUUCCAACCAGAAAUAAUUAAUUUUACAAUAUGCGCGUUUAUCACGCCUAAGGACGGACAAGUUCUAAAGUAUGAAAAAAUAGUGGUCACACAUUUGUAAAAUUAUGGUCAUACAUGGCAUAUAUUUGGCUAGUAUAUCAUUCUCAGCUGUAACUAAUCCAAUUUUACGAGAAUCGAACACAUAAUCUCAUUUGAACACUGCACUAAAAGCCUUUCCAACCAGAAAUAAUUAUUUUUACCAUAUGCGCAUUUAUUACGCCUAAGGACGGACAAGUUCUAAAGUAUGAAAAAAUAGUGGUCACACAUAUGUAAAAUUAUGGUCAUACAUUGCAUAUAUUUGGCUAGUUUAUCACUCUCAGCUGUAACUAAUCCUGUUUUACGAGAAUCGAACACAUGAUCUCAUUUGAACAAUGCACUAAAAGCCUUUUCAAACUUAAGUUUGGUAACAUUUCACCAAAUCUUGUCAAAGAUGGGUAUUAGUCGCCCUUUGACUCAUGCAAAAGAUAUACAUGCCAAGAUUUUAUCUGUCAAUAAAGACACAAACAUUUUUUAUAUCAAAGAAUAAAACAUAACAACAAACCUCCCAAUAAAAUUUAUUACAUAACAGGCACAGUGACUCAUUAAACUGUAGGAUAGUUCAACAAUGUUAAUAACUAACAACAUACGGUGUUUCCAUUAAUAUUAUAGGUGCGACAUUGUCCUACUAAAUAAAAAAUAGCAUAAAAAAACAUCUACAUUGCAAUCAUAUCAAAACACUACACUAAUUUAAAUCUUCUUCUUUAUGCGUCCAUCCUUCACCCAUGGGGAAAGCAGAACCCCACUUUUUACACGGUUUCUUGGCUUGUCCUUAAUUAUAGUUAAGAGAUUUGAUGCAUGAUGUGCUACAUCAUAUGAUACAUUUGCCACCUCCCUUUCAAUAACUCUUUCAAUCUCAUCCAUGGAGACGUCCUCGUGGACACCUUCAUCAUUGAAGACACCUUCGUCCACAUAACUGGAUUGUGCACUACCGUAUAACUUCUUCAUCUCUCUAGUUUCCGAUUCAAGAAGAGAUAUCCUUGCGGAAAGUCCUUUGUUUGCUUCCCCCAACAGGCGAUUGUUAACAAUUAACUGACUGAUAAUAGGAUCUGGUCUCCAUUUAAUAUAUCCACUUGGCGCUCGAUCUAACGCCUCCCUCACAACUUCAUUUGCAACCUCUUCUUUAGUUGCACUUAACUCUUCAAUAACCUGUCAAGGUUGAUACAAUAUAAAUAUUAAUGAACUAUUGACACCGCUUAAACCCUAUAUACAAAAUUCAUAUAGAUAAAUAUAAAUAAUAAUAUUUAUUCAACCUUACCAAAUAAUUAUCAAGCAAGUGUGAUAUAUUUUUGCCAACCAAACUAACACCACGUGCCUUCAUAAAUCAUGGAAACGUCAAUGGAGAAUCAUGAUAACUUCGUUCGUAUCCUAGUACAUGCUCUAGAGCCCAUACCUAUAUAUACAUAUAUAAUACGACUAUUAUAAUUUAAUAAAAAUAAAUAAAUUAAAUUAAAUUGUUGCCAUAAAAUGGCAUGAAGACAAAGAGUGGCCUACAAAACAAACAUUAUUUCAUCUCCUAUAAAACUUCAUCCUAUGUCAUAUAGAGUUAUAAGUUGAUAUGCUCAAAUUCAACGACAAUCAUCUGUAUUUAAAAGUGCUUACAAAUUAUUACUACAUUUUAAUCUGAGUUACACUUGUUUCAGUCACAGUUACUAACAAGCUCUAAAUAUCAAUGAAUAAAAGAUCAAUUAUAAUCAUGUCAUAAUAUGACAUGAAGACAGAAACUAAACAUCAAAUUAAAGUUAAACUUCACAAUUUUUUAUGUAACCCAACAUAACUUGAAAUCAAUACUCAAGAAGUAAAUAAAGUCGGCAAACAUUUUUAGGCACCUAAUGGAGUUCAAGUCCCAAUUGUAUCUCCCAAUGGAGUUCAAGUCGUCUAACAUUUUUAGGCACCAACCACUAACCUUAACACUUGAAUUUGGAAAGUAGAACUCGGCAAAACCAAGAAGUAAAUAAAGUCGGCAAAACUUCUCAACAUCUUCGUCUCGUUCCAUAUUAAUAAUUUUAGCAUAAAUUGUUUUUACAUUGAUGACUUCAUUAUCGAACAUUGCUUUCGUAGUGGAUGUAGGGUCAUUUUUGAAGUUCAUCUUUUCACCUAUUAUACGAAGUCCUAAUGCAAAACAUACAUCUAAAGGUGUAAACCGUAUUAUCCGACCUUGUAUAGCAAACCCCCCACUCCUAUCAUCCCAUCUUUCCACCAAUUCUUCAAGCAAAUUUUCGGAUAUUUUUAAUUUCUUAGGCAAACUCAAUAACCAUUUAAAAGGUGUUUUCUGAAUUUCAGACCUUUGAAGUUCGGUAAGCUUCUCGUUGACUUUAGUAAUAUACUUCGACUUACAUUCAUGCCUGAGACGUAACUGUAAUAAACAAGAAUUCCAAAGGCGACAUAUAAGGAAAGGCAUUAAUAAAAACACAAAACACUAAUGAAAUCAAACAAACUAAUUGACAUUCAUCACAUACACAUACCAUUUUGUUGGCUAGACAAUGGUUGAAUUACCACGGGAACAGAUGUAAUUGUUAUUAGUGGUUGAGAAGACUACAACAGAUGCAAUUGUUAUCGUUAAUCAAGUGAAUUGUUACUGUAAAAAUAAAAAAUUAUAAUAUAUAUAUAUAUAAAGGCGUGUCAUCUUCACAACUUAGAUAAUUUACUUUACCAUCAAAUGCAACUGUCAAAUGUAAUCUUGAAUAAUUUAGUUCACAUCCACUACUAUUAUGUCUAGCUUUUAUCCACUAAUAUUUUUGUCUAUCAAUAUUAAGAAUUGACUUAUGAAUAUCAAUGAAUGACUUGCUUCAAAUGUCUAUGAAAAUUGAAUUGCUGAAUUUGAGAUUCAUAUUUUUUUUAAAUUGGAUUCAACUAGUUCGAUAUUUACUUAGUUUAGACAUAAUAGUAAUUUGCCUAAGUAUUAUAAUUUAGAACCUAGUAAUUCACCUGUGAUCUUGGUUCACUCUGUGAAAACGGUAUCGGUGGCUGCCGUGACCGUUUUCUAACGGCGAAAUCGCACUACAGGACCGUUUUUUAAAAUCUUUUUUGUUAAUAACUAUGUCUGCUAUAGGUUUAUUAUCUUUGAAUAAUUGAAAUCGCACACAGUUUUCUUUAAUAAUUGAAAUCUACGAAUUUACCAAGAGACUAAACCAAGCUUCAAAGACUGUCAACAAACUUUAUCACUCAAUAAAACAUUGAAAGAAAUGCUUAAAUUGUUUCAAAGAAAUGCUUACAUAAAUUAGAUCUUAGCCAGGACCAAAGAACAUUAGAUCACCCAAGAUCUCAGUCAAGACCUUACAUAAAUCACAAAAUCUAACAGCCAAGAGGAAGAGGAAUAUGAAAGAAAAUACCUUAGUUGAAAAAGGAACACUGUGAAACAGAUCGUCGGAGAUGGAGCAGGUGACGGCGGCGCGCGCUAGGGUUGAAUGGAAGAUGGAGCAGGAGACGGCGGCGCGGCUAGGGUGUAACGGAAGAUGGAGCAUAAGACGGCGGCGCGGCUAGGGUUGAAUGGAAGAUGGAUCAGGAGACGGCGGCUAGGGUUGAAGGAAUGAAUGGUGGUGGCUGAAUGAAUGGUGGCGGCGGAAUGAACCAGGUGAAGAAAGAGAAAUUUUCCAACAAAAUGAAUUGAAAUGAGAGAGGGUAGUAGGGUACGGCACAAAUUUUAAUUAGUUUUUUCAUCUUUGAUUUUUCUUUUUUGACAUGGAAUUGAUUUAAUUUUUUUAUUAUUAUUAUUUGUGGUGCCACAUAAGGGUGGUAUAAGGUGUAGUGCCACCUAUGGUGGUACACCUAUCACUGCUCCAGAAUGUAUUAGAUCUCACAAAAUCUUCUAUAAACCAAUAGAGAGAGAUACAUUGUCAACUGAAAUAUGCUGCAAUUAUCAUAUCAAAGCAAUAUGUUUAGAUGACACAAGUAUCAUAUGUAAAGAAAUGCUAUUAUUUUCUGAGAAAUAUUUGUCUUAUUAUUUUCUUAUUUCAUUUAAAUUCCUUUCAUUUGGCUUCAAACUAAAACCAGUGAACUAAAUAUGGUGUGGAGUUAGCAAACUUUAUUUUAAAUGAAUUUGAUUUUCGAAAUUGAUUUCAGUUGAAACUGAGUAUGAUGUGGAGUGAGUGAUUCAUGUUUGAAAACUUUUAUUUAAUUCAUUUUUCACUAUCAAUGAAGGGAUUCAUCAACUAACUAUAGACACUUAUAUUCAAAGCAUCCUCCAAAGUAUGAUGUGUUUGGAUUGCAUUACCAGUUGCCCUGAAAUAAGACACAUAUUUCAGUUUGGUUAUGAAAUGCUAAGGAUUGAUUUUCAACUCUAAAUCAAACAUUGCACAUUAUGAAAAAAUUAAUUCAUUAGAAUCACAUUCAAUCUUAUAUAAUAUAUUUAUGCAUUGUAAAGUAUUUGUGCGAACAUAUUGCUUUGCACUCUUUAUCUAAUAUUCGUGUAAUGUUGGAACCAUAAAUACUCAGUAAGCAAUGGUAAACAGUUCUAGCUUCUGCAUUUCUAGAUAUAUGAUAAUAAAUUAAGAAAUAACUAAAGACAUAAUUUACCAUAUCUUCAAUAAGUAUAUAUGAGAUAUGUAUUUUCUAGAUCUCUUGCAAAUCCUGAAGGAUCUAAGGGAAAAGAAGAGCUAAGUAUAGAGUGUAAAACAAGUAAUAUCUAUCAAUGAAUGAGAUUACUCAAUUUACAUAAGUUAUAAGGCGAUUGAUUCCUGACAUUAUUCAACUCAUAGAAAUUGAAGGACUAAUAAUAAUAAUAAUAUGAUUCCCUCAAAAAAAUAAUAAUAAUAAGAUUAAUUAAUUGAUAUAUAGGGAAGAAAAAAAAAAAGCAAACAAGAGAAGUGAAGAGAGAGAUGUGGAUAUGAAUGACUCCAAGCUCUUGCAAGAUGUGAGUCCCACAUCGGGUAGCAAGGGAAGCCACAAAACGCAUGUCCCUUAUAAAUUGAUACUUCUCACUUCUAACUGAAGCAUAGUGGAAUUGUAUAUUGCAUCAUUUUGUAAUAGCAAUUCAAUUUAUAUUUUAUUUGAAUCGCUUUGUGGUUCAAUGAUUUACGAUAAGACAGUUUUGAUUUUUUAUAUUAAAUUUGACAUUGUUAUGGAAAUUGUUGUUGAGCAUUCUUCAAUGUAUUUUUUAAUAUAUUAAAUUUAAUAUAAAAAAAUUAGAGUGUUAUAGUUUAAAUUAAAUUUAUUAUUAUUAUAGAUUUUGAAUUCAAUCUCAAAGUUUCGAUUUCCUUUGUGUUGGUGUGAUUUUGUGUUGUCUAUUGUGACCUUCAGCUUAAAUUAGUUGAUUGUUGUAUCCAAGAGAAUAAAGAUUACCAAACAUUGAGUGGAUAAAUCAUCCAAACUGUUGGUUUUGUUUGAAUAUGAAUGAAGCAUUUAAAAGUAUUAAAUAAAGAUUACCAAUCGAUUAACUAGUCUAAGUAGUCCCUCCCUCUUUUCUUGCUCUUGAUCAAAUAGGGUUGCUAAAAUACAGAUUAUAUGAUGGGAAUGUGGGAGUGUAGGAAAGCUUUAGCACAACUAGGAUUAAAAGUAUCUCCAAUUUGAUUGUUCAAGUCAAUCAAAUUCGGAGAUGGUUGUUCGUAUUUUCAAUAGUAGAAAAAAUUGUGAGUUUCAUGGGAUGGACCUUCACGUCAAAUAUCAAAUAUUAGAUUUCUCUAGAUAAGUUUGCUUUACGCAUAUUUAUAGGGAAUCCAAUAGAUAAGUUGUGUGUUGGUCAACAUGGAUUGUGUGGUAGAUGUGAACUAUCUAGAUUUCUAUUCAUCAUCACUAGAUUUUUAAUUAACCUUAAAGAACAAUUUUUUUUUGGUCAAGUAAUCUAGUGGUUAGAGAAAUUCACCAUGAAUAAAUGGGGUGUUCGGGGUCCGAACUCCGACCCCUGCACAAAUCGUAUAUUAUCUCUUGACAAACGAGCUAAGCUCAUGAGGACCUUAAAGAACAAUUUUAUUGAAAAAUGCUAUUAUUUUCUAACAAGAUGAUUCCGAAUUAUUGUGCACACAACAUAGUUUAGAGUCAUGAACUUGAUUUACAAAAUUGAUUAAAAGAAUAAAAGAAGGGUCAUAAACUAAAAAGAAUAAAAGAAACAACUCUUGAGACUAACAUAACUACACAUAUUCAAAUAAACUAAAACAAGAGUCAUAUUCAUUCUCAACAAAUGGAUGAUGAUACGAAAGUUGAGGAAUGCACAAUCACCGAUCUUUCGUCUAUUCAUUCUCAAAACGACGUCGUUUGUACUGAACCACUGUCCGAAACCACCGUCAAGAACGAACAGCCUCUUCCUCCGACCGCCGGCGACGAAGCACCUGUUUUGCCGGAAGAAGUCAACUUCGAUAUCCUUCUGAGGCUUCCUGUGAGAUCCCUUCUCCAAUUAAAGUGCGUUUCCAAAUCAUGGAAAACCCUAAUUUCCAAUCCUCAAUUCGCAAAGAGCCAUCUUCUCAGCUCAACAUCGUAUCCACAAUUAUUCACUUCCGCAGUCAAAAUCGGAGACCGUGAAAUCCUAUCUUACCCUAUGAAGCCAUUGUUGGAAAAUCCAUCAACCCCUGUUGAACCCGUUACUAUAACCAUGAGACACAAAUACAAUAUUCUAGGUUCGUGCAAUGGGUUGCUUUGUUUGUAUGAUUCUUCUCAAUCUAAUUUCAGAUUGUGUAAUCCUUCUAUCAAAUUGAAAUCGAACGGAUUUCCAAUUGUUGCUUCGUUCGAUAAUAAGAUUAUCACACAUCAUGGUUUUGGGUAUGAUCAAGUGAAUGAUAAGUACAAGUUGUUAGUUGUUGUACUCAAUAAGGAUGAUUUUAGUGAAAAAGUUACCAGAAUUUAUACUUUUGGUGAAAAUUCUUGGACAACGGUUUCAAAUUUCCCGUGUAAUCCUGGUAUGUGGUUAGGGAAGUUUGUGAGUGGCACUUUGAAUUGGAUCAUUAAUGAAGGUGGUGUUAAUUCUAAUCAACGGGUGAUUCUUUCGGUUGAUCUUGAGAAAGAGACUUAUGGCGAAGUGUUGCUUCCUCAACAUGAUGGUAACAGAUUUUGCAAUCCUAUGAUGUAUGUUUUGAGUAAUUGCCUUUGUGUGUGUUGUGAUCACUCAGAAACUCAUUUGGCCGUGUGGAUAAUGAAAGAGUAUGGAGUUGCUGAGUCAUGGACUGUAUUGACGAUCAUCCCUCGUGAGAAGUUAAUCUGGAAUUGUCCAAGGCAGCCUCAUGUUGAGCCCUUGUUUGUUUCUAAAGAUGGUGUUCUUCUAUUGAGAACCAUGCGUUCCAAACUUGUCCUGUGUAACUUAAAUAAUGCAGGGAUUGAUUAUGCUAGGAUUUUAGGCAUACUUGGGAGGGAUGUGCAUAUAUACUAUGAGAGUUUGGUAUCACCAUUUUAGCCAUAUUUGGACGGGAGAUGCAUAUUUACCAUGAGAGCUGGUAUUGCUGCAAUGGUAAAUCACAUUUCUGGAGUCUUCCAAAUUUUAGUUGCAUGAUGACUUCUGAUAAAAGCAACUAUAUCUUUUGCUUUAGAAAUUGGUAACCAACCCAGCUAUGCUUGGCGGAGCAUGUUCAACAUUAAAGAUGUGAUCGAUCUAGGAUCAAGAUGGUCUAUAAGUAAUGGGCAGAAUGUGAGAAUCUGGAAGGAUGAUUGGCUUCCCAACCAAACUGGAUUUAAAGUAUGCAGCCCUAUGGUAGAUUUUGAGGAAGCAACUUGUAUUAGUGAGUUAAUUGACACCAAUACCAAAAGCUCGAAAAGGGAUCUUGUCAGGAAUGUCUUCUCGGCCUUUGAAGCAAAACAGAUCCUAAACAUUCCCUUAUCUUGGAGACUUUGGCCUGACAGAAGAAUUUUGUAUUGGGAGAGAGACGGAAACUACUCAGUCAGGUCAGCCCAUCAUCUCAUCAAAGUGGCAACUAAGGAUUACCCUGAAGUAUCAUCAUCAAAUGACCAAUCUUUAUGGAAGGCGCUCUGGUUGAUUAAGGCACCUCAUAGUGUAAAGAAGAUCCGCUGGAGAUUGGCCAAAGAUAUCCUUCCAACAAGGAGCACACUGGCGAGGAAAGGUAUGAAUCUUAAUACAAUUUGAACGCUUUGUUUUGAAGCAGACGAGACUUUAGAACACCGGUUUAUGAGCAGUAGAUGCGCCCAACAAACCUGAUUCACUUCCACCUUAGGACUUCAUGUUCCUUCUCAUAUGUGCUUGAAAGUCUGGAUGUCUGAUUGGUUGUCAAAAAAAGACCACUUAGCAGCUCAAAUUUUUGGUAUCACUUUGUGGAAGAUUUGGCAAGAUAGGAACCAAAUGGUGUUCCAAAAUCAUCAAUUUAAUCCUAUCCAAAUAGCUACAUCAGCUGUGGAGUUCACAUUAGAAUUCAACCAAGCAAACCACUCUGCAAUUGCUUCUGCUUCAAGGAGAACUGAUAUUGAAUUCUGAUGCCCCCCUCCGCCGGGUGUGAUGAAACUGAAUGUGGAUGCAGGUUGCUUCAAGGAUGAUACAGUGGCUUGGGGAAUGGUAGUUAGAGACCAUAGAGGAGUCGUAGAAUUUGCUGUAUCAAAACCAGAACGAAGGCAACUAUCCUCUACUUUGACCGAAGCAUUAGCUCUUCGGUGGUGUCUCUAAUGGAAUCCUCACAACAAAUCAAGGUGGACAGUUCCUCAUUGAAACUGAUUUUGAAGUCACCGUGAAAUGUAUCCAAGGUCUCGUUCGGAUGGCUGGGAUAGAAAAUAUUAUUCUAGACUGCAUAGACAUUUUAUCCACUCUUUCCAAUUGUACUGUUGCUUUUAUUAAGAAAACUAUGAAUGGUGCUGCCCAUAGCCUAGUGGGAGUAGCAAAACAGUUUGAUUCUAACUCAUGGGUGGGAUAUGUCCCUGAACUCGCGGCCUCUGCUCUUUGUACUAAUAUGCUUUCCAUUAAUGGAAUGCAUGUUUGAUUGACAUAAAAAAGGUUAUAUCUUUUGCUUUAGAUCUUCUUUUGGCUUAACUCUAGUAACAUGGAAUAUGCAGUGUGAGUUGUUUUGGUGCAGUCUCAUCUUUGCCAUCUCUUAUAUUGUUAUCUAUCAGUAAUAUUGUUGGUUGAAUUAAAGUCACUAAUUUGAAGGAAUAAAUUAAUGUUUGUUGUGAUCUGAUUUUUAUUUAUUAAGAAAGUAUUAUUAUGUUAUGUCGUAAGAGACUUGAAUGAUAUUACUUGCAAAAACAGAGGAUUCACAAUUUUAAUCUACACUCGCAAGCUUUUAAAAAUAAAAUCUACACUUGCAAGAGUAAUUUGUUUGUCUAUGUAUGCCUUUCACAUUACAAUUACAUACAAAUUAUUAAUGUAACAAUCAAUUUGUUAGAAAAAUUGAGCCGUCUUUAUGUGUUACCUCUUACCAGUAAUCACAAUGACAAAGGAUUAUUGGUUUGACAAAAGAAUCACAUAAUUCUUUUCUUUUUUAAUAGGUUGAUAUUAUUUAUUGGAUCAAUGGUAUUUAGAAUUAGAUAAAUAAUGAUAUUUGGUAUCUUACCCUAGGAUAAAGUUUCAUUGGUCUCAAAUUGAAUAUGACUACAUGAGCUCCCAGACAAUGCUCAUUGAAAUUCUGAAAGAAAUAUCUACUAUGAUUAAAGUGAUUCGCAACAAUGUAGCUAAGUUAAUAAUGAGAUGCUAGGAGGUAGAUUUACUUUGAUCCUGCCUGCAACUGAAGAACAAAUUGGUUGUAGUGUUGGCUGCUGGUUUUUGUCUAAUAAGCUGUUACAUGAUUACUUUCUGGUAGUAGGUUGUGGAAAUUUGGUACUAAAGGAGUUGAGAUGGUUUUUGUUGAUUUAGGAUAAGCUAAAAAGCUGCUAACACACACCAAACUUGGCUUUAGAGUUUUGUUGCUGUCAACAUUAUUAGUAGUUCAUCAUCUUGAUCUGAAAGGUUAUGCAAGCCACACAUAUUUCUGUUAUCAGUCUGCAUUAGAUAGAGUUGUUCAUAAAGAUCUUCAGAAACCGAAUAAGCUUCAUCUGUGAAACUGAAUAAGAGUAAUGCUAUAUGAAACUGAUAGAUGGAUAUUCGAGUUGAUCAUCAAUUUUACCAAUUCAGAUUGAGGGAUACAAGGUUCUUGAAUUUUGAAAUAUACUUAAGUCCUCAAUCUGAAAGAUUCUGCAAACCUGACUUAUUUCUGAGGGCAUAUUUUCCUAUAAGCUUCAUUUGUGAAACUGAAUAAGAGUAAUGCUAUAUGAUUAAUUAAUCAAAUCUUAAAGCAAGAAAACUUGAACUUCAAUAUGUUGAGUUGCAGUGCCUACCUAGACACUACAUAGAGAUUCUGAUUCGGAAGGGAUAGACAUUUGUGCAACAACUGCUUCAGACCCUCAAUGAUUAACUUGACACACCUAUGCGUCAAAUUAUGAGCUGUGAUGGGUUGAACGGUUUCUCAUAGUAAACCCGUUAAAGAGGUCUCUACCUCUCGUGAUUCUAACCAAUCCAUUAUUCAUACAAGGGUCAUAUACAAAAGACUCGACCCAUGAACUUUGGAAGAGAAUGUGAUGCAGGCAUGAGGCACCGGUAGCUAAUACCUUAGCACCAAAGUGAGUAUACUCUAGUGAUUUUGAAGAAACUUUAGAAGAGUGAAUAAAUGAAACACAUUUCAUGACUCAGACAAGGGCUUUUCCCCUUCCUUUUUGCAUAAUAUAAUAUGAUAUAGGGUCCCUCCAUUGUAGCAAAUAAAAUAAACGUCACUAGCAUGGACACUUUCUCACAAAAUCACCAAGCUUUCCCAACAUUUUUAGUUUAAAACCACUUCAUCCAAUUCAACUAAUUCACAAAAUUUAUCAAAUGAUGCACACCAUGUAAAAAGUGGGAGAAAAGCAUAAUGUGUUUAGGUUGAGAUCUUAACUCUUUGAUGGUGUUUUUGUUAGUUGACGCACGCCUCUAAAGUAUUUGACUCACAAAGGAUGAACUGCCACCGUGAGCUUAGAGGUCUUCCACUAUAAUUUUUGGAAACUUUAAUGUGUUGGUUUUGGUAUGCCAUGAUUUUGGUCCUUUCCAAACACUAUACAAUCUAUAGGUCCGGGAGUAAACGCUCCAUCGCCAAACAAUUUCGCUAAUGCAAACUGUUUUGUUUACUUCGCAACUACAUAACUAUUCAUGUCAAAAAGAUUAUUUGAAUACAAGUUUUAUCAAUGCCAUGAAACACAGACAAAUCUAUUUAUCUCGUAACUAAUCAACUAACAGCGUUUAAUGUAGCACCGACGUUUAGAUUGAAGGUGUGUCCAAUGUCCAAUACGUGUCGAUGUCUGAGACCAACAGCUAGUUACAUUCUAUCACUUCAAUCUUAAAUUGUUACCGGUGUCUAUGUGUAGUGUCGCGCAGUGUCCAUAACUCCAUAUCUACGUUACUGUUCAUAGUCUACGCUAACUAAAAUAACGUUUUCUUAUCUUCUAUCCUACAAUGUACCCGAAGGAGGUAUAAUUCACCCCAAUUUUCCUUUCAGCACGCCAAACAAACAAGUUCAAACAGCUAGUGAAAGGCUACUAAAAACCAUACAAUUCAUCAUUUAAGUAAUGAUAUUUACAACCUCAUAAUGCAUUAGAUCUCACAGAAUCUUCUGAAAAUCAAUGCAGAUACCUUAUCAAGUUUAGUAACUCUAGUUUUGGGUAAUUGUCAGCAACUAAUUGUACGCCUUGGUCUGAAAUAUUCUGCAAUCAUCAUAUCAAAGCACUUAGUUCAGAAGACACGAGCACCAAUUUUUUUAAUGAUACUAUUAUUUUCUGACGAUAUGAUUCAAAAUUCUUGCGCACAAAACAUACUUCACGAUCACGUGCACGAACUUGAUUUGUAAAACUUAUUUCCAUUAAAACUGAGUAUGGAGUGGAAUGGGAGAUUCAUUUUUUGAAAACUUAUUUCAAAUCAAUUGUGUCUGCAGUUCCUCACUGUAUGAAGUAGUCGAUUAUCAGUUAUCCUGUAAUAGGACUCAUAUUUCAGUAUUGUUGCUAAGGAUUAACUUUUAAAUCCAAAGUGAGGUUUUCAACUGCAAAAUCAAACAUUGCACAUUUAGAAAAAAUUGAAUGCACCUCACAUUCCAGUAGAUGGAACAGGUUUCUAGCUGAGGACAACAACUGGUUAUUGCUUCAAUUCUUAAGGAAGUUCUUGGAUAUAUGUUACCUUAUCUUUAAUAAGUAUGAGAUAUGUGUCUUCAACAUCUCUUGCAAAUUCCAGGUUAAUCUCCUUUACAUGGCUGGCUAUAAGAAUAAGUAGCAAUCUCCUUUACAUGUGUCUUCUUUCCUUUCCUUUCCUGCAAACGAAGAAAAUGUAGUUUCCAAUACCUUGCAUAAUAGUCCCACAUCGGGUACCCGAAGGAACACACAACAAGCACGUCCUAUAUAUAAAUAACAAAGUAUUUGAUGAAGUGAAACGUGUACUGUGGAUCAUUAAUAAAUAAAUGAGAAAUCAUAUUUAUAUAAAAAUUUCAUUACAAUUUUUUGAUAAUUUUCUCUCUCAUAUGCAUAUUUAUAUUGUGAAGAGAGAAAUAAAAAUUGUUAUGAAUGGUUGUACAUAUAUCACUACUCGUUAAAUUAAAUAAAAGAGAGUUUAAAAGUUUGAUGUUAUUAUUACUUUUAAUAUAUGAAAUAGAAUUUAUUAAAUCAAUAAUAAUAUCAAUUUUUUGACUCUUUUUAAAAAAAAUUAAUUUUUUGAAUUCUUUUUCAAGAAAAUCCAUUUUUUGAUUUCUUUAUAAAAAAAGUAAUUUGUUUGGAUUUUUACAAUAUUAACAAGAAAAAAAAAAUCAAUAUUGAAAUAAAAAAUUCAAGAAUUGGUUAUCUUAUUAAAUUUAUGGAAAAAAUAUGUUAAGAUUAUCUUCUAUGUUCAAUAACUUUAUUUCUCCUAAAAGAACGCAUUCCUUUCUUUAGUUUGGCUCUUUCUCUAUCACUAUUGAACUUGUUUCAAUUAAUUUACUUUCUUUUCUUAAUCUUGUCUAAUGCUUUUCCAAAUCAAGGAAGAUGAUGAUAUUCUACCAUUUCUUCAAUUGUUGUUGGGAGAGAACUGAAGAGACAAAGAGAGGCAUGAUAAAUGUUGUAUUUUCCCAUGUUUAAGUUAUUUAUUUAUUUAAAUAAAUAAGUGGUUAUGAAACUGGAGGCUCAACUCUUAGAGUAAAAGAGGGCCCUUAAUAAAAAAAAUUACACAAUUUUUUUAAAAGAAUAAUCUUCUAUUUAAAUUGAAAAUAACACUCGUAUAAUAAUUAUUUGUCACUAAAAUCAAAAUUAACAAUUAUUUUUACUAAAACGUGUUUUUUAACUUAGACAUAAAAAUAUGGAACAUGAUUUUUUUUUUACUUAGAAUUUUUUUUUUUAACAAGUUUUUUACUUAGAAAUUGAAACAUGAAACAUACUUAUUUUUCUUUUCUGAAUGGAGGUGGGGAUAUUGAGCAAUCAUUUUUUUUUCUUGAGUCCCAUCAUUUUGGGAGGCCCAGCUCGGUUGAACUCUUUGCACUCUGCACUCUCCAAAGAACGGCUCUGCCCACUAGGUGCAUGUAGUGGUAGUUAAUCAAAAAAAGGUCUUUAUUCUUUCCCUUAAAUUUAAUAAUUGUCCAUAAUGAAUGAGUGGAAGAACCAUUUUUUGUUUUGCACGUACCGUAACUUCUUAAUGACAGAAGUUAUAUAAAGGUGUGCAAUUCAUUGUUUUUGGUUUCCUAAAUCUAACAUUGUAGAAGGUUUAGUAGAGCCAAAAACAUUCUCAAGCAAGAGCAAUGGCUGAACACAAUCCAUUUUCGUUUCCACCGUAUAAAUAGAAUUUCAUUUAUGAUUAUAUAAAAAUUAGAAACUCUUAAAUUGGAUUAUUUAGGAAUGUACUAUCAUGUGAAGCACAUAUAUUGGUAAUAUGUCAAGGCCAACAAAAUAUUUUUUAACUCAGAGUGCACCAUCCAAUACCAAAUAUCUCAGAGGUGCAACUCUUUGCAAUGGCUAUAACCCCUUCAUCAGCCACGCAUACACACCUACAUGUAAAAUUAGAUACAAGUUGUAUCAUAAAAUGUAUUUCAAAUAUUCAUGUUUACCAAGUUAGAUUGAGUGAUACAAGGUUCUUGCAUUUUGAAAUACAUCGUGUUGAAAUAUAAUUCUAAAAACAAUCGUGGCGCGAUGCUUCUCCAUCGUGGCAUGAUUCUCUAGAUUUUUGAUUUUAAGUUAACUCUCACAGUUAGAGUCAUGGAAGACUAUAAAUAAGCUACUCCAUUGUACCAUUCAAUCAUCUUUUAUCAAAUCUAACUCUUUUACUAUGUUUUCAUUUGGGCUUUUACCUCAUGAAUAUAACUAUGCUAGCUAUCUUGCUUACAUCUGUGAUCUUUCUCCCUUCGAUUCCACGAUUCUUAACACUAGUCUUUCUUUUUCUAGAAGAUGCUCUAUUCCUUGUCAUAAAAAAUGCUCUUUUCGCCAAGAAUAUGAAGAAUUGUUUUCACCGACAAAAGUUGUAGGGAGCACAGUUUUGGUUCAAUUAUUGCUUUAUCUUUGAAGGUCUGAAUCUUACACCAUAUUUGGUUUCUUGUAUCAUAUUAGAAAAGCUUGUUUUCAAUCAUUGGUGUAUUUUAUUCACUAAUGUUUGAGGUUAAAACAGAUUCAAAACUUUUGCUUCUUGAUGUUAAUCUCAAUCGAGAGGUUUGUGUGGGUUUGGAGUUAUAGUUUCAGCUUUCAAAUAUUCGAAAUGUUUGAGGUUAAGUUUUUUUUAUUUUUUUGUGGAUAAGCUAAUUAAUAUGGUUUUCGAUAGUCCUAUUUAUGGUGCUAGUCAUCAAGUUUAUGAUUUGGUUCCUAUUUGUAUCUAUCACUUUUAAAUAAAUGUUAUUUUUUAUUUUGGUAAAAAAAACAAAAAAUGAAAUUGAAUUUGUUUUGGUAAAAAAAAUUGAAAUUAAUUAAUUAUUAAAAGAUGGAAAAUAAUUUACUCCCUUUGUUUUAAAAUGAAUCUCACUAACAAUAAAAUUUUGUUUUAAAAUGAAUGUCAGUUAUACUUUUCAAUUUUGAUUUUUUUAUUUUUUACUUUCAAUAUUACCAUCUAAUUAAUCAAGUGUACACUACUUCCAAAUUAUUACACCAAUAGUAAAUAAAGUUAGUUUGAUAAAAUUGUCAAAUUUUUUGACACCAUCAUUACAUUUUUUAAUAUACAUAUAAAAACCUUAAACGACAUCCAUUUCAAAACGGAUGGAGUAUAUUGAAAUAAAUGAACACAUGUACAUGUCAUUAACUAAAUAGGAAAACUGUUUUUUUAUUUAGAAAACUAUUUACAAUGCCGGGUGUUGGACCAUUUGACUAAUUUUUAUCUUUGCAUUUUUUUUCUUUUUCCUUUCAAAAUAUAGUGAUCACUUCUUUUUUGCCGGAUCAAUACAUUCACUACUACGAUUUUCUGGUGUAAACUAUAUAUUUUUUUACGCACAAUAACAGAGACUAAUUUGAAUCCAAAACCUCUAUUUAAAUUUGAAGAUAUCACUUAUUAUCUCAUUCAAGUGUUCUUGGGUCGCUCACUACUCAGAUUUUAGUUGUGUUGUGCGUUUUUUAUUGGAUGUGCUUGUGAUAAAAAUUUACUCCGUAUACAAUAAUUAGAUGUCUGUAAAGUUUUCACACACAAUUUUUACUCUGUUUGCAAUAAUAAGAUGUGUGUAAAGUUUUCACACAAAAAAGUGUAAAGAGUUACUUUAAAAUAUCCUUAACAUAUAAAUUAAUUCUAAUGAUCGAAAACAAUAAUCAAGCCUCCCCUUGUUAAGUUGAGACGGUCAUUUGCGGUGAAAUCUUGUCACUUGUAAUUAGUAUCUAAAGUUAUAGUAUUGUUCACUAAAUCACUAUUCAAUGGUUUGUCCUAUAUUUUUUUGGUUCAUUUCAUAUACUCCGUUGGUGUAAAUUUGUUUACACUGUCAAUGAAUCUUAACCGUUAAAUCUUUAAAAACAUUUAAUUUGUAUUAUAACCGCUUUUAAGUCGUACAAACUCAUAACUUUAUUUCUCCUAAAAAAACACAUACCUUUAUUUAGUUUGGCUCCAUCUCUAACACUAUUGAACUAGUUUCAGCUAAUUUACUUUCUUUACUUAAUCUUGUCUAAUGCUUUUCCAAAUCAAGGAAGAUGAUAUUCUACUGUUUCUUCAAUUGUUAUAGGGAGAGAACAGAUGAGAUUGAGAGAGGUAUGAUAAGUUAUUAUUAUUUUUUUGUGAAAAGGUAUGAUAAGUUAUUAUUAUUUUUUUGUGAAAAGGUAUGAUAAGUUUUGAAUAGGGCUUGGAUGUUGUAUUUUUCCCAAGUUAUUUAUUUAUUUAAAUAAAUAAGUGAUAAUUACCCAUUAGAUGCACAUAGGGGUAGUUACCUAUUAAUCAGAAAAUGGUCUUUAUUUUUUUCCUUAAUUUAGUAACUAUCCAUAUUAAGUGAGUGGAGGAGCAGUUUUUUGUUAUGCUUACGGUGACUUCUUGUUGGCAUAAGUUGAUAAAAGAGUGCAGCUCAUUGUUUUUGAUUCUCUAAGCUUAACAUUUCUAUGAAUAAAACUUACACCAUCAAAGUGAGAUUGUAGAAGAUUUAGAAGAGGCAAAAACAUUCUCAAGCAAUAACAAUGGUUGAAGGGUAUGUAUUUAUUACAAUUCAUUUUUCGUUUCCACGGUAUAAAUAGAAUUUCAUUUAUGAUUAUAAUUAGAAAUUCUUACAUUAGAUACAUCUCACAUGGUGUUAUAACGAGUUUGAAGAUAUGCACAGGUAUGCUGCCGCUUCUUCCUACAUAUGAAAAGAAAAUGUAGUCUUGCAUAAUAGUCCCACAUCGGAUACUUGGGGAACCCACAAAAUGCAUGUUCCCUCCUAUUAAGCAGUUGAAACUUUUUUUAUUAAAUUUGAUUAAAUUAUAACUUUUGUUAUCUUUUAUUCAAUUAAGUGAAAAUGCUUCAGCUACAUAUAAUAAAGUAAUCAAUUUUUUUCUUAAAAAAAAUUAAUCAAAAGUAAUCAUUUUAUACAUUUACAUUGGGUGUGAUAAGUUUUGAACAGGGCUUGGAUGUGGUGAUUACACCUUUUUUUUUAUUUUUUUUAUUUUGCUUAAAUGCAGUAUUUUCCUUUAUGUUUUAAAAUGUUACGAUUUUGAUACCUUAAUAUAAGAUUUUAUUCACUAAGUAUAUUGAGUAGAAUUUUUAUAUCUGGUAAUGUAGUAUGAUUAUGUAACAUGUCUACUUUUGGAGAUGUUUUAUUUUAGCUGAUGAUGAGAUGUUAUUAUUAUUCCGCCGCUGCGAUGUUUUGAGAAAAUAAUCUAUGCAUGUUGUUGAACUUAUAGAAAAAAUAACAUCUAAAUCCUUUGCAUGAUUUAUAUUAUUAUUUACCUAAUUUAUCGCUUUAAAGGUUUAUGGUAUUACAUUUCACACAAAAUUAAGGAUAAUUUAUAAAUGAAGGAAAGAGAAUAACAAUUUUAAUUAACUAUUGGUUGAUUCUUACCUUCUUAUUAUCAUAAAUACAAAAUGGAAAAUUAAGUUCAUGUUCACAUAAUAUAUAGUAUGAUCACUAUAAGAUAAAUUAAGUUCAUGUUCACAUUUGUGCCGGUAAGAUCACUAUAAGUUUUUAAAUUAUAUUUGAAUGUCAUGAAAAAACAAGCUGCAAUAUACGAUGGGAAGCACAUAUAUCUGUAACAUGACAAGGCCAAUAAAAUAUUUUUCAAAGUCAAAAGAGUGCAACUCAAAUAUCAGUGUUAUAAACUUCUCAUAUAAUGAUAUAUCUCAGAAAUUCACCAGAGGUGCAACUCUUUGCAAUGGCUAUAACCCCUUCAUCAGUCACGCACACCUAUCACGUAAAAUUAGAUGCAACUCCAUUACGUUCAUCAUAAAAUGAGGUACACAGAUAUUGCGCGAUACAAGGUUCUUGCAUUUUGAAAUACAUCGUGUUGAAAUAUAAUUCUAAACUCUUGUAUAUGUUUUGUUUUGUACUACGUUUAGUUGGUUAGUAACCACGUGAUAAGACCUUCCUUGUGAUUUAGGCAAGCUUGGUACAACUGAAAAUGAAAUGGUGGAAAUUUUAGUGAUGAAAAUGCUGAAAAACUGUGUUCUGGUCUACAAUUUUUGAACUAUUUCAAAAUAAAUGCUGAAUAUUGUAUUAAAACUGCAUUUAGUUGUAUAAACAUAUCUAUAAUUAAGAAUAAUAUUUAAAGCACCUCAAAUUCCAGUAGACAGAAAAGGUUUUCAGCUGAAGACAGCAACCAGUAUUGCUUCAACUUAAAUAUGUUACCAUAUCUUUAAUAAUUAUGAGAUGCGUGUCUUCAACAUCUCUAGCAAAUUCGAGGUUAAUCUCAUUUACAUGGCUAUAUCUAGGCUACAAGAGGAAAUCAAAUUCAACUUCAAGUCUAAAACACCAUUAAUCACAAGGAUCUGACAACUAUAAACUGAGCAACUCAUAGUUGUGAAACAUGUGAAUGAACCAAUGAUUGACACACAUACAUAUUUUAGAGAUGUGGAUGAAAUCUCUUACUUAUUUGAAUGAGAGAAAUAAGGAUUUUAGUUUGUUUCCACCCAAAAGAUACUUUAGAGUUGUGGAUGAAAUCUCUUAGUUACUUGAAGGAGAGAAAUUAGGAUUUUAGUUUGUUUCCACCCAAAAGAUACUUUAGAGACGUGGAUGAAAUCUCUUAGUUACUUGAAGGAGAGAAAUUAGGAUUUUAGUUUGUUUCCACCCAAAACAUAUUUUAGAGAUGUGGAUGAAAUCUCUUACUUAUUUGAAUGAAAGAAAUUAGGAUUUUAGUUUAUUUCCACCCAAAAGAUAUUUUAGAGAUGUGGAUGUAAUCUCUUAAAUACUUGAAUGAGAGAAAUUAGGCUUCAGUUUAUUAUUGCCACAAAAAAAAGGAAGGGCACGUACCCGUUAAAGGAAGAAAAAAAAAUCUGCCAUUGGUGGAAAAUGUUUGCAAUACAUUUUUAAGGGAUUCUAAUGUUGACUAAAAAUUCCCAUUUUAAGUUUAACAUAUUCCAAAUAAGACAAUUAAUUAUUUGAAAAUAUGCUCUUUCAGAAAUGUUACUAAAAUGAAAUAAUUGUCACCAAAAGGUAGUACUUGUUAGUAAUAAUGUUACUAAAAGUGUCACCAAAAGGUAGUAAUUGUUGCUAAUAAUGUUACUAAAAGCCAUGUUACUAAAAUGCUUCAGUAACACAGCCAUGCUACUAAAUUGAUUCAGCAACACAAAAACAUACACACACAUAUAAGUUUCCCUUGUUAGCAAAAUUCACGUUACUAAAUUGUUUGAGCAGCACAGACACAAAUAUAUAAAUAAAAAAGCAAAGCAAGCAAGGCUAAAUUAUUUAUGAAAUUCAAGGGACAUUUGCUAAAUUCAAAGACAAAAAAAUUAGAUGCUUCCAAAACUCUAAGAAACUAAAAAUUAAAAUUCAAACUGGAAAAGUCUUGCACAAUUUAUCUAAACAUGGACUAAUUGUAAAUAACAUCAAGGUAAAUGGUAUCAUGUGACCCAACCAUCGGAGCACCCCCUCUGAUCUUCACACCUUCACGGAGCCUGCGAGCUUCCACAAACCUUUUCCAACGCCUUCCUAUCUUGAAGUGUUCCUAAGGAAUAGUUGCAAAAGUUAGCUCACACACCCAUAUGUUACCGUAAUCGUCGAUAAUAUUCACAGUUGUUAAGAGUGUAUCAAGCAUCUGCGGAACAUUGCCGAUGUAAAGUAGAAUCUGCAAAAUUAGAAAUCCAUGUAACUUAUAUCAACUAAACGAAAAAGGAACAAAAAAAGUUAAGGUGGACACGAAAAGUGUAUCAUACCAUGCAACCUUUAGUAACAUCAUACUCAAUUAAUUUUUUUUCGAAAUCAAGAACCAUGUCACUGAUAUUGUGACGAUAAGCGAGAAGAGAUGUUAUUGGGGGGAGAUAGUCAUUGAAAGUUGCUUGCAAAUUCAUCUUGUCAAGAAGGAAAUGCAUGGGGGGAUUAAAGUUUCAAGUUCCUCUAUAACAAUCAGGAACGAUUACCAGUGAGGCAGUGGUAUGACAGCAAAGUCUCAAUGUUUCUGGAAGCCUUGAUUAUGAAAUUUCGGUUUAAGAGAAAGGUAUGGAUUUUCUUCCUAUUAUACCCUCAUAAUUUUUUGCAUGGCCUCCUCCUACUCUGAUGAAAAUGAGUAUGGAGUGGUGUGAGUAAUUCAUGUUGAAAAACUGUUAUUGAGUAAGCAAUAUAUAUUCAGUAAUAAGCAAUGAUAAACUGUUCCAUUUAUGUGAAAUUACUGAUGAUUUAUGUUAAAGAAAAAUCAAAUAGGACUUCCAGUUAUUGGAACAAUUUGUGCUGAAAAUUUACAUAAUCUUCUUUCCCUUUAUAAAUUACUCAACUUACAAAUGAAGAAAAAGUCACAAUGAUACAAUCACAAUGAUACAAUCACAUAUUAGAUGUUAGUUCGCCCGGCGAGCGUCACAGUUAUUGGCUCGCCAAGCAAGUAGUCCUAUGCAGUAAAGUAUUUUCUAAAAAGUGCACUGUUCAUACUCAGGGACCUAAUUGCAAUUUCAGGAUGAUUAUUUUGUAAAUUGAAAGUAACCAAUGUAAAGUCAGUAUAGGCAUAAGAUAUCAAUGCGUAACACACGAGAGUUUAACUUAUAUAUGUAUAUGUAUGACAUUACUCGGGUUGGAUUCUAACCCUUAGAAAUGAGAAUUUUAGUAGAGACUCGACUCAGAUAGUCGAGACUAGCUAUGAUAUUAAUGAAUUAGAGGCAUAUUAGAUACAUGCUACAGAGAUCAUUGCAUGUCAAUAGGUCGUGGCUCAGGCAAGCUGCAGACUAUGUCUGGAUAGGUCAGCCCGUUAGGGAACCUUCAUCACUUUUCGACAUCUGUAUAUAUGCAGAUAAUAAUCAUAAUAAUCUGUGUCCCUCAGCAAGCUCCAAGUUCCGCUGGAUGGGUUUAUCAUAGAUGGUAAACCACACGUAGUCAGAGGAGUUAUGGUGAUUAGCCUUAUAUAGGAGUUUCACCAGAUAGCAGAAGGAUGAUGACCGGGGUUACUCCACUCGAGAUCCAUUCCAUAAAAUGAAUCCAGAUAAUAAUGUUUGUUCAACGCGAACUUUCUAACAUUAAAAUGAAAACAAAAUACGAAUAAGCUUAUGUACAGGAUUAGACAUUUGAUAGAAAUCAAAUAACGAUCAUAGUUUCCCCCGAUCGUUUAGUUAUGUAGAAAGAACGGUAUAAGCCCGAAAUGGGUUGAGUUUAGUCAGAUGGCGAUCAUAGGUUUCCUACAGCCUAGAAUAUGUGGAAUUCACUGGGACAUCAUGUCUCAUCCCAAUUAUUUUAUUAAUUUUAUAGAUCAGCAGGUUGCUCGUAGCAAGAGGUAGCAGAUAUUUAAUCGAAUGGUUCAUCGUUAUUUAGUACUAAGUUAACGUUCAUGCUAAAUAUUCUAGAUAAAUUUAGUAUGAGUGUUACAUUAGCCCUGUAGUUUACCAAAAACACCGGUAAACAUCCGUGCGAUGCAUGGGCAGGAAUCCAAGAAUUAGCUAGCUUUUGAUGGUUUUACAAUCACUUCUCUGCAUUGGCAUAUACAAAUGGAAACAUUUAAUUACCUAACAACAUUAAAAAUUGUGAAUGCAUUGAGAUCUUGUGUAGGAAUUUUAAAAUACUUAUAGUUCAUCUUUCCCCGUAUCUUUGAGAAUUUUUUUAUCAAAUUGACAUGUAACUUUGUUGGAUUAUAUAUGACGUCUAGUUUCAGUCUUUAUGAUACUUUUUGUUCUCCAAAUAGAUUUACACUUUAUUUAGGAGUUUGGAAGGAAGAAAAGGGAGGACUUUGGGGCUGGUAAAUAUAAAGGGAAAUAGAGAAUUUCCACUUUUUUGAAAAAAGUUUUUUCGACAAUGAUGAUGAUAAAUUAAUGUUUAUUACUAAUAUAUUUUUAAUUUUAAAAUAUAACAUAUAUUAUUAUAUUUAAAAAAUUCAUAUAAAUCAUCCAAAAUCAUUCUCCAAUACAAUUUUUGAAUUGGAAGAAUUUUUUUAUCAAGAAUAAUGAGCUCCCAAGACCCUCAAAAUCGUUUAUAGUAGAAUCUUGUGAGAAUUACCUGCUGAAACUAUUAAAAUAUUGCGAACAAAAAAUCUCUAAUUACUAUUCAGUGCAUAGUACCUUUCCAACCUUCUUUUUUGGAUGGUGUAUUCAAGACUUUAACAACUAAUUUUUGCAUACACGUACUAAUUAAGGACAACAUAGGAAACUUGAUUUCCCUUUUUCUUUUAAUUGGACUGGACAAAAUAGGAAAUAAAUAAAAGUACUAUUUAUUUAUUAAUUACUCCCUCCAUUCAUUUUUAGGUGUCGUUUUAAAAUUUUAACACAAAAAUAGCGUAUUGUAUCGCACACUUUUUUCUAUUAUACCCUCAUUAUAAUCCAUUGAUAAUUUUCUAUCUUUUGCACACACUUUAUCUUUCCAAUAAAUUUAAUAUGUAAGAAACAAUUGUUAGCUAUUACUCUAUUUCUCCAACAAAUUUCUAAUUUUUUGCGCACAUCUCGUAACAAACAAUUUUCAAUUUUUAACUAAUAUUAACAAAAUUUUGUUUAAAUUUGAAGAUAACAAAGAAACAAAUUUUGGUUUUAAAACAAAACAAACAAACUUUGUUUAAAAAAAAAAAAAAAAACUUUAGUUUUCAAAAUGUAUAAGUUUUCAAACAUUAAUCAGUUUUAUCAAAAAAUAUAAGAAUAAUUGACCAAAAUAUAUAAUUGACGAAUCGUACCCUUAUAAUACCAAAACAACAAUUAAAUAAGCACUUAAAUAAAGAACGGGAGUAAUAAAAGAAACUGCAGGUAUAGGGUGUACCAAACUAAAAAAGAAAUAAAGUAUUCUACCAAAAACUAAAAAACCAAACGUUUAAUAAGUCCUUCUAGAAACAUCCAUCUAUAGAUGAAAAUCUUCAUUAGGUAAUAGACAAUCACAAUGGUCUAAUUCGUAGCUGUAAUCAGCAAAUUGAUUUACGCCAAUUGUAUAACCUGUGAAAAAAACAAGAAACAAAUAUUAAAGAUACAACUCAUCAAUUUUUUACUAAGUCAUAAAUAUAAAUUAACUUAUACAAUACAAUAACAUAUUACCUGCAGCUGUGCUGUUAAAGUUCUCUAUGGAUUCCAAGGUCUUCUUGAAUAUUUCUUUGCGUAUUUUCAUCUCAGUGCUGUUUGAGUAUGUUCGAUUAUAUUCCAGCAUCCAUUGUUGAAAAACUUCAUCAACUGAUGAGGAUGAUUUUUUUGGGAGUGUUCGAGACAUGGCUGCAGGGUAUGCACAUGCCAACAAGAUGAUGAUGAAAAUUGUAACAAGCUUCAUUUGAUUAUUUGAUAGAUAGAUCACAGAGAAUGUGUUAAAUUUGUGAACAAAGUGAGGAAGCGCAUAAAUAUAUAAAGGAGAAAACUUAGGUACAAUUCCUUAGAUACUUUUCGUAUGGUUCUUAACUAAAUUCACUAUGAUUUCCUCAAAUUCAUAAUUUUCUCAAAGUUUGUUAUAUCCAAAAAAUAUAUAUUUUUAGUUAAGAACCAUACGAAAAGGACCUAAGGAAUUGUACCUAAGUUUUCUCCAUAUAUAAAUAUAUAAGAAAGAUAUGGGUGGGGCUAGGGUUUGUUAUAUUUUCAUUACGAAAGUUUUGGGCUUUUUUAAGGGUAUGAUUUGUCAAUUAUAUCCUUUGUCAAUUACUCUUAUAUUUUUAAAUAAAACUAAUUAAUUUUUUUUUUGAAGGAAAAUAAAACUAAUUAAUGUUAUAUAUUUAGAAAAUUAACACGAAAAUAAUGAAGUGUAUUUUUGCACAUUUUCUUCCUAUUAUAAUCUCAAUUUAAUCCACCAAUAUAUUCUUAUUUUUUGGCACACACUUUAUCUUUUCAAUGAAUUUAAUAUGUUAUAUUUAUCUUGUAACAAAUAUUUGUUUUUUUUUUUAAGAUCGUAACAAACAUUUGUUAGUUACUAUCUUUCAAAAAAAAACAUUUGUUAGUUACUAUCUUUUUUUCAACAAAUUCUUUUUUUUUUUUUGCACAAUCUUUGUCUCAUAACAAACAAUUGUCAAAUAUGUUCUUCCUAUUGAACAUUCAUGGAGAUUUUAUUUUUUCUUCAAUUAGUCUUCCACUCUUUCUUCCUUUUGAACAUUCAUGGAGUUUUUAUUAUUUUUUUCUCUCAAAUCUGUUCUUUUACUUUGCACUUAAAUUUUUUAACAAUUAUUCAUCUUAUUCAUAGAAUUUUAACUCUUCAUAAAACCAUUAAUACAAGUAACAAAAUUUUGUUUAAAUCUGAAGAUAACAAGAAACACAUUUUGUUUUAAAAAAAAAACAAACAAUCUUUGUUUAAAAGAAGAAACUUUAGUUUUCCAAAUAUAUAGCAUUAAUUAGUUUUAUUGAAAAAGAUAAGCGUAACCAAACAAAGAAAAAGAUACGAGUAAUUGACAAAGGGUAUAAUUGACAAAUCGUAUCCUUAAAAUACAAAAACGACUGUUAAAUAGGAACGAAAAAAUUCACCCUUAAACGAAACUUAAAAAGGAACGGAGAAAGUAUAUACUAACAAUACAAUCUUACCCCUUAAUUUUUUGACACGUCGUCAGAAUUAUAUCAUAUUUUUCUCUAUUUUUCUCUCUCUUAAAGGCAAACUACAACAAACUCACUUACUAACAUAAUCUUUUUUUUCUAAAAACAAACUUACUCUUAAUCACAAUCAAAACAAAUUUUCCUAUAAUUUAAUUUACAAUGCGUAUUUUUGCACAUUUUCUUCCUAUUAUACCCUCAUAAUUUUUUGCAUGGCCUCCUCCUACUCUGAUGAAAAUGAGUAUGGAGUGGUGUGAGUAAUUCAUGUUGAAAAACUGUUAUUGAGUAAGCAAUAUAUAUUCAGUAAUAAGCAAUGAUAAACUGUUCCAUUUAUGUGAAAUUACUGAUGAUUUAUUUUAUAGAAAAAUCAAAUAGGUUAGCAAAUAUAUCAAUUUUCAGAAUCCCUAAGAUAUCAGUAAAUGUUUGAUUUUCUCACAAUAUCCUAUAAUGCAAAUUCAGAGAAUAUAAUAGUAUAAGCAUCUUCUUGCUCAACUAUCAUGGAUGGACACAAAUUAGAGUGUGAAAUAAGUGAAUAAACCAAUGAUUGAAAUUGCACUCACAUACAUAACAAAUCGUAGUUGGGUUGAAAUACUAACUAUUGAUUUUCUCAUCAAUGAAUGAGAUUACUCAAUUUACAUAAGUCAUAUCGCAAUCACACAAGUUUAAGGGAAAAAUAUGAAGAUCAGAGAAAAAUACUAAAUUGAUUUCACUACUGGAUAGAGCAAAAUUGAUUUCAAAGGUGAAGAAUUGAUUUUAACAUUUUUGAAUUGAAUGUUCUUGAAUAAAAAAAUUAAUUUUGCCUCUAUAAUUGGUUAUAACUUGAAGCUCGAAUUUGGAGUUUUUGCCUUUGCCAUUGAUUUUUAGUCUCAAAUUUAUUGUUAAAUUCCCUUUUACAUGAAAUACAAAUAAAAAUCACUUUACAUUCACAAUUAAAAGAUGUAACUUGCGCUCUAAGCUAUCUCUGACUUAUGUUGCAAACUUCUUUCUUCUCAUUUGUACAUUGCUCUAAUACGCCCUCGCAAACUGGAGGUUGGUAGAUAUCUGCCAUCCCUUGCUUGGUGAUGCAUUCAUGAAAUUGACAAGGUCCAGCUGCUUUUGUAAACACAUCUGCUGUUUGGUUUUGUGAAGAAACAGGUAGCAAUCUCAUUACACCAGCUUGUAGCUUUUCACGAACAAGAUGACAAUCAAUGUCAAGAUGCUUGGUAAGUUCAUGAAACUCAGGAUUGGCAGAGAUAUGCAAUACACUUUGAUUAUCACAGUAGAGAACAGACAAGCGUGACGGAGCAUGAUGGAAGUCAUGUAAAAGAAACCACAUCCAUUGUAAUUCAUGAGUAGCAGAACCUUCAAUUCCUGUAUAUGAUAUUUUUUUGGCAGACUCCAAGCUUUGAAGAGAAUCAAAUUAUUUGGACAGAAUCACAUUCAAUCUAUGUUAUACAUUUCUACAUUAUAAAGUAUUUGUGCGAACAUUGUCAGAAGUCGACACCAUAUAUAUUUGGUAAUAAGCAGUGAUAAACUGUUAAUUAUGUCAGAAGUCAGAACCAUAUAUAUUCAGUAAUAAGAAAUGAUAAACUGUUCUAUAUUCCUGUUAUUGGAACACUUUGAACUGAAAUUUUACAUAAUCUUCUUUCCUUUUAUUACUCAACUUCUAGAUGAAAGGAAAAUCACAAUGACGCAAUUGACAUUUGAAACAUGGAGUCACAAUGCAAACAUAAUACAAUAAAAGAUUUUUUAUUUUAUUUUUGAUAUAAAAACAUAAUUGUAAAACUAGAUUAUACAAUUGCAUAUCUGUCUCGUCUUUCGUGCAUAAUUUUUUUAUGAAGCCGGAUGCAUUAGGUAAGAAAAUAUAUCAAUUUAAUUACCAAAAUUGAUACCAUUGAUCUCCGGACAAUCCUUCUUGAAUUUACACUCCUACUUAUAAAUGAUUGAUAUUACUUGUUUUACACUCUAAACAAUAGUGGUGUUUUGGCCUUGAAUUUGAUUCCUUCUUCUUUUAGCCUAGAUAUCGUCAUGUAAAGGAGAUUAACCUUGAAUUUUCAGAUGUUGAAGACAGACAUCUCAUACUAAUUAAAGAUAAGGUAGUCUAUUUUCUUUAGUUAUGUCUUAAUCUAUUAUCAUAUAUCUAAAAAUGCAGAAGCCGGAACUGUUUAUCAUUCAUUGCUUGCUGAGUACUUAUGGUUCUGACAUUACAAGAAUAUUAGAUAAAGGGGGCAACCGUAGUUGACAAUGUUUCCACAAACAUUUUAUGAUGUAGAAAUGUAGAAUAUAGAUUGAAUGUGAUUCUGACCAAAUCAUUUUAAGCAUUUUUAGUGUUUUCUCUUCGAAACUUGGAGUCUUUAAAUCUGAACGGCGUCCAAAAUAUAUCUGAUACAUGAUUUGAUGCAAUAAUCGAUUAUUGUCCUUUGUUAAAAACCUUUCCCAACUACUGGAAUGUGAGGCAAAUUAAAAAGAAGUAUUGUGAUUUAGCACUUGAAAGUCUCACUUGGUGUGCAAAAUUUCUUAGUAAAUUGCUAGGAUAGAAGAUAGAGGAGACGUUAGUUAGUGACAGUUAGGGUAGUUAGUUGAUUUGUUAGAUCGUAGUUAGAUUAUAUAAUAAAUAAGAACACAAUUGUAAAGGGAUGGCAUUCUUAUAUGUAAACAUUGAGUAAAUAGAGCAGUCAGCAGAAGGGAAACGCCUUUUGGAAAGUGUCUCUUUUAUCUCAGUCUUUGAAUGAAAUUGUGUUUUUGUAAUCUAUUUAUUUCCUUCAAUUUUCUAAUUCUUUAGCGUUCUUAACAUACAUAUAAAUUUGACGCCUAGGAACGUCAAGUUGACCGACAAGGGGCUGAAGUAGUUCUUGCACAAAUGCAUACCAUUUCAGAGUUUGAAUCUCUCUGCAGUGUCCAGGUAAGCAUUGAAACACAACAUUACUCUUAUUCAAUUUCACAGAUGAAGCGUACCGUAAAGUUUGCAUUAUGAGAGGUCCAUGUUUUUGGAUCUCUGUCUGCUUCACCUAGGUAAAAUCUUCUGUUUUGAAAUUUUCUGCACGACAAUAUCUUAUGCAGACACGACAUGGUAAAUCGAUGAUCAACUUGAAUAUCCGUCUAUCUCAUUUUAUGUUAGUAACGGAGUUGCAUCUAAUUUUACGUGAUAAUUGUGUUCGUGUGACUAUUCCAGCACAAAGGGUUAUCACAACACGAUGAAGUAAUGCAUUAUUAUACGCAUACAUAUGCAUAUUCUUUUUACAAUGGCAGCGUGACAUUACCUCAAUAGUUGGUGUGGCUGAUAAAUGCCUAGAAGCACUUUCAAAGUUAUGUUCCAACAACAUUACGGUCCUUGAUGUGAACCGAUGUAUUGGCAUCAAGGCAAGUUCCUGUUUCGUAUUUUAUAUGAUGAAUUACAAGUGUUAUCCAGUCCAUUUGAGUAAAUAUAUAGUAAAUUACCCCACGAAAUUGUAAGUUUCGUCAAUUACAAAUUAGCAAAACUUCAAUUACCCCGCUGAAAUUGCACAACGUUAAUCAAUUUACCCCCUCCGUCAAAUUUUUCUAUUAGUCAACAUAACUUAUGUGCAACAUGCCCCCUAAACUUGAAAAUUUAUAUUUUUUUUCUUAUCCUUAAAGUGAUUGUAUUAUCACUGAAUUGUGUAGCAUAUUAGCUAAGUUUUGACGAUAUACAACCAUAUAUUGGCAAUAUGGUAAAAUAAAUUGGCAGUAUUUAAUAAACUCUACAAUAAACUCUACCAUUUUCUAAUUAUAUUUGCAGGUAGUUGGUAUUGUCUUAAGGUUGUUAGAAGUUGGAGCCUCGAUUAUGAAUUCCUUAACUAGUCAAAUUUUCAUUGAUUCACUUUCCUAUUGCUAGAAUUCCUUAAUGUCGCAAACAGAGAGAAACCUCAAUGUCUAUUUAGAUAGAGUAAUUUUAGUGAGUGGUGUGAUUUUAGGAAGUGCUUAAAAUGAUUGGGUUAAACUACCAUAUUAGCAAAGUUUUGUUCUACCAUACUACCAAUAUAUGGUUGUAUACCGUCAAAACUUAGCUAAUAUGCUCCACAAUUCAGUGAUAAUGCAAUCACUUUUAAGGAUAAGAAAAAAUAUAUAAAUUUUCAAGUUCAGGAGGCAUUUUGCACAUAAGUGCAAAACUUCAGAGGGGUAUUUGCAAAACGUCAUGUUGACUAACAGAAAAAUUUGACUGAGGGGGUAAAUUGAUUAACGUUGUUAAUUUCAGAGGGUAAUUAAAGUUUUGUUAAUUUCAAGGGGGUAAUUGACAAAUGUCACUUUGGUCCCUGAACCAAAAAUCAAUAUCCCCACUCUCAAAUCCCAAAAUCUCUAAAUGUCAUCUAAUUAUCUCUUUUGUUCAAAAUUAAUUUUCCAUUAAACACCAACUUUUAUAUAAUUAUCGCAGUGUUACGUGAUCCGUGCACGGAUCUUUUAUUAGUUUUUACCAAAUCAGGCUUGUGUUCAACUUACUUGGGCAACAACAAGAACAUAAUCCGCCCAUAAUCUAAUCUAAUUAAAAAACAAAAUAUGAGAUAGAUAAGGAAAUAACAAAGAGAGUGGCGUGUGAGAAAAAUAAAUUAUGAGCCUUUUUUUUAAGGGUACCUCUAAUAAGGACCCCAAAUUAUAAGGACCAUCCGUGAACCUCAAAGAAUGACUUGCUCUAACCAGUCACCAACCUUCAUCGUUUGUUAUAAGGAAAAUAAAAACUACUUAAUAACAAAAACUUCUUUCAUCUUUCUUCAACAAUCAAAAUACAACCCAACCUUAAAAAAAAAAUACAACCCAACCUUCAACAGCAACAACCAUGGCCCAUAAUUGUGGAAAGAAUAAAGAUUUGAAAGACCAUUUUGCAAAUGAUAUGAUGAAAACGAUAACCCUUCAGUUCAUAAUAUUAUUUGGACAAAACGCUAAAUUGGAGAAGAACACAAUCCAUUAGUAUCAAUCACCACAAUCUUUACCCUUUUAAAUUAAUAUUUUGAAACUGAGUUAGGACAGUAUAACCCAUUAACACUUGCACCACCAAUGUGAACCUCCUAACUGAAAACCAAGUUAUUGUGGUUAACUUUUAUUUUAUUUUGAUAAAACCAAUUUAUUGUUGUUGUUGUUGAAGCUUGUUGGGGUUCUAAAUUCUAGAAAGUGGAGAAUGAAAACCUAUUAAAAUGAUGCUAAUCUUUAAAUCUAAAAGAAGCAGAAGCAAAAUUCAAAGGCCAAAGCAUCAACAAUUGAUUUUACUGCUACAGGUUGCUGAAAGUAACAUUUAAGCCAUUUUUGAUGCUUUGACACUUAAGUCACAAAGGAACAACCUGGAAAAACUCAUUUUCCAAUUUGAGAGAGAGGGGUAAGGUGUCAAGGAGAGAGAAGAUUUGCCAAAAAUAUCUUAACCUUCAGUUGCCGGUCAAAAGGAUGGGUUCACCCGUGGACCCUUAUAAAUAAAGUCCAUAUUAGGGGCUCCCUUUUUUUAAUGAUAGAAUCAAAUUGAAGCCGUCACGAACCUAUGUCAAAAAAGCAAUUUUCAAUAUUCUCAACUCUCCUUGAAAAGUAAAAUAAAACCCUUCCAAAACCAAACUUUCCAACCCUCAGGUUUUUCUUCUCGCUUUCUCUCUAAAAACCAAAACACACAACAAAUUUAAAAUUCAAGGGUUUACAAUCUAAAUUUCCUUCCAUCAUGGCUUCCAAUUUGCAAAACGAUUUUCUUCCUGCUGUUAUGUAUCUCUAUAAUCGAUGAUCAUGAUUAUAUCGUUAUUGUGUUUUUGUUACCAAUUCUUUACUAUUGCUUCAACAUUCGUAGUUUGAUCUAAUGAAGCACAUACACUUCUCGGAUUAGGUGUGUUGCGGUGUCCGACACGACAUCCACAUGUAAUACCCUGAAUUUUGUGAUUUUUUCAAAUUAUUAGCGGCGUCGGUGUGUCAGUUUCAGUGUCGGUUUUUGCUUGAGUUAUUACCUAUAUUUAAAAAUUCGUAGUCACUAAACAACCAGAACAAUUACCUGAUUGAGCCUGAAAAGAGGUAAGGCUUAACAAACCAUCACCUCAACAAUUACCGAAACACGGUGGCAUUGUAACAGAAACGGCUAGUUCGCCGGAGAAGGCAAACCACAAGACAGUAACUCGACCCAAAAGUGGUUUAGGAGAAUUGAUCAGAUGUGUUGGUUUAGAUAGGUUAUUACAUUACAUAAGCAUCCUCAUUAUGUGAUUUUUACUUACAUGGAUAACACAAGGUCACUACUUUAGUCACCCAUCCUUUAAUUAUGUGCUUUAUUUACACUUUUUUUUUUUUUUUUUUGUAGUAGAUCAUCAGCAGAGAACAAAAAUUCCAAAGAAGAAUCGUCGAAAAAAGAAUAAAAGUUCCAAAAAUAAAUCAUCCUCCACAGUUACUCCUGGACAUUUUGAUUUCUCAGCUCUGCUCAAUGUAAGCUCUUCUCUCCGUUCUUGUGUUAUUUGCAUAUGUGUGGUGUGUGCUGUAUUUUUUGAUAAUCAAACUAUGUUAAUUGUUAAUGAAUGUGAGCCUGUUUGCUUGGACUAUAUGAGUAUGUGCUUUUGUUUUUGUCCUGGUCAUGCAUCAGAUUUGAUUCAUUUGCAAUUUUGCAGCCAAUGAUCAGACAAUACUUCUAGAAAUGGGUUUUAUGAAGACAAAUUCUGAAUGUUUUUCAGAUGUCUAAUGUCUUCACUGUUGGCAAAAAGUGUUCAUUAAGAUUGUAUACUGUUUUCUUCAAAGCUUUACAUACCAUGAUAGUGGAGUAAGCCUUUUGUAGUUCCUGCCAACUUGGAUAAGAUUUUGCAGAUAGUAUUGUUCUUAUGGGCUUAUGGCUGCUAUCUUUGUAAUAAUCUUUUAAGGCAUGUAUACAACUGAGAUUUAUUGAUAGUUUAAGUUAAGUGAAGCAAGCAUUUGAUGACUUUUGAACUCAUCAUAUGGUUUGACCCAAGUCUUCCUCUUUUCAUUUUUCACUCACUAGGGAAUGUCAUUUAUUGGAUGUACACUCUAAAUUACUAAUGUAUAUAAUAUUAGUAUUUCAUCAAGGCGUCUUAAAAUGUCAAUGUGUCAUAGGAUCCAAAUAUCAGGAAACUGGCUGAACAGCUUCAGGAAACUUUGCAUGAAGCACCACAGGAUGAUCUCACAAAUUCUCGUGAUCCGAAGUAUGCUUCAACCAUGCUACAGAUCAGAAAGAAUCUUGAUCUUAAAACCAUGGUCAGGCGCCUGAUUUGUGCUUUGAUGCAGGUAUUUUUUAAAUUUCUUUGUUAUGUUUGUAACACAUCUGCUGGUUGUUAGAUUAAAAUGCAUGUGCUGUCUAUCACAGGACCCUUCAUUGUCUUCCAUGGUGGAAAUUUAUACCGAUCCGUCCCUUGAAGGCCAGCGUAAACGUAGAACGGCACACUUGAACAAAGAUCCAUGUUUGAAACUUAUUUUAGAUGAGAUAGAGAAUGGUGGUCCUGCUGUAAUGAUGAGGUUUAAACACCACUUUUUUAAAUUCUAUUUUAUUGUUUUGGCAUUUCCAUAUUUCCACCAUAAAUUGGUAAAUAAUUUCUGAAGCGAUUCUUUCCAUACAGACUUCGAUCGAGUGUAAUGAAUUCUCUUGCAAUUGAAAUUGAAACUCCAGGUUUCUGCAUAAAUUGUUUAAGGAAUUUCAAAAUGAAUCACAGUCAAGUAAACUAGUUAUUAGCUUUCCAAUUGAAAUUAGAAUAUCUACCACUUUAGCUUCUAGAGUAUGUGUUUCCUCAAACGUCAAAUUGCUUACAUAUCUCCUCUUGAGAAACAUAAAAUCCUUAUUAGUUUGAUCUGGCCUCUUCUAUACCCCAACAAUGCCUAAGUUUACUAAGGUCCUGUUUGAAAAUGCCAAUAUAAAUAGCAUUUUCUUUUGACGUUUGCAAUGCCAUUCCUGUCAUCAUCUGUGAUGAUAAUAUCCGCAUAAACCUCAAUGCAAGUAUCAUAGUAAUCUAGUACAAGUCCACUAGGUUGGUGCCUUGAAGAAAUAAAAUACCUGCUGCAGCUGUCUUUUUACCCUAAAAUUUGAACACAGCGUUACUGAAAUUUUGAAGCAAAUUCUAGGAGAUUUGGAACCAUUAACAAACUUCAACUAUAUCACUAAAUUUCACUCAUCUAUUCUAUCACCGACCUUGUCCCCAUAUCGUGUUGCAUGUUUUUUUUGUUCUUCCUUUUCUCCCCUACCACCCCUCAUGUUGUGGUUGAAUCUUCAAUUUCCACGCACGCAACCUCUUGCUCCGCCAUUCUUGCUUUGCUCAAGAUAGAUGUGUGGAAAUAUUUGAAUCUUCUCGAAUUUAAAUUUGUGCCAGUUUGGGGAUUAGGGUUUCAUAACUUUUAAAUUAGGGCUUUUUAGGCUGUGAGAGAUUCUGAGAAAUUAAGCGUGUUAUGACGGAGUUAAACCCUAGACACUAAUUGUUUGUCCUUUAUUGUUAAGCUGGGUUUGAAUUUUCCAAUAGUUGUGUGUUUGUGCAUGCUUCUUUUGUUUUCAAAGGCUGAGGGUCAAUCAUCCAUCUUGAAGAUGAUUUCUCUUGUAAACUGCAACUUCAUUCAUUUGUAAUCAUUUAAAUUCCUCUGUGUGAAUUUUGAUCUAAAAUUCUAGAUAUAAUGUGGUGACUUUGUGUUGACUGUUAGACAUUAUAGCACGAACCUAAGAAUGUAGCUCUUGUCCCUUCAUUCCAUGUGAUACAUUAGUACUUCCAGUUUCUUUUUAUUUUGGAGGAUGUAGUGAGCUUUCCUCAUAGUUGACUGUGUAUUUGAGAGAUUUUAGUUGAUUCUCUAACAUCAUUAAACAACCGGUUGUUGUUGUUGUUGUUGUUGUUGUUUUGAUCAUCAUCAUCAUCGAUUUUAAUUUGUAUAAACAUUUUGUUCUUUCAUACUAGUUGUGCUGUUGGAAAUUGGAGGAACGGUGCCAGCAACCGAGUGUCUCCCCAAUCAUCAUCAAAUCUCAAAUGCAAAUAGGUAAAUCAAAUAAUCUCAUUUUAAUAUCAACCAAUUAUUAAUACANNNNNNNNNNNNNNNNNNNNNNNNNNNNNNNNNNNNNNNNNNNNNNNNNNNNNNNNNNNNNNNNNNNNNNNNNNNNNNNNNNNNNNNNNNNNNNNNNNNNNNNNNNNNNNNNNNNNNNNNNNNNNNNNNNNNNNNNNNNNNNNNNNNNNNNNNNNNNNNNNNNNNNNNNNNNNNNNNNNNNNNNNNNNNNNNNNNNNNNNNNNNNNNNNNNNNNNNNNNNNNNNNNNNNNNNNNNNNNNNNNNNNNNNNNNNNNNNNNNNNNNNNNNNNNNNNNNNNNNNNNNNNNNNNNNNNNNNNNNNNNNNNNNNNNNNNNNNNNNNNNNNNNNNNNNNNNNNNNNNNNNNNNNNNNNNNNNNNNNNNNNNNNNNNNNNNNNNNNNNNNNNNNNNNNNNNNNNNNNNNNNNNNNNNNNNNNNNNNNNNNNNNNNNNNNNNNNNNNNNNNNNNNNNNNNNNNNNNNNNNNNNNNNNNNNNNNNNNNNNNNNNNNNNNNNNNNNNNNNNNNNNNNNNNNNNNNNNNNNNNNNNNNNNNNNNNNNNNNNNNNNNNNNNNNNNNNNNNNNNNNNNNNNNNNNNNNNNNNNNNNNNNNNNNNNNNNNNNNNNNNNNNNNNNNNNNNNNNNNNNNNNNNNNNNNNNNNNNNNNNNNNNNNNNNNNNNNNNNNNNNNNNNNNNNNNNNNNNNNNNNNNNNNNNNNNNNNNNNNNNNNNNNNNNNNNNNNNNNNNNNNNNNNNNNNNNNNNNNNNNNNNNNNNNNNNNNNNNNNNNNNNNNNNNNNNNNNNNNNNNNNNNNNNNNNNNNNNNNNNNNNNNNNNNNNNNNNNNNNNNNNNNNNNNNNNNNNNNNNNNNNNNNNNNNNNNNNNNNNNNNNNNNNNNNNNNNNNNNNNNNNNNNNNNNNNNNNNNNNNNNNNNNNNNNNNNNNNNNNNNNNNNNNNNNNNNNNNNNNNNNNNNNNNNNNNNNNNNNNNNNNNNNNNNNNNNNNNNNNNNNNNNNNNNNNNNNNNNNNNNNNNNNNNNNNNNNNNNNNNNNNNNNNNNNNNNNNNNNNNNNNNNNNNNNNNNNNNNNNNNNNNNNNNNNNNNNNNNNNNNNNNNNNNNNNNNNNNNNNNNNNNNNNNNNNNNNNNNNNNNNNNNNNNNNNNNNNNNNNNNNNNNNNNNNNNNNNNNNNNNNNNNNNNNNNNNNNNNNNNNNNNNNNNNNNNNNNNNNNNNNNNNNNNNNNNNNNNNNNNNNNNNNNNNNNNNNNNNNNNNNNNNNNNNNNNNNNNNNNNNNNNNNNNNNNNNNNNNNNNNNNNNNNNNNNNNNNNNNNNNNNNNNNNNNNNNNNNNNNNNNNNNNNNNNNNNNNNNNNNNNNNNNNNNNNNNNNNNNNNNNNNNNNNNNNNNNNNNNNNNNNNNNNNNNNNNNNNNNNNNNNNNNNNNNNNNNNNNNNNNNNNNNNNNNNNNNNNNNNNNNNNNNNNNNNNNNNNNNNNNNNNNNNNNNNNNNNNNNNNNNNNNNNNNNNNNNNNNNNNNNNNNNNNNNNNNNNNNNNNNNNNNNNNNNNNNNNNNNNNNNNNNNNNNNNNNNNNNNNNNNNNNNNNNNNNNNNNNNNNNNNNNNNNNNNNNNNNNNNNNNNNNNNNNNNNNNNNNNNNNNNNNNNNNNNNNNNNNNNNNNNNNNNNNNNNNNNNNNNNNNNNNNNNNNNNNNNNNNNNNNNNNNNNNNNNNNNNNNNNNNNNNNNNNNNNNNNNNNNNNNNNNNNNNNNNNNNNNNNNNNNNNNNNNNNNNNNNNNNNNNNNNNNNNNNNNNNNNNNNNNNNNNNNNNNNNNNNNNNNNNNNNNNNNNNNNNNNNNNNNNNNNNNNNNNNNNNNNNNNNNNNNNNNNNNNNNNUUGAGGUAAAUGUUAUUUUCUUUAUAAAGUGGAAACACUUAAAUGAUAAUAAAUAUAAGAUAAAAUUUUAGUGAAUAAAAUUUAAUUUAAUUUAUAAUACAUAGGAUAUAUUAAAUUAAUAAAUUUAAAGUAUUUUUUUUAAAGAAAAAUUAGUUUACAAAAUUACAAAUAUUUAAAUUAAUGAUAUAAUUUUUAUUAUGGAUUAAGAAUACUCUUUAUGUCAUUUUACAUUUAUGAGCUAGUUGAACCGCUAUAUUUACCAAACCCUUCAGUUAGCUUAUCAGCUAAAAGCUAUCAGCUAACUUAUCAGCUAAAAGCUAUCAGCUAUCCGUUAUUUUUACCAAACAGAGCCUUGGUGUGUGGUUCUAAAGCGUGAAUACAAGGAUUUCAACUUUUUUUUUUUUCUAGUAAAAAUAAAAGGCACGCAUUUUGUAAAAUGUAUUCUACGGAUCAGAAAGUACCAACAACGUCAUAGAAGUAAUUCUCAUUAACGCAAAAGCUACUCUUACUAUCUUUAAGUUUAAAAGUUAUACGUGAGUUUGGAGCAAAAUCGCAUCAAAAAAUAGUUAACCAAACACGUGAGUUUUGUUGUAAAACUGAACCAAACAAGAACUAAUUCACAACAUCACUCGUGUUCAACUUCAUAAAAAAUAAUAAAAAUAAUAUUAAAAACUUAAAACUGUCGUCUUUGGAACCAAAAUGAGAUACUUUAAAAUAACCUCUCUACCGAAAUUUCGUAAAAUCAGUUUAAAAGAUGAGUAAAAAGAGAAAAAAUUGGAUCAAAAAUGGGAUAUGACGUCAUGUUGACUAACGGAAAAACUGACGAAAGGGACAAAUUGUAACUUUUAAAAAUUUCAGGCGGAGGUUUUAACUUUUUUUCGAAUUUGGAGGAAUUUGCACAAUUUUAUAAUUUCAAGAAAUACAAGUGUGUCCUUAAGAAGCUUAACUAUUAACUAAAUUAUUCCCUUAAAAAAAAACUAAAUUAUUAUUUUUGGACAAAAACUCAAUUUAGUUUACUUUACUAACAUACUUUAUCAUCAUUACCUAAAAAUUAAAAAUAAAAUAAUUUUGCAAGUAGUUUAGUUUAUUUUACUAGAAUAUGUAAAUUAAUUUAAAUAUUAAAAGCAAAAAUGCUAAUACUAAUAAUUAAAAAUAAAAUAAAUUGAAUUCUCUAUAAAUUCACAUGAAUUUAUUUUUGUCUAUUGAUAAAAAUUAAUAAAAAAUUAUUCCCUAAUUAAAUUACUUUUAUUUUUGGAUUUCUAAAUAAUAUGUUAAAUGAAUCAAUUUUCAAAUAUAUCAUUUUAGUGGCCUCGAGUUCAUAUUUCCCAUUCAACAAGUAAAAAUUUGGCUAUUCGUGGCAUUAUCCCUUUAGAAGCGUGUUUGUGUGUGGUUGGUUGUGUAACACCCCGAUAUCCCAAAGCAAUUAAAUAAUAAAUAUAACAUCAGAGUUUAACAUCAAAUCGGGUAUGUCACACUACUUUUUAAAAUUUCUUAAAUAGAAUAUAAAACUAUUUAAUAAACAUCAUUCAUAAAACAUCAAUAAUUUGCGGCGGAAUAUUCUUCAAACAUUAAACAUCAACAUCCAACAAUAAAUCCUAGCACAAAGGCCGCAACAUAAAUAUUCAUCAUUAAUUGUUUCAAAUAACAAUAAAAGGCUCCACAACAGGUUUCCAAAAUUUGAUACAUUAGGAAUGAAAAUAAAUAAGUAAUCCCAUACCGUACGUAUCAGAGCCCUAGACACUUGAGCCACCACCUACUACUCAGGAUCAUCUGCAAGUUACUCAUAUGAAUGGCAACAUUUCCAAGCAGAAGGGGUGAGAUUCACAACAAUAAAAAUAGAUAUAAAAUUCAUCAAUUGAAUCUAACACCCUAACAUAGUAAUAAUUAUUCAAUAUACAAUAUAUAUUUCAUAAUUAACAACAUCAACAAUAAUGGUAAUUACAACCAACAACAACGACUCAUGCAACUACUAGACAACACCGCUAAGACUCCUCGACAAUGCGACAAUGCACAUGCAUGUGGUACCAAUUUACAUGGCAGAAGCCCUCACUAAAUAUUGAAUGGUUAAAGCAUUCAUCAAGGCAUAAGCCCUCACGCUUUGAACAACAAGGUGUUCCAGGGCAUGAGCCCUUCACCCAUUUUCUAUUCAAUCAAAGAACAAACAGCUCAGAUACUGGGCAACUCGCCUCGCGAGUGCAUAUGCUCGUCAUGGCGAGCUCAGGCUGGCGAACAAGAAAAGGGGUGCUCUCGGGAGUUUUGACAUUUUUCUCACUAAAUCUUCAUUUUAAAGCUCCCUAUUCAUCUUUUUAAUCUAAAAAUUAUCUCAGUCCUCUCUAAAAUCAUUUAGGCACUCAAAACUAACCAAUUAACACCUUAUAACAACAAUCUGAAAAUCAAGGUUCUCACUCACUAACUCGCCAUGGCGAGUGGUUCUGCUCGAGAGGCGAGCCAUGAAGUUGCUCACGCGCGAGGCGAGACAGGGUUACUCGCGGGACGAGCGAUGAACAUCAGUACGGGCAGAAUGCAGGUUUUUCCCAAAAAUCUCAUUUUCCUCAAUUUCACUCCCCAAAUUAGUUUACAGAUGUAAAACUAAAUGCUGUAUGCAAUCAAAACUUAUUUCUAACAUCAAACCAGUGAUUCCUACACUCAAUUCAUCCAAAAACCAAAGGAUUCAACAUAAACCCAAAAUCCCCAAUUUCUACCAUAAACCUGUUAAACCAAAAUCAUAAUUAAAAAUCUAUACUACUGAAGCAAACCUCACCCUUACCUUAAUUCAAAUGAACAAAUGCACAAAAAUCUGGUUCACUUGGCUCUACUUGGCUCUUCUCCCUUUUUCUCCCAAAAUUUGUCUGUUGUACGUGAAACUGCUUUCUGACUAUUUCUUUUCCUACUCCCAAUACUUAACUCCCCUUUAUUUCAUUUAACUCCCCCUUAAUUCUAUUAAUUUCUAAUUAAAUCCCCAACCUCCAAAAUAAUAAUAAUUCUCACAUAUUCUAAUUAAUAUUAAAAUAAACCAUAUAAUAAAAUAUAACACACCACAUAAUCAACAAUAAUUAUUUAAAAUCAUAUAAAAGACUCUAAUAAAUCAUAAAUAAAUAAAAUAACGACUAGGGCGUUACAGGUUGUGGGUAUGUCGAGGACACUACCCAUAUGUUUCUGUCAUGUCCAACUUUCAAUGCUAUUUGGCCGUUGGUGCGGGCGUGGCUUGGAUUUGAUGGAGCAGACUCAAGUUAUUUUAGAUCAUUUCUUGCAAUUUAUUAAUUAUGCAGGUAGUUUGAAAUCGCGACGAUCCCUUUUUCAUCUGAUAUGACUCUUGUGGAAUGAACGAAAUAAUGGGUUAUUCAAGAAUCAACAAACCACUAUUCCACGUAUGUUAGAUAAAGUAAAAUCAUAUUCUCUAUGGUGGUUGAAAGCGAGUAACACUACCUUUAUUUUCAAUACUCAUUUGUCGUGGUCGAGCCCACUUAUGUGUUUGGGUAUCAUCUAAUUUUUAUCUAUUUUUGACAAACUUGUUGUACUUUUCGUAAUUAUUUUGGCACGCUUUGUGCUUAUGCGAUUGCAUUUGUUAGUGUUAAUAUAAUUUAUUUUGGCUUAUAAAAAAUAUAUAUAAAAAAUUUUGGGGUAGGAUUUUUACGGUCUAUGUAAUUAAUUUGACAGUAAAAAUAUUUUUACAUAGACCGUAAAAAUAUUUGAUUAUUUUAUACGCAAAAAUAUUUUCCCGCUUUCUCAAGGCUUCAAUCUCUGAAAAUCUCAAACUUCAAAACCCCCAAUUUCAACGCUCUCAAUCUAAAACCUAAUCGUCCAAUUCACGAACGACAAUCUCGCUCCUACUUCUCCGCCGUCCGCGCCGCCAUGCCUCGACGGUGGGAACGGAAGAAACGCUUCAUCUCAACCUGCUUCUCUCACGCUGUUCAAAAAUCUCACGCCGUUCAAACAUCUCACGCUUGCGUCAAAACUGCUUCGUCGUCACUUUGCAAUUUUCUCUAGGUUUGUCGUGAUUAUAUUCUGUUUCAUUAUCUAAAUUUGGUUAAUUCUAAAUGUUGUUGUGCUUACACUCUUAGCGAAUUAUCACAUUUGUCGUGAUAGCACGAAUCUUGCGCGCAUAUUUCCUAUUUACUAAGCAUGAACUCCGACACGAACACGACACGGACACGGUCACGUCCACAAAUGUAAAAAGAUAGACACCAAUUUAUUUAAUUAAAAUGUAUGGACACUCCUCGGAUUAGGGUUGUCGUGUCUGACACCGACCGACACGUAUAAUUACACUUAAUUAUGUAAUUUUCUCUAAUUUUUAGCGGUGUCGGCGUUGUCUUCGAUGGUGCUAAACAGCGAUACACAAGAAGAUGCGAAAAGUGGGGUGGAAAAGUUUCAGGUCAAGAUAUUGGGAGAUAGUAGUGCUCAGAUCACGGAGGAUGUCCUAUCUAGUUCAAAUGUUGGGAUAACCGAUUCCAAGUUAUCUGGCUCUGCAUCAAGUGCUAGUUUGACGAAUGGGCAUGCAGCUCCUAUGUAUUCAGCUGGUAUCAGAAAUGGCAAUGAAACUUGGUUCGAAGUUGGACGAUCCAAGACUUAUACCCCAACUGCUGAUGACAUUGGUCACGUCCUUAAGUUUGAAUAUUCUGUAGUUGAUGCAGUGACAAAAUCACCUGUGGGACAAGCUAGCACUUUACAAACUAAUAGGGUCAUUCCUGCUCCUUCACCAAUUCCUCGCCGAAUUAUACGUGUUGAUGGGAUGGGGCAUUUAGACCUAGAUAGGCGCAUGACAUCUUCAGGAACUUUUACUGCUCUGUCAUACAAUGUCUUGUCUGAGACAUGUGCCUCAAAUGAUCUCUAUAGCUACUGCCCUCCGUGGGCACUUUCUUGGCCAUAUCGCAGGCAAAAUUUGUUACGGGAAAU
Molecule: long non-coding RNA, 109063 nt
Filed under: Medicago truncatula (barrel medic)
Lineage: Eukaryota; Viridiplantae; Streptophyta; Magnoliopsida; Fabales; Fabaceae
Description: long non-coding RNA (MTRU_LNC002853)
Rfam family: MIR2606 microRNA precursor family (bases 92215-92378)
Source: RNAcentral